UAAGGUUUCUCAACCAUCAAUACUGUACUUGAAGUAGUAGUUCAUAUGAGAUAAUUGCUAGACUGUAUAGGAAUACUGAUGAAACCCGUGAAUUAAAGCUACCUGAGAAAACACAUUCUUCUUCCUUUUUGCACAUUUAUCUGCAGCUCUAACCAUCGCCACUGAAGGAAUGGAAGCUCUUCAGAUGGCUCUGUAGUUCUAUUCUCAUAAAAGCUUGACUUCCAAACAUUACCAAUGCUGGUACCAUACUUAAACGUCAAUGUAACUUGAGUAACGGCAUAUGACACUAUUUACCCUUUUUUAGUUAGAGGAUUCAUCCGGGAAAGAUUGAAAGUCAAAUCAAGAACCUUAAAAUCAACAUAAGGAAUAUUCCUGUUGCCAGUUGAGCUCGUCUUUGGAAAUUAACUAUCCUUCCCUACAAGGGGUCAUCUUUUACGGUGCUACCAUCAACGUACCUAUAUUGACGUUAGUUUCUUUUAUGUUAAUAUUUGCACAAAUGUGCAGUUUGCAUGCAUCACGGAAGCAAGGAAGAAUCCUACGGACUUUUUGCAAUCUGCUGUCAUUAAUGAGCAUACUGAGGACAAUCACCAUGCAGAGUCGUCCCUUUCCAAUCAGAAGAAGACAAGUAAUGGUAACACAUUGAAGGAUUUCGAGUCGAAGCCCGGCUCCUUUCUCUGGGGGUAUCAAGGCAACGAGGCUGAGUCUAAGUCUAAGGAGGAGAAGCCUCUUAUGAAAGGCUUUGAGUCGAAGCCCGGCUCCUUUCUCUGGGGGUAUCAAGGCAACGACGUUGAGUCUAAGUCUAAGGAGGAGAAGCCUUUUAUGAAAGGCUUUGAGUCAAAGCCCGGCUCUUUUCUCUGGGGGUAUCAAGGCAACAAUGCUGAGUCUAAGUCUAAGGAGGAGAACCCUCUUAUGAAAGACUUUGAGUCGAAGCCCGGCUCCUUUCUCUGGGGGUAUCAAGGCAACGACGCUGAGUCUAAGUCUGAGGAGGAGAAGCCUCUUAUGAAAGACUUUGAGUUGAAACCCGGCUCCUUUCUCUGGGGGUAUCAAGGCAACGACGCUGAGUCUAAGUCUAAGGAGGAGAAGCCUCUUAUAAAAGACUUUGAAUCGAAGCCCGGCUCCUUUCUCUGGGGGUAUCAAGGCAACGAUGUUGAGUCAAAGUCUAAGGAGAAGAAGCCUCUUAUAGCCCGGCUCCUUUCUCUGGGGAUAUCAAGGCCCUCUUAUGAAAGACUUUGAGUCAAAGCCCGGCUCCUUUCUCUGGGGUAUCAAGGCAACGACGCUGAGUCUAAGUCUAAGGAGGAGAAGCCUCUUAUGAAAGACUUUGAGUCGAAGCCCGGCUCCUUUCUCUGGGGGUAUCAAGGCAACCACGCUGAGUACAAGGAGGAGAAACCACUCGUGAAAGAUAAUUAAUGUCCAGGGAAGCCGCAACUUUACCUCUGAAUGGACCACGGACAUAUAUGUCUUCUAGCUGGUCUGAUUUUCUGCAUUUUCUUUAUUGGCAUGAACAUGUGUGAUAUGUAAUAAAUGCAGUUCUUCUUUCAACCAAGCGUUCUGUAUAAUUAAUUAAAUGAAAGUCAGUAGCGUUGAGUGCAUUUCUGUUUCUUUGUUUGUUGUUUCUUUUUGCCAUUUACCAUAGACAGGAAGCGCACAAAAAAGAGCACUAUUCAAGCAUGACAAGAAUCAUAGAGUGAGCGAACCAACUAUACCUUGAUAAUCUAAAAAGAGUUCUGCAAACUCGUACUCUUGUACGAAACCAGGACCAUAUAUAUAUAUAUAUAUAUAUAUAGAUAUAUCGAUUCAAUUUUCUAAUGAUGUGUGUGGUACGAACGCACAUUAGAAGUACAGAAAAUUCUAGUGUAAACUUUCACAAAAGAAGAGAAAGAAUGGAGAACUCUUGAAGCGUGAUUGAUCGCUAUUCUUAAGAAUUUAAUUAUCCAUACUACACUAAGUAUUUGCUGUAGAGAUAAAGGUAAUUUAACUUUAAGAUACAACAAGAGAAGAAGAAGUUGAUAGCAAUAUCAAGUUUCUCAAACUAAGAAAUGAUCAAAUAAUUCUAGCUAGUUUUGACAAUAAAAGGCUUGUUUUUUUACAAGUAACCUGUUUUCCACUCGUCUCUAAGUAUCCUUCGAUACGUGGCACUUAAUCCCAAUUAUUUGACUUUAAACUUCGUUCUGUGAUGUGGAUUCUAUGUGUUAGUAUAUACAAGACUGAUCUUAAACAUUACUUGAAAAUCAUAUUAUAUGUAACUGAGUACCGCAUAACUUGCAAUUAUCCACUUACGCUCUCAAUAUUAUUGGGAAAUUACAUGGAUUUUCGUUUCGGUAACUCUAAUUAUAUAGUCUCACGAUCCAUCUUAACUGAAGGGGCCAUUAUGAAUUAGAUGAACAUGAAGUUGUAUUUCGAUUCUCAAGCUAUUCCGUUCCUCUUUCUUCAUUGUAAGGAUUAGAGUCUCUUUUGGAGGGAAAAAAAAACACUCUAAUUAUACAGGAUUAAAGCAAAUAGCAAUGGUCUAUAAAAGGAUAAAAAGUAAGCAGGCUGGGGCAUAUUUAUUAAAACAUGAAAAUAAUAUGAAAUUUUAUAAUACACAUGAUACGAAAAAUAAACUGUAUGUAAAUAAUGCAAAUAUAUUCGAAAAGUACAAAGCUGAAAAUACAGCUUCAUUUACCAUGUGCAUAAUAGCUGUGUGCACAUUCCAGUGAAGAUUUUUUAUUUUUAGUGUAAGUGAGAAAUUUCGAGUUCUAAACCUUUCAUUUACACUCUCUUGUCCUAUAUCAUCCAAUCCAUCCCUUCCUAUAUUUUUAUGAAGAUGAGUACAUAAUGUGAGUUUUUAUUUUUUGAGGUGAAUAACUUGUUCACAAAAAAGUUUUCUCGAUUUAGGUAAAGUUUAAACUUUACGUUGUCUAAACAACGCAAGCAGAUGCCACUAGGACAGAAGUCAUUAUGAUGACUUCAUCCAAGGUAACAAAAAAAAGGCGUACAAUUGCACUUAAAAUUUGUGAAUUUAUAGUACUAUUUCAUGGUUUAUCGCCUCAAAGUUAACAAUAAAUAAUGUUUUGAACCCCAUUUAAACAACUUAUGAGUGUAAUUCAAAUUUAUUGCUCUAUUAUGUGUGUACAAUGUAUCAAAACAAAAGAGUAGCAAAUUGUGUUUUAUUGCACUUUUUGUUUAGCUAGCUUCAUGCAAAUUAACCUUCGUAGAUUAUAGGUAAAGAAUUGGUUUGCCAUUCAAUGUAUCCAAGAAAUAUGUGUUAGUACAUAAUGUUUAUUUUAAUGGAUGUACUGGUGUAAAACAAAAUUACAAAUUAUUAAGUUUUAAACUUUACAAGUACUUAAAGGACAAUAAUUUUUUAUUAAAUUAAAAUUUUCCGUUCUGUGAUUUGGUAGUUUAUCUUAUAACCCCUCUAUAGUUUAAAAAUCUGUAAUCAACCUCCUCAUAAUCUGGGUUAACAUAUCAUCAUUAAUUUUUCUAAAGUUUAAGCAAAUUAAUAUAUUGAAAAAUUCAUCCUUUCACUAAUUCUUUGAGGUAGUUACAAAAGUAUUACAAUUAUUAUACACCUUAAACUAUGUAUUUGUUUUCAAGUAAACACAAAAGAUGCAGCAAACCAUUUUUAGCCAAGUUAAUAAAAUUGCAAAUGUAACAAUAUAAAGCACCUUAUGAAAAGUUACUCUAUAUGAUUAAGAAAAUAAUUUAUAUUUAUUAGAAUGGGAAAAAGUUGCCAGAAGAGGGAGAGACCAUAAGAAAAAUAGUUUAGAGUGAACUGCAUCAAUCAUGCCUUCCAUCAGGGAAAAAAAGGGGUUAAAUAUCAAAAACCGCCAUGGAGUUUGCCUAAUGUUUACUUUACCUCCCUAUGGUUUGGCAACCUACAAUUUGACUUCCUGUAGUUUCAACUAAAGUAAAAGUCUGACAGAAAACAUCUAAACUAACGUCUGAAAGGAAAAUGUCAAAAUUGCCCCUCUAUAAGGGUUUUGGGUUAAGCACCAAAAAUCCCCCUGUGGUUUGUCAAAUGUACACUUUACCUCCCUAUGGUUUUAAAACAUACAAUUUAACUCCCUGUCGUAUCACCUAAAGUGAAAAUCUAACAAAAAUUCCGUUAAAUACACUUUAGUUGAAACGACAGGGAGUCAAAUUGUAGGUUUCCAAAUUAUAGGGAGGUAAAGUAAACAUUAGGCAAACCACAGAGGGGUUUUUGGUAUUUAACCCAAAAAAAUGAUAGAUGUGCGUGUAUAUAGGUGACGGGACUUUUAUAUCAAUGCAAGUUUAAAUCCGAUUUUAUACUCGUUGACUACAAAUAUACAGGCCGAAAUCGUAAUGUAAGGUGUGUAUCGGGUCAAUCCCACGAGGAGCAAAUUAAAUAAGUACUAGACCCUUAUUUUUCUCUAUUAUUUAGACUUACAAUAAAUUUGAGUAAAAAAUUUAUAAUGCUAUUGUCUACAACUCUGGUUUAAUCAAUGUUAAAUGCAAAUGGAGAAAUUUCACAAAAGAUUGAAUCUUGGGAUGUAGAUUCCACUUAUGGCAUAAACAACACAAAUGAAUAGAUUUACCUUUUGUUAUUUUUCUUGUUUAACCAGGGAUUCAUUUCCAAUAUUACCAAAUCUCAUUCUCAUGAUGAAAUGGCCUAGAGCAAUAUAGUUUUCCCUAUUUUCAUGGUGAAAUACUAGUUCUACUCUGUUUUCCUUCAUGAAAUGCUAGAAAAUGCACUUAAGUGUACAUCUAUUUUCAUGAACAUACAACUCAAGCUCUACUCAUGUUUUUCCAUUGUUACUAUCAAUUUUCAUUGACUAAUAACAACUAUGAACAUGCUAUUGGUGAUCAAACAACCACAAGUAAUUACAACUGCACAAAUAGACAAGUUAAUACAAGAUAUAACAAGUGUAAAUCACAUUCAAUUCAUAUUAUUUAGCCAUAAGUUUUAUCUACUCCCUAGAUAAAGAAAAUUAACUACUCAUGAAUGAGAUAAAAAUCAAACUCACAAGUUCAUUAAUGCAAAACAUCACAAAGUACAAUUACAAGAAAGAUAAAAGAAAGCUUAGCCAAUUAAUGGUGAAGCCCUCAAAUUUCUGCUAUGUUCUUGUAAAAGAUGAUUACAAGAUGAGUCUCCAAUUGCUUCCUCAAGAACUCUUCACUAAAGAGAAACUUGUUGCAAGAAGAAAAACUAGUUAUGUAUGGUCAUCUCUAGCUUCUCCAUUCUAUCUCUGCAUAAAAGGUGGUAGAAAGACAUUUUUUUUUCUCCUUCAUGACUUCAACCACUUAGAUUUUGUAAAGGAAGUCAAAAGAUAUGUUGUUUUGAUUAGUCAAUAACUCAUUUGGUCUUCUCUUUUGUUGCAGAAGCAUGUGCCACCGAAUUUUCUCUCCCAAGAUAGCUGGAACGUUGUGUGAAAAGUGAGAAAAAACAGCUGCGCCACUUGCUGAAGAGAGAGGCGGAUCCGAGCCUUGGAUCAGAAGGGUGAAGAUCGAUCCGAGAACUUUCUCUGAUGGAUCCGAGCUCGGAUUGUAUGACUUCGGAUACACUGCUCCAGAAGUACAGACGAGAGCUCGGAUCGCCCUUUACUCACACGGAUCUGACCUCGGAUCUGUGCUGAUGAAUUUCCAGUUUUUUACUUCUUCUCUUUUCUCUUCAUGUUUGUUCCUAGUUUCUCUUGUACUUUAUCCUCGGGACAAUUCUUACAAUUCCUUCAUCUCGUGCAUGAAUUCUAUAUAUCAAUGUCCUUCAUAAUUUCACAAAAAUUAACACAUUAAUCCACUUACUUAUCAAAUUUUAAACACUUAAAUAAUAUUUAAUCAAUUAUCACCAAAAGAGUUCAAAUAUGGCUUUAAUCUUCUCAAAACAUACCAAAAGUUUAUGCCAAACUUGUACAAAAUAUACGUUAAAUAUUCACUUAUUAAAUUCCCCACACUUGAAUCAUUGCUUGUCCUCAAGCAAUUUCACACAUAACUUACCAUAAUGAUUCAAGAGAUAAAACAAUAUACGUACUCUUGUCAAAUUUAAUUUCUCAAAAACCUAGAAAUCAAUCAUUAUGCCAUUUCUCAGAUUAUACUAAAUACUCAUAAUAUCAAGUUAAAGAAAGAUAAUUAUGCAUUAAUUUUAACAACUUCAAAUCAAUCUCUCAUUCUAUCCUAAUUUCACAAAUAAGUAAAUCGCAUAGUCAAUUCUAUGGCCUUCCUGAUCCCAUGACCAUCAAAACUUAACAAUUGAGAGGGAUUUAUUCACACUUCAUUAUUUUUAAAUAGUGAAAUCGCCUUUUUAUGCGAAAAUCGACACUUUUAGGUGAAGAUUCCCGGUUACUCAACAUUUCACUUAUUCAAAUUGCUAAGCAUACUCUUAAUUCCAAUACCUUUUUACGCGAAUGUUAAUAUUUGUAAAUGCCAACCCCCGGUUACUUAGUAUGUGAAUCAUUAGAGUAGAAAAAUAAUAUCAAUAUAUAUAUAUUUUUUUAAUAUUUUUCUUUUCCCUCUAAGCAUAAUUAAAGGAAGAAUCUAGCCUUGUCUUGACUAUAUCAAUCACUGAUAGGGUGUUAAUUGUUAGCAAUUUUAUUGUUAAUUUUUCCUUUUAUCCUUGCCAAAUAAUGUUUUAAUUAUUAAUAUUUACUUAUAUUUGGUUUGUGGACUUAAAUCGAAUGAACCAUCUUCAAAUGGCUGAUUCAAUGCAUCAGCCACUUCAAAAGAUAUCUGCUACGUAUGUUAUAGCAGCUGUUACGAAAAGGAAGCAACACUACUGAUCGAUCUUCAUAAUGUAUAUAUAUUACUUGGAACUUGCAAGCAAGUUCCGAGUCAUUUUACUAAAUUUAUUUGAAAUAAAGAUUUCAUCUGAAUUUAAGACUUGACAUAAUCAACAUUUCUAUAUAUAAAAAAAUUUUCUAUACGCUAGCAUACUUGAUGACUAAUCUUAAUUUGACUUUGAAACUUAUGCUUUGCACAUAUGAUAUGCAUUCAAAUCCAAUAGUGUCUAAGUUGUUAGUUAGUCUAUAGAGGUUAAUCAUAUAUAUUUAUAGAGUAAAUGGCAAAAAGUGUGACUAAACAAUUAACCUUUUAUGUCUUCUGGUCACUAGACUAUUUUUUAGUUUAGGAUUUUAACAUAAUUCAGUUAAAGUCCCUAAUUCUGUGAUUCAUGUAUUUUUACCCUCAAUUGGAUAUUUUUACCCCUAUAAGCACGCUAUUUCUUGUCCCGGGACUACCUUUCCAUUUGUUCUAACUCCAAAAUUUGACCAAACACAAAAAAGCUACAAUUUUGUUAGUUGACUAAUAUUUUUGGCUAAAAAAAUAGUUUAGUGAGUAAAUGAUGUAAAAGUUAAUAGUUUAGUAAUAUUUUUUGCCAUUUGCUCUAUAUAUAGAGUUUUUCUCUUUCCAAAUAAUAGUUAUUUAUGGAUCAUUUGGAACUCAAGUUAAACCUAUUUUUGUAUAUAAAUUUGAUAAAGUUCAGUCAUAAUUGGCACUACAAGAAAUUUGGCCUUUUGUGACAACAGAAAAGUUGUCACAGUUGAGCAAAUUUAGUGACGACUUUAGGUGUUGUCAUAGUUGACCGAGAGUACACUCAUCAUCAUUUCCAACACGGGAUUAAUUGUCACAAUAUGGGUGGCGUGCAACUGGCCUGUGUGGUGGGAAAUCACCAUUGUGAUGACUUGAAAAAAUAUUGUCACUGAAAUGGGCUCUACAAUGACUACUUACAAUGUUAUCACAAUGUGGUUACCGGUUCAAAGUUAGUGACAACAAUUAGUUGUCACUGUCUAAAGUAAUUGGUCAUAACUCACUUUCAUUAAUUCUACUAUGCCACCCUAAUUUUUUCAAUAUUUUCCCAUAUGUUGUAAAUAAAUUUUAUUAAUUCUAUUAUGGCACCCUAUCUUUUAUAUUUUAGCCCCGUAUGCAGUAAACUAAUUUCAUUAACUCUACCAUAACACGUUAUCUUUUGCAAUUUAGCCUCAUGUGUAAUAAACUAAUUACAUUAAUUCUAUUAUGGCACCCGAUCAUUUACAAUUUAGCCUAUGUUUUUCAUUAGUAAAAUGGGGAAGGUAUUGUAAUAAAAAUGUAUACAUAUUUUAUAAUUGUUCCAAACUUAGUUAGUAACUUGUUAUGAAGGUAAAACAGUAUCAUGGACUCCCUAUCUAGUUCUCUUGGCAACACAUGAAAAAUUAGUGAUCAGAAAAUUACUUGUGUGAUGACCUAGGAAAAUGUUGUCACUAAAUGGUCCAUAUAGUGACAACUUCCAACAUCGUCACUGUCGCUCAACCGGUUCAGAGGUAGUGACAAUAAUUAGUUGUCACUGUCUAAAGUACUUGGUCCUAGAUCAUUUUCAUUAAUUCUACUAUGUCACCCUAACUUUUGCAAUUUAGCCCCAAAUGUAAUAAAAAAAUUUCAUUAAUUCUACUAUGACACUAUAACUUUUGUAAUUUAACCCCAUAUGCAGUACACUAAUUUCUUUAAUUCUACUAUUACACCCUAACUUUUACAAUUUUGUCCCAUAUGUAGUAUACCAAUUUCUUUAACUCUACCAUUACACCAUAACUUUUGCAAUUAAGCCCUAUAUCUAAUUCGCCAAUUUCAUUAAAUCAACUAUGGCACUGUAACUUCUGCAAUUUAACCCUAUAUGUAAUAUACAAAUUUCAUUAUUUGUACUAUCACCCUAUGGUGUUGCAAUUUAGCGAUUUUUUUAUUAGCAAAAUAUAUAAGUUAUCUUAAUAAACUAUAUAUGUAUACAUAUUUUAAAAUUUUCCCAAACUUAGGUAAUAAUUUGUUAUAAAUGUAAAAAAAUUCAUACAUUCCCCAUUUAUCCAAAUGACAACAUGGUGAAAAAUUAAUAAUUUGGAUAACCUAAAAACAGAGGUAGUCAAUAGUAGAAUUUAAAAAUAAAACUUAAUAUGAAAUUAAGUCUAAUCCUAACAUUUGCAUGAUCAAAAGGUUGUUAUUAAUUAUAGAAGCCACAUUUAUCAUUCAUGAAUUAGUACAUAUACCAAAUAGAUAGAUUUAGCAUUUCAUACAUGUAUUUGUAAACUAUUUUAAUUGUUCAAUCAACUAAUUCAAUUGUCAGGUCUUGUUAGACUGCAAGUCAUACAUAAUUGAUAACACCACAAAAUGAGUACCAAAAAGAUUUUAAUUAAAAGAGUGUUUAUUUUUUUGAAUCAUAAACAUAUUUCUAACAAUAUUUUUUAUUUUUUGAACUAUUUUAUUGUAUAAUAAAUUAGAAAAAGGCCUAUAUUAGUUAAAAUUGGUAAAAAAAAAUCCGCCUAAAUACACUAAAUUGUCAUAUUCUAUUAUUUUAACACAACCUAAGAGUAAAAAUAAUAAUAAAACUCAAAACAAUAGAAAAACUUAAUUACAUAAAGAUGAGAAAAAGAAAAGAGAGAGAGAUAGGUGAAAGGACAAAGAAAGCAUGCACUUCUUGCAUCUAAAUAAGGAAAAGACGUGCUUUUAUAUGUACGGAACUAAGAGCGGCAAACUAAAAAAUUCAAAUGGUGUGGCGGGCUGAAGGGAUUUUAGGGAAACGACACCGUUUGAUUCUAUGUCCUAAUAACUUAGGCAAAAUUUAAGACUUCUUCUUCCUCUUUUAUUGUCCUCCUUACGUCACCGAGAAUGCCCUCCUUAUGUAUCAAACUUGCACUACCAAAUCCAUCCAUAAACCAAUUAGUGCAACACUUUGAAUUUGGGCAACUUUAUUGAACUUGCACUACCAACAUCCCUAAUUCACCUAUUGCACUGCCUUGGUGGCAAGAAAUCAGAAAUUAGGCUUACCUGGUUCAGAGUCACCCGAGAGAGAAACAGGACAUGGUGGAGAAGAUAAGAACGGGUACCGACUUGGUGUACUUAAGGGUUUUGUUUCAGGAGCCAAAAGGGGCUUUUUUGACACCAUUAACGGUGGUUCUGGCAAGUGGGUUUAUCCUGGGAGUGGUGGAUCUGAGGUGAACUUGGCUAAUGGUGGUGGCUUGUUCUCUCCCAAGGGUGCUAAUGGCGCUGCCAAGAGUAUUGGUGCUGGUGGAGUUGAGGGUGGAAGUCAGCAAACUUUUGUGGGUUCUGGGGUUGGAAAAGAAACUGUUCCUCAGUCACCUAAGCCGUUUAGGAGAAGAAGCCUUAGGUUUCUGCUGUUAAUGGUCAUGCUGCAGCCCCUGCCGCUAAGUAAAAUUUUCUGCUUUCCUCUGUUGUUUGAGAUUAAAACUACCAUGCUUCCUUAAUUCUUUUAAAGUUAGAGUAGCAGCAUGAUUGUAGAGUUAGUUGUUUUGGUCCUCUAGGUACCGUUGCCGUUCAUGUCUCCUUUGUUGAUUUUUGACCUCGUUAAUAAGUAGUUAUUACUCCAUUCAAUUUUUUUUUUCUUCUUAACUAGCUGAUACAAGAUAAUUCUUUGGUUGUUAUUGUUAGGACCGGUCCAAGAAUAAACAAACUAAAGUUAUAACAAAAUAGGCGGUAUAACCGAUCAUAUAAAGAUUAGGCAGUAGACACUAGCCAUAUAAUAAUUAGACGGUAAAACCGACCAUAUAAAAGGGUUAUGACAACCCAAUAAAGACAAAUAAUAAAGCAAAAUAAAUAACACAGAAAUUUAUGUGGUUCGGUCAAAUUGACCUACGUCGACAGGCGAGGGAGGAGUAAUAUUUCAACUAUGAAGAAAAAAUACAAAAGCAGUAGAAAAGUGGUUCCUAGGCCAAAAUGACACUUACAAAAGAUUUAGAAAAUAUUUCUAAACUUAAAAUAAGAGAGUCUAAAAUAUUUGACUAUAAAUGGGUUAGAUGACCCAAGAAACUAAUAGCCCAUAUAAUGCUCUCUUGAGUGGUGCAUUUAAAAUCUUCAUAAGCCUUCUAUAUUUAUAGGUGAAUUUAGGAGGCUUUCCUUAGGCUUCAUCCGAUGUAGGAUAAAAUUUUUCCACACACAAGUCAAAGAUUGCGGUUUGAAAAAUCAACAAAUCUCCACCUUGGCAUAAUUUUAGUUCCACCAUCGACAAUAGCACAACUGUUCCACCUUCUCCACAUAAGCCCUGAUGGGCCUAAAUCACUAACAAUGAACACCAACCAAGUCCAAGCACUGUUUGAACUUAUAAACUAGAAGAGGUUUCGUAAACAUGUCAGCAAGAUUCUCCUUGGUACUGAUUUUCUGAACAAGGACUUUCCCUUCAGCAAUGAUAUCCCGUAUAAAGUGAUAUUUCACAUCAAUAUGUUUCGUCCUCUCAUGAUACAUCUUAUCUUUAGUCAAGUGUAUGACACUUUGACUAUCACAAUGAAUAACAGUAACACCUUGACGUAGACUAAACUCGCUAAACAAACUCUUCAACUACGAGACUUCUUUGAUUGUCUCGGUCACAGCCAUAUAUUCUGCUUCUGUAGUAGACAAAGGUACGACAGGUUGUAGAGUAACUUUCCAACUGACAGCACAAUCGCUAAUGCAAAAUACAUAGUUUGAAAGUGAUCUUCUCAUGUCAAGAUUCCCAGUGUAGUCUGAGUCUACAAAACCAACCAAAGUGUUAUUAUUUUUUCCAAACCCCAAGCAUGCAUUUGAACUACCUCACAAGUAUCUAAAAAUCCAUUUCACUGCCUGCCAAUGUAUUUUUCCAGAACAAAAUAUAUAUCUGCUAACAACACUGACUGUUUGUGCAAUAUCUGGAUGAGUACAAACCAUUGCAUACAUAAUACUGCCGACUGCAUUGGAAUAACGAACCUGUACCAUAUAUUCUUCCUCUUCAUCUGAUUUUGGUGAUUGAGCAGCAGAUAGUCAAAAAUGGCUAGCAAGAGGAGUAGAUAUUGGUUUAGCAUCUUUCAUAUCAAAACGUUCCAAGACUUUCUCAAGGUAAUUUUUCUGAGUCAAGAACAACUUCCCUACUUCUUGAUCUCGGUUGAUAUCCAUGCCAAGAAUUUUCUUAGCUGCUCCCAAAUCUUUCAUUUCAAAUUCACUAUUUAACUGCAGUUUCAAAGUGUGAAUUUCUGACAAAUUCUUGACAACAAUGAGCAUGUCAUCAACAUAAAACAGCAAAUAAAUAAAAGAACCAUCAUUUAACUUCCGGAAGUAAACACAAUUAUCAUAAAUGCUCCUUGAAUAACCAUGACCCACACAUAAAGGAAUCAAACCUUCUAUACUAUUGUCUUGGAGAUUGUUUCAAUCCAUAUAAGGAUUUCUUUAAUAAACAAACAUGGUCUUCCUUACAUUCAAUUUUAAAACCCUGGGGUUGUUUCAUAUAAAUUUGUUCUUCAAGUUCGCCAUAUAAGAAAACUGUCUUAAUGUCGAUCUGUUCUAACUCCAAAUUAUACAUGACAACUAAAGCAAGCAAAACACGAAUAGAACAAUGUUUAACAAUAGGUGAAAAAAUUUCAUUAAAAUCAACGCCUUGUACCUGAUUAUAACCCUUUGCAACUAAUCGUGCUUUAUACCUCGCAUCUUCAACCUCUGGAAUACUUUCCUUCUUCUUGAAAAUUCAUUUGCAUCCAAUAAUUUUCUUAUCUGAAGGCGGCUUUACAUGAACCCAAAUUUCAUUCUGAUGAAGAGAUUCAAUUUCUUCAUUCAUUGCAAUCAACCACUUUGCAGAAUCACCACAAGAAAUUGCUUCUGAAUAGGUGGAAGGCUCACCAACUGCAUUAGUUUCUUCUGCAACAGACAAAGCAUAUACAACUAAAUUUGCAUAUAUUUGUGAUGGUCGAAUGUCUCUCUUUGGUCUAUCUCUGGCUAUGGAAUAUUUCUCUUCAUCUAAACUAUCUUCAACAGUAGAUUCAGGUGUAUCUACAGGCAUUUGUUGAAUAGAAGAUUUGGUCUGAGAAGGACUAGAACUGCCAAUAUCAAACUCCACCUGCUUCUGUGUACUAUCAGUAGUACAAGAACUAGAAGACUCCUUUUUAGAAGAUAACAUAGACAAUUCAUCAAAAGUAACAUAUCUACUGAUCACAAAUUUUAGAGAUUUGGGAUCAGGAUACCAUAAUCUAUAUCCUUUCACUCCAGAAGCAUACCCAAGAAAAAUGUACUUUUUAGCUUUAGACUCCAAUUUUCCAUCAUUCACAUGCAUGUAUGUUGGACACCCAAAAACUUUUAAAUUGAAGUAAUCAGCAGGAGUACCUGACCAAACUUCUUCAAAAUUUUUGAAUUCAAGAGAUGCAGAAGGAGAACGGUUGACAAUAUAACAGCCCAUAUUGAUCGUCUCUACUCAAAAGUCAUUUGUCAAUCCUGCAUUGGAGAUCAUACAUCUUGCUCUCUCCAAAAGCGUUCUGUUCAUACGUUCGACCACACCAUUUUGUUGAGGUGUCAUUCUGACAGUACGAUGCCGAACAAUUCCUUCAUUUUUGUAAAAUCUAUCAAAUUCACCUUCACAAAUUUUCAUGCCAUUAUCUGUUCUCAACCGCUUAACAUGUUUUCCUGUUUGUUUCUCAAUCAAAAUUUUUCAUUACUUGAAAGUUAGGAAAACAUCAUUUUUAUGUUUAAGAAAAUAUACUCAAACUUUUCUUGAAUAAUCAUCAAUGAAAGUUGUCGCGCCCCAUUUUUCGCGAUGGAAAAGAAAGUGUUUAUAAAGAAAGUGUUUAUAAAAAGAUGUGAUUUAUUAAUAAUAGAUAAAAAAAAAGGACCUAGAAUGGGACUUAAAAAGAAUGCGACAAUUUGGGUCCAAAAUUUAGUCUAAAAGGGUUUUUAAGAAAAAAUAGGAGUCGCCACUUGGUAUGGGGUUUUGGUGUACCAAGUCACCCAAAAAAUAUUUUUGACAAAAAUAAAAUAAAACCCUUUUCGACAACUCCAGGUCUUUGAAAACAGAGAAAAUGAGUUCGGGAGUCACGGUUGAAGAAAGGGAAGGCAAAGGUUCAAUUAAUUCAAACCUAAGGCACCCUUUCAACCUAGUCUAAGCUAGUUGCGAGGUUUAGCCAAAAUUUUCCUAAUCUAACCCUUGAUUUUAUCAUAUUUGGAUGUUUCUUACAUAGAUGCAAACCUAAAUUUAUAAAAUAUCGAAAAGAUCAAAAUGUUCAUUCAAGGGUUUAAUUGAACCAAUCACAUUAAUUGCGAAGGCCAAAAUAAUUCCUUGAAUGUGUCACGAGUAUGCAAAUGAUGAAAUUAAAAGAAAAGAAAAGAAAAUUAAAUUAUAUACAUAAGGUAUAAGUGAGCAAAGAAAAAUGAAUGCAAGCAUAACGGGUAUGGGGGACAAAAAUUCGUGACAUGAUUUUCUUAUGUAGGGAUUAAUGGAGUAUUUAAACUAAAAAAUUAUAAUCACCCCAUUUCCCAUAUUCAAAGAAUAAUUCUCCUAAUAUGAACAGGCAAAUGAACUAAUUUAAAUGAAAUGCAAUUCUAAAUGACAUGAUUAACACAUAUAGAGGAUAUGGGAUAAUAAAAUAGGGAAUAUCAUGCAAAUGAGAAAAGAUCCUAAAAAUGAAAAUAUGCAUGAAAAUGUGGUGAAUAGUAUACAAUGAUGAAUCUAGCGCAAAAUGACCUAAAGGGUCUAGCGUUGGACUAGCCCAUUUCUAAAAAUCCUUGCUAGCGUUGGACUAGCAAGUAAGCGGAGGGAGAAACCACAACUAGCGUUGGGCUAGUGUGGUGACGUCAUGCAUUAACAAUUCAUAGUGAAACAAAUAAAGCAUAAAUUAAAACAAAUAAACACAUAAGAGCACGUAGCACGUAACACGUAAGCAUAAUAUCUAGAUGCGAAAAUCCUAAGGAAAGCGGAUAAAACACAUAACACAUAAGCCACAUAAACACGCAACCUAUCUAUUACAUCGGGGAGCGCCUAACUACAAUCUAGAAGGGAAAAAUAUAAUAAAACAAAUCUAAUUAUCCUAUCUAUUACAUUUUUGAGGUAAUUAAAUGCCUCUUGAAUCAUUAUAAAAAAUUAACUAAACGAAUAUAAUAUAAGAAAAUUUAAAUGAACAUUUAAAUGCAAUAAAUAAAACAUAUAAAAAUAGAUAAACACAUAGGAGCACAUAGGAGCACAUAAGAGCACAUAAUUGACAUUGAAACAAUAAAAAUAGGGGUACCUCCCGUUUGAAGUGGUGACUAAAUGGAGUCAAAUUGUCCUAUUUAUACUCACAAUGAACAAAAGAAUCAUGGCACCACUUUAAUUGAAAAUAAUAAUAAUGUUAAAACACUAAAUUCACAUUAACACGUCAAACGCAAAGAAAUUUAAGAGCAUCUAAAAAUUGCAAGUUAAAUAUAUUCAAAAGUAACAUAAUUAGCUAUUAAAGAAAAGAAGCAAUCACAAUAAAAAAAAGAGUCAAAAUUCAUUAGGGACUGAAUUGCAAAAAUUGAAAAACUUUUGGGGACAAAAAUUAUAUUUUUCUAAAGUUCAGAGGUCAAAAUUAAAUAAAAGAUAAAAUUCAGGGACCAAAAUGCAAUUACUAUAAGGACCAAAGUGAAAGAAAUCAAAAUGUUCUGGGCCGAAGUGAAACUACUCCAAAGAUCAGGGGCUAAAGUGCAAAUUCGUUAUCAGAUCUUCUUAAGAAAACAGGCCACUGGGCCAUCAUUUUUAUUUCUUUGGGCCAAACAUUACCUAAGCCCAGCCGAAAGUCCAAGCCAAAACACAAGGCCAGCCCGUCUUCUAUCACUCAGACCCAACCAAAAUAAAGGCAUGGGCUCUGACCUUCUAGCCCAACCGAAAUUAAGAAACAAAACCAAAACCCAUUUACAAAACCCAACCAAAACUAACUCUUGGCCCAUCAGAAAAAUAAACAUCAGCCCAAAUCCUUUUUUUUUUUCUUUCUUUCUUUUCUUUCUUUUCUUUUCUUUCUUCUCUUCUUCCUCUUUUCUUUCUUCUUCUUCCACCGAGAAGCUGAAGCUUCUCCCUGCUGGCGGCCAUGGCGGCUGCCGGUGGCGCCGCCGCCGCCGACCGCCACCGCCGGUGACCUCUCCGGUCACCAAAAAUCCUCAAAAUACACCCCCUCACUCGAUUUUUCGCGUAGACUCCAUUUCCGGAGUUAGUUUUUACAAAAAAUGAGUCGAAAGCGGUCAAAAUGCCAAGAAAUCAGUUCAGUUUUUUAUUUUUUAAAACCUUCACAUCUUCACCAAAAAUCAUAAAAAUUAUGCCAAAACCCUCCUGAUAACUUCUACAUUACAACUAUAAUCUUAGUUUGACAAAUAAACAACAACAAAAUAAAGCAUUAAGUCAAAACAGCCCCAAAAAUGAAGAAAAUUAUUCUAAUGCUUUGAAGGCUCAAAAACUCCCAAAAUUUUGGAUAACCAAGCAUUUUCAGAUCUUUGCUAGCUAAUGGUCAUCCAUUUAAGCAAAACAUACACACCAAAUUCACUCCUUUGAUUCAUUUUUUCAUUCAAACAUUUUUUCAAACAUUUGGCAUGCAUUCACAGCACCGUUUCUUUUUUCCUAAUUUUGUUCAUGACCCAUCCCAAAAUUUCAUCCAUACAACACCAACAAAAACCAGCAAAAAUAAGCAAUAAAAAAAGUAACCACACAUACAUUCAAUCUAGUUAAUUAAAAAAAGAAAAGCUGGAAAAAAGGGAGAUAAAUACCUCAAUGAAGAGUUUGGUCCCUUUGCCAAGAUUUUUGAUGAAAUUGCCAAGCUCCAAUCCAACCGAUUGCUGCCUUGUUGUGUGCAAAUGUGUUUGGAUUUUGUGGAAGAAAAUGUGUAGAGGGAGCCCCCUUUUUUUUUUUUUGUUCCUCUUGUCUGAUGAGGGAGAGAGCCGAGAGAGCAAAUUGAGCCAAAAGGGUGGAGUCUUUUUUUUCUUGUCCUCUGUCCGUGAGAGCCGAGAGAGGAGAUUGAGGAAGUAGUUUUUUUUUUCUUUUGUUUGGUUUUUGUUCUCGUCUGUUAAGAGCUAGCCGAGAGAGGGAGGGAAAAUUUUUUCCUUUCUUCCUUCUUCUGUCCUGGAGAGAGCCGAGAGAUGUCUUGUAGCCAAAAUGGAGCUUGUGUGCUGAAUCUUCCAAAAUGAUGAUUUCUCAAUUAAUGAAAAGACAAGUCCAUGGCCAUUGAGUGUGAAAUGGGUUAAUAGUUAAUUUGGUGAAACAAAAUGAUCAAAAUGAUUUUUUGAUUUUUUUUUUGAUUUUUUUUGAUUUUUGUUGUUUUGUUGUUUUUUUUUUCUCUUUUUGUAAAGCAAACCUGCAAAAAUGAGAAAAUGUACAUUAAAAUACAAGAAAAUAAAUAACUUAUUAAAUAGAAAAAUCCUGGAAAAUAUUAAAAAUUGACAAAAAUUUGGUGUCUACAGCUUGCCCCUCUUUGUCUAGAGUUUCAAAGAAACUCAAGACAAAGACGUAGACACCAAAUUGCUUAUCUGUCUCUUGUAGCUGCACCUGAACUAAAAUAAACAAACCAACACUUGGCUGAAAUUAUUGGACAAAAUGAUGCAAUAACAUUGCAGAAAAUGUGACCGGACCCAUGUAGAGUUGCCUACGUAUCCCACCAUGGGAAUCAGGUCAAACGUAGUUCGAAUUACAAGUGAAUCACAAUGAAACAAGUGCAUUGACCAACUGUGGUCUUUGCAAAGUCGAAAAAGUCUGAGCUCUCAGAACUUCUAAACAUGAAACACCAAAUGAAUGAGAAAGCACAACAAUUAUUGGUCAAAACAGUCAAGAAAAGUAACUUGUCAUAAUUAGAAAAAGAUGCGCGGAGGGACGCGAUUACGCUCCAAGAAGGGGGAUAGAAGGGUACGCGGCGGACGCUGAGACUCACCAACAAAAAUUAAAUUGAUCUUUUUAGAAAAAGAUGCGCGGAGGGACGCGAUUACGCUCCAACAGGAAAUUAAAUUGUCAAGAAAGGGGAUAGAAGGGUGCGCGGUGGACGCUGAGACUCACCAACAGAAAUUUAAAUUGUCAAGAAGGGGAAGUAGAAGGGUGCGCGGUGGACGCUGAGACUCACCAACAGGAAAUUAAAUUGUCAAGAAGGGGAGGUAGAAAGGUGCGCGGUGGACGCUGAGACUCACCAACAGGAAAUUAAAUUGAUGCGCGGAGGGACGCGAUUACGCUCCAACAGAAAAUUAAAUUUGUCAAGAAGGGGGAUAGAAGGGUGCGCGGUGGACGCUGAGACUCACCAACAUGAAUUUAAAUUGUCAAGAAGGGGAGGUAGAAAGGUGCGCGGUGGACGCUGAGACUCACCAACAGGAAAUUAAAUUGAUGCGCGGAGGGACGCGAUUACGCUCCAACAGAAAAUUAAAUUUGUCAAGAAGGGGGAUAGAAGGGUGCGCGGUGGACGCUGAGACUCACCAACAUGAAUUUAAAUUGAUGCGCGGAGGGACGCGAUUACGCUCCAAUAGACAAUUAAAUUGAUGCGCGGAGGGACGCGAUUACGCUCCAACAGAAAAUUAAAUUUGUCAAGAAGGGGGAUAGAAGGGUGCGCGGUGGACGCUGAGACUCACCAACAGGACGUUGAGACUCACCAACGCGCGAAUUUAAAUUGAUGCGCGGAGGGACGCGAUUACGCUCCAACAGAAAAUUAAAUUGUCAAAAGGGGGAUAGAAGGGUGCGCGGUGGAACGCUGAGAACUCACCAACAGGAAAUUAAAUUGGCAUUCUUUUUCAACAAUUUGAACAAAGGCUCACAGGUAGAGGUUAACUGUGCAAUGAAUCGGCCAAUGAAAUUGAUCUUUCCAAGAAAACUUUCACAUCUUUUUGACUUUUUGGAAUGGGCAUAUCUCGAAUUGCUUUUAUUUUCGCAGGAUCUAUCUCUAUACCCUUUUUGCUGACAAUAAAACCCAAUAACUUACCAGCCGGAGCUCCAAAAGCACAUUUUGCAGGGUUCAACUUCAAAUUAUACUUCCUCAAUCUUUCAAACAGCUUCUUUAAAUCAACCAAAUGGUCCUCAACCUUCUUGGAUUUAAUUAUGAUAUCAUCCACAUAACCUCCAUCUCUUUGUGAAUCAUGUCAUGGAACAGGUAGUCAUGGUCCUCUGAUAAGUGGCUCCAGCAUUCUUCAACCCGAAAGGCAUCACUCUAUAACAAAAGUUCCCCAUGGGGUGAUAAAAGAGGUUUUCUCUCUGUCUUCUUCUGCCAUUAAAAUUUGAUGAUACCCAGCAAAACAAUCACCAAAAGAUUCAAUUUCGUGUCCAGCAGUAUUGUCCAAAAGAAUAUGAAUGUUUGGCAAAGGAAAAUCGUCUUUCGGACUGGCCUUAUUCAGAUCUCUGUAAUCAACACAUACUCGCACCUCCCCAGAUUUCUUAGGCACUGGCACAGGAUUCGAUAACCAGAUGGGAUAAUGAGACACCAUGAUUAUCUUAGCAUUGAGCUGCUUCACAAUUUGUUCCUUUAUUUGAGACUCAUUUCUGGUUUGAAUUUACGUGGCUUCUGCUUUACAGGUAAAAAAUUUGGAUCGUUGGCAACCUGUGAACCACUAUGUCUGUAGAGAUCCCUGGCAUAUCAUCGUAUGACCAUGCGAACACAUCUUGAAAAACAUUAAGAAUUCAAUCAUUUCCUCCUUUGUUUCCUAUUCAAAUGAAUGCUGACUUUAACUUCUUUAACCUCCGUCUUAGUGCCAAUAUUGAUGAUUUCUGUUUCUUCUAAGUUGGGUUUGGGUUUCUCUUCAUACUGUUUUAAAUCCCUUGAAAUAGACUCAAAUUCUUCCUCAGUAUCGCUCUCGCUUUGAAUUUCAGAUUGCAUGAUUUCAAGUUCAUGAGAGAUAUCGAGAUUGCAGCCAUCGAAUUCCAAAAUGGUGACAUCCAAAGGGUCAAAGGAUUUUAUUUGUGGCCAUCUGAAAAUAGAAUAGAACAUAAGUAAUAAACAAAUAGCAAAUACUGGAGAAGUUUUCAUUUCAUUAAAUUCAAAAUGCAUCGAGACUUCACAAAAAGAUAAAUAUACAGACAUGAUUGCUAUUUAAAGACAUAUUUAACCCAAACCUUUAUUUUCGUUUCAGCAAUUUUCUUGAACAAAGCAAGUUAUAUUAACUGAAACAAGAAUAAAGGUUUAAAAGAUGAAAGCAAUUUCUUUUAACAAAAGAUCCAGACUACUGUCCUAUCUGGAUGUGAUCUAGACAAAAGACAAUCCCCUUAAAUUUACCGAAAUUCCCUUCGAGAGGGAAGAUAAUCAGCAGUCCAAUUCUGAAUAGCUCCUUCGGUAAUUGGCAAAAAUUCUGCAUUCUCUGAUGGCUCCUCCUCACAAGUGCCCCGACAAAUAAUGAGACAGGUCCACUUCAAUCUCCUCCACAGGAUUCUUCGUUUCUGGCAUAAUCACCUCUGAUGGACGAGGAAAAGUGUGAUAUAGCGGGGGAUAUUUAAGGCAGUUUGCUUGCCCUUCUUUUCAGCUUGUUUCGAGCUUGCAUUUCCUUCUAUCCUUAGCAGUCGGAUGAAAUCCCAGUCCAAAUGUAUCCUUCUGCGUCGGGAUCUCUAUUGGCUCCAAAAUUCCUUGCAAUUCCCCCAAGACCUUUUCCUAUUUCAUAUCCGCCUCGGAUCAUCUCCCUAGCCAUCAUAAUACUGGCCUCUGGCAAAUCUGAUUGAGUCAACGACUUAUCCCUGAUGCCCAUCCUACAGAGACUAUGUCAGCAACAUGAUGAGAUGAAAUUGGAGUCCUUUUUGUUUCACCUUGAAUUUUGCAUCAACGAUCAUGGUACAGUCAUCCUCAGCAAACACAGUAAUGAGUGAUCAUUCAAUAAACUCAACAUUUGAUGCAGAGAAGAUGGCACUGAAUUGGAAGCAUGUAUCCAAGGUCUUCCAAGAAAAUGUUGUAAACACUGGAGAAGUCCAUGACUUGGCAAGUAACUUGGAAUUGAGCAGGGCCUAUCUCCAAUACCAGAUCUGCUUCACCCAUAGAUUCCCUCCUUGAACCAUCAAAUCCUCGAACCACAGUUGCAGAUGGACGGAGUUUAAUAUCAAGAAAUCCAAGCUUGGUGAGAGUGUUCCAUGGACAGAUAUUCAACGCUGACCCAUUAUCCACUAAAACCCUCGGCAACAGCUUUCCAUUGCAACGGACUAUAUAUACAAAGCUCUGUUAUGCCCGAUCCCUUCUGCAGUCAGAUCAUCAUCGGAGAAGGUAAUAUGAUUAGCAGCAAGUACAUUCCCCACAAUGUUAGAAAAUUUAUCCACCGGAAUAUCUUUAGGGACUUGAGCUUCGUUCAGAAUUUUGAGCAAUGCUUCUCUGUGCAGCUCGGAAGUCAAGAGAAGAUUCAGAAAAGAAAUCUGAGCAGGCAUCCUAUCCAACUGCUCCACUAUUUUGUACUCGCUUCUCUUUCAGCAUCUUUCAGAAAAUCUACAGCUUCAUUUUCAGACACACGAGGCUUGGGUGUCGGAGAUUUAACCUUGGCCUGGAUUGAACAUCAAUAUCAGUUUUUCACAAUUUCCCAGACUAGUAAUAGUAGAUAAUCUUCCUUUAAGCAUUUUAUCUCCAACAACAGAAUAGAUUCCUCGUAGUUCCAUGGUACCUCUUGCAAGUUAUUGACAGGCAUUUGUUCGGAAAUUCGAGAAUGACAGGCUCUGAUAUAUCCCAUUCAAAAGAUGGUAGAUCCAGAAUAAAAGGAGAUUGUCAACCUCAGAAACUCCCCUUUCAUAUAAAUGGCUCCUCUUUUUCAAAUACAAAAGAUUCAGUUUUCCUCAACAUUAUCGUUGGCAUGGACUUUUCAGACAGACAUUUUCUCAUUCUGCAUGGUCAGCUUCCAUUACGCCAAACGCCUCAGUUUCAUCUACAAUGUACUGAGUGGGAUCGAUAAAAUCUCAUCAGCGAUGAUAACUCCCACAGUACUCCCAUGCUCAGGUAAAGGAUUCUUACUACAUUCGGUCCUUGUUCUCCUUUCUUCUGAGAAGGAUGUCUCCAGAGUCAAUCAUGUCCUGAAUCUUAUGUUUUAGCCCAACAAUUGCCAGUGGUAUGACCUGGACUUCCAGAAUGAUAAGCACAAAUUGCUGCGUAUCAUAACCUGGAGGAAUGCCUUUGGGAUAAAGUUUGGGAGGAACGGUGCCAAUUUUUCCAGCUGCUUUUAACUGCUCAUAUAAUUGAUCAAUUGGUCGGCCCAAGUUGGUGAAAGUUCGAAAUUGUUUCUGGUUUGAAUCCAUUGGUUUGAAAGGAUUUUGAGAGGGUUAUUAUUUUGCAGGGUUGGUCUGGAAUGGUAAAUGGGACGAGUGUGAUUUUGAAAAACGGUUGUGGGUUGGAGGUAACGGUGAGGUAUUCAAGUGAUUUGGUCGGAAUGAUGGAAUUGGGUAGUGGUGUGGUAGACUGGUUGAGAUUGGUGUAAUACGGGUAAGGAAAAGAAUAGGUGGGAUGGUUUUGGGUCUGAAAGACGGGCCCUGAUCCCAUAUAAAAGCAGUUUCUCCUUCUUUCUUCUUGAAUGGGGGUUUUUUCCCAUUGUUGCUUUGAUUUUGUAGAGCAUCUAAUUGCAACUUUAAUGCAGACACAUUAACAAUCUUCCUGCUUUGACAAAUUCAUCGUAUCCUCCAAUUGUUAAUGAUAGCAGCAAAUGAACUUCCAGUCAUGCGAAAGAUCUCUUCAAAGUAGGGUGGAUCGUGAGCUUUGAUGAAAGUACGAACAAUCUCCUCCUCAGUCAUAGGAGGCUCCACUUUGGCAGCUAACUUUCUCCAUCGCUUUGCAUAGGUCUUGUGAUCUUCCGAUGGUUUUCUUUUGUACCCUCCAGUGUCGUUCGUGUUGGCGCCAAUUCACAAUUAAACUCAUAUUGCUUCACAAGGCUGUUGACAAAUCCAACCAGGUUUUGACCUCUUCAGACUUCAAAUUUGAAUACCAAUCUAGAGCAUCUCCCUCCAAACUUUCCGGAAAUAACGCAUAGGCAAACUCUCAUCAUCCACAGGUUUACCUAACUUGUUGGCAAACAUUUUGAGGUGCGUCUUAGAAUUUCCAGUUCCAUCAUAUUUGCUGAAUUUAGGGGUUUUGAAUCCCAACGGUACUGAAUAUUGGGGAAAAGACAUAAUUUAUCGUAGUCCAAACCACCAUGCCUGCUCAAAACCUUGAUUCUUUUUCAUAAAGUCGUCGAAUCGGUCCAACCUUCUUAACAGAUCUUUAUCAACGGGGUAGGUUGUUUCUUUCCAUCGCCGCCUUCCCUUGAGAUGCAGUAUCCAGUACAAAAGGCUCUGCAGUAUGUGGUGGGCCCCUGAGGUUGGGGGAAUGUUCAGAUUGGUUUGUGGAUGGGUUUGAGGAUUUGACUACUGGUUGGGUUUACCAAUACAUAAUUUGGAUGCAUAUAUGAAAAGUCUGAAUUUAAUCGGGCAAAGUAUUUUCAAGAGGGUUACGAAAGGAGGAAAGAAAGGUGCUUGGGUAUUGGAUGUGUGGGUGGUUGAUAGUCUUGGGCAGGUGGUGAUUAUCGAUAGGUUCUUGGUCGUUUGGGACCCCCACCAUUGUUGCUGGCGACCAGCUGAUCAAUUACACGCCUUUGUGCGGCCAUUUCAGCACUUAACUCACUGAACUUGCCAAGUACCUCACUUAACUGAGCUCCCAAUGCUGUGAAGUCCGGUGAUUAACCAUAGCANNNNNNNNNNNNNNNNNNNNNNNNNNNNNNNNNNNNNNNNNNNNNNNNNNNNNNNNNNNNNNNNNNNNNNNNNNNNNNNNNNNNNNNNNNNNNNNNNNNNNNNNNNNNNNNNNNNNNNNNNNNNNNNNNNNNNNNNNNNNNNNNNNNNNNNNNNNNNNNNNNNNNNNNNNNNNNNNNNNNNNNNNNNNNNNNNNNNNNNNNNNNNNNNNNNNNNNNNNNNNNNNNNNNNNNNNNNNNNNNNNNNNNNNNNNNNNNNNNNNNNNNNNNNNNNNNNNNNNNNNNNNNNNNNNNNNNNNNNNNNNNNNNNNNNNNNNNNNNNNNNNNNNNNNNNNNNNNNNNNNNNNNNNNNNNNNNNNNNNNNNNNNNNNNNNNNNNNNNNNNNNNNNNNNNNNNNNNNNNNNNNNNNNNNNNNNNNNNNNNNNNNNNNNNNNNNNNNNNNNNNNNNNNNNNNNNNNNNNNNNNNNNNNNNNNNNNNNNNNNNNNNNNNNNNNNNNNNNNNNNNNNNNNNNNNNNNNNNNNNNNNNNNNNNNNNNNNNNNNNNNNNNNNNNNNNNNNNNNNNNNNNNNNNNNNNNNNNNNNNNNNNNNNNNNNNNNNNNNNNNNNNNNNNNNNNNNNNNNNNNNNNNNNNNNNNNNNNNNNNNNNNNNNNNNNNNNNNNNNNNNNNNNNNNNNNNNNNNNNNNNNNNNNNNNNNNNNNNNNNNNNNNNNNNNNNNNNNNNNNNNNNNNNNNNNNNNNNNNNNNNNNNNNNNNNNNNNNNNNNNNNNNNNNNNNNNNNNNNNNNNNNNNNNNNNNNNNNNNNNNNNNNNNNNNNNNNNNNNNNNNNNNNNNNNNNNNNNNNNNNNNNNNNNNNNNNNNNNNNNNNNNNNNNNNNNNNNNNNNNNNNNNNNNNNNNNNNNNNNNNNNNNNNNNNNNNNNNNNNNNNNNNNNNNNNNNNNNNNNNNNNNNNNNNNNNNNNNNNNNNNNNNNNNNNNNNNNNNNNNNNNNNNNNNNNNNNNNNNNNCAAUCUUCCUUCUACUCGCUCAAAUCUGUCUGAAGUAACUUUUGCGAGCUUUUCCACUGCCAUCUCCCAACCAGGUUUAGUUUCAACUUGUUGUUGCCUUGAUUGAAAUCCCGGUGGAUUGGCUGGCCUUGGUUGAUUUCCUUGAUCCUUCCAUCCAAAGUUUGGAUGAUUUCUCCACCCCGGAUUGUAAGUAUUCGAGUAGGGGUUAUUUUGAGCAUUACGAUUGUAAUUAUUAACGAAUUGUACCUGCUCAGAAUCAACACACUCAUUAGUAUCAUGUUCACCUCCACAUAUAGAACAACAUGCUACAUGUGCAUUAGAUGAACUUGGACCAACUCCACUUUGUCUACUUAGCAACUUCAUCACAUUAUUCAUUUGAGUACUCAGCAUAUUGAGAGUGUCCAUUUCUAUCAUACCUGCGUGACGUCUUGUAUUACCUCUCUCAUUGGCCCAUUGGUAGUUGUUUGCAGCCAUUUCUUCUAUCAAAUUCUGAGCUUCUUGGGGUUAUUUACCCAUUAAAGCUCCACCUGCAGCUGCAUCGAUCAUAGUUUUAGUAGAAAAACUAAACCAUUAUAGAAGGUUUGUAUGAUUAACCACUCCGGCAGUCCAGAUGUGGACAUUUCCGAAGCAAAUCUCUAAACCUUUCCCAUGCCUCAUAUAAUGAUUCACUUUCUAAUUGGCAAAAACUAGUGAUAUCCAUUCUAAGUUAGCAGUCUUUACCUGGUGGAAAAUACUUAUUUAAGAAUACUCUUGAUAACUCAUCCCAUCCAGUGAAAGUAUUAGGAGCAUGAGAGUGUAACCAAAGUUUGGCCUUAUCUCUCAAUGAAAAUGGGAACAAUCUUAGCCUUAUAGCAUCAUCACUAACUCCAUUCAUUUUAAUUGUAUCACAAAUUUCCAAGAAUGUAGCUAAGUGUGUAUUAGGGUCUUCUACUGCAUUACCUCCAAAUUGAGAUUGUUGAACCAUUUGGAUAAGUGCUGGUUUAAUCUCAAAAUUGUUAGCAUUUACCGUAGGCCUUACUAUACUCGUUUGAGAUCCUUGUGUUCCCGGUAGAGCAAAAUCUCGUAGAACUCGCCUAUGUGCUUCGUUUUCUGCCAUGUCUUCUUCAAAUGGAAGCUCUAUUAAGAUAUCUUAUUGGCUGCCAAACCUCUUUUUCUCUUGAUGUGAUGUACUCCUCCUUUGUCUGUGUAAUGUUCUUUCAAUUUCAGGAUCGAAAUGUGCAACUUCUCGAUUUGAUCGGUGCAUACACUACAGACAAAAACAAGAGAAAUUUUGCAGUUUAAAUUCAACAACUUGAAAUAAAAAAAAAUGAAAAUAUCUAAAGUAAUAGAGAUGAUUAGGCCCUAAUAUUGCCGCUCCCGGCAACGGCGCCAAAAACUUGACGGGAUAUUUUGUAUCUAUACAAGUUUAAUUCCGAUUUUACACCCGUUGGACUGCAAGUAUACAGGUCGCAAUUGUAGUACAAGAUGUGUAUCGGGUCGAUCCCACGAGAAGCAAUUUAAACAAUUACUAAGCCCUUGUUCUCUCUAUUAUUUAGACUUACAAUUAAUUUGAGCAGAGAAAGUCUAAUGCUGUAAUCUACAAAUCUGAUAUACAAAUCUAGUUUAACAAAUACUGAGUACAAAUAGAGAAAUUUUACUUAAGGAAGAUUCUAGGGAUGUAGAUUCCACUUAUGGCAUAAACUACACAAAUGAAUGGAUUUACUCCUUGCUAUUAUUCUUGCUUAACCAGAGAUUUAUUUCCAAGAAUACCAAGUCUCAUUUUCAUGAUGAAAUGGCUUAGAGCAAUAUAGAUUUCCCUAUUUUCAUGGUGAAAUAUUCUACUACUCCGUUUUAUUUCAUGAAAUGCUCAAUAAUCCACCUAAGUGUAUCUCUAUUUUCAUGAACAUACAACUCAAGCUCUACUCAUGUAUUUCAAUUGUUAUUACCAAUUCUCAUUGAAUAAUAACACUAUAAAUAUGCUAUUGGUGAUCAAUCAACAACACGUAAUCACAGCUACACAAGUAGACAAGUUACUACAAGAUAUAACAAGUGUAAAUCACAUUCCAUUCAUAUUAUUUAACCAUAAGCUUCAUCUACUCCCUAGAUUAAGGGGUUUAGCUACUCAUGAAUGAUUUAAUAAUCAAACUCACAAGUUUAUUAAUGCCAAACAUCAUGAAGUACAAGUACAAGAAAGAUAAAAGAAAGCUUAGCCACUUGAAGGUGAAGCUCUCCAAUUCCUGCUAUGCUCUUGCACAAUAUGAUUACAAGUAAAAACUCCAAGUACUUCUCCAAGAACUCCUAUCUAGAGAGAAACUAGAUACCAGAAAGAAAACUAGUUACGUAUGGUAAUCCCUCUUCUCCCCAUCUUUCUGCAUAAAAAUGUGGUAGAAAUUCCAUUCCUCUCACUUCAUAAUUUCUUCCACUCAGAUUUUGUAAAAAGAGGUCAAAGAUAUGAUGUCUCCUUUUGUCCACAUUCAUUUGGUCUUCUCUUUUGUUGCAGAAGCAUGUGCCACCGAUUUCUGUCCCUCAAAAUAGCUGGAAAGUUAUGAAAAAGGUAAAGAAAAACGGCUAUGGCACUUGCUGAGGAGAGAGACAGAUCCGAGCCUCGGAUCCGAGGAGUGAAAAUUGGAUCCGAGCUCGGAUAUUAGGAUCUGAGGGCUUCCAUGAUGGAUCCGAGGUCGGAUCGUCCUGACCUCGGAUACACUCCGCCAGAAGUACAGACUAGGGGUCGGAUCCCUCUUGUACACACAGAUCCGUGCUCGGAUCUGUGUUGAACAAUUUUCCAGUUUUUCACUUCUUCCCUUUUUCUACAUUUUUGCUCCCAAUUUCUUGUGUACUUUGUCUUCUGAAUGACCCUGACAUUUCUUUCAACUUGUGCAUGAAUUUCAUACAUCAAUUACCUUCACAAUUUCACAAAAUUAACGCAUUAAUCCACUCAUUUAUUAAUUUCUGAACUCUUAAACAAUAUUUAAGCAAUUAUCACCAAAAGAGUUCAAAUAUGGCUUUAAUCUUCUCAAAACAUACCAAAAAUUCAUGCCAAAUUCGUACAAAAUGUACGUUAAAUAUUCACUUAUCAAGGAACCUCUUUAGGAAUUUGAUUGGUAUUAGGAAACCAAUCAAUUAAGCAAUUUGGCAGGGAGAAUUCAGCAUAUAGCUCUUGCUUAGGAACAAAGCAUAGUUAUUCUUGUUUUCUUGACCGAUUGACAAGAAGACAAUUGGAAAGCUUCGAACAGAUUUUUGCAUGGCUUGUUCUCCAUUAAUGGAGAACUAAUUUCAUAUUUCUAGUCAAGGGCGACAAUUGAAGAUUUGGUUCAACAAUAACUGUGAUCUAAAUUAUUUUAAUUGCUUCUUUCAUUCAUUGGUAUUUAUAUGUUUUUGCUUUAAUGGCUAUGACUACUGUGUAUGAUUGAAUAGUUGCGCAUAUUUAAUUAUUCACGUAGUCUAUUUGCUAAUUGGGGGUAGUUGAAUCCGUAAUUGUUUGAUUACUCCAUCCCGGUAGCAACUAGCAUGAUUGGUUUCAUGUUAGGAAAACGUAUGAUAUAACUUAAAUGAACCCUCGUAGUGUGUUUGUUGGUUAGAGUUGGGCUUUUCCAAUUCUUAUUGCAAUCGAAAAAUGAAAUCCUAUGAUCGUAUUUAGGGUUAUUUCUUGUUUGGUGAAAUAGUUAAUGAUCAUACCUUAACUAUCGAAAAAGUAAGGAAAGGCUGGUUGUUUAUCGCAUGCAUGACAACUAUAACCAAUCUAUUAAUGAGUAAUUGAAUUAUCUUUGCAUCGAUGAUCAGUUGAAUGAACCGUGUCUGAAAAGUGCACCUUUGAUUAGAAUCGUAUUGGUUAUUGAUUAAUUCAUGUUUAUUUCUGUUAGUUGUUUCAUUAGUUAGUUAAUUAGUUAUUUUAUAUUCUCCAAAAACCCCCCAUACUUCAGACCCUGGAAGAAACGAAUUAUCCCCAAUCCCUGUGGAUUCGACCCUACUUGCCCAAUAUACAAAUUAGAGAUUUUUCGUGAAUAAAUUCUGGUAUAUCGGAUUUAGCAAACUCUUCGGAACCAGGAUGAAUCUAGUAACCCAUUGCACAUCUAGAGUCCCUGCUCCAGUACCAGAAUUGACACGAAGUUGCUUCCGUUGGCAAUUAGGAUUAUUAAUAUUAUUAUUACACAGACUCGAUACCUGUCAAUACUCACCUAACAAACCUCCACCCGAGGAAAUUUUUUUUUAAAAAAAUCUACAUUAGGGUAUACAUUAGCAGAAAAUGAAAAAAAAAAAAAACUUUAGACUGCAAUCUAGUAACAUGUGUCCCAGGUGCACAAAGAAAUUGAAACAUAUAGAGCUUUGAUUGUCAAAAGUAGCACUAGUACUCCUCGGAGUUUAAUUCAAAUACAGAUGAUCAAAUAUGAGUGACGCCUUGCGCAUAGCGGCAAUAGAAAACUAUGAAAGGAUAUGCCACGGUGUGUCAGCCAACCGUCUUUAGAGUUGAAAUUCUUUCAGGAGCUUCUGUGAUUGUAUGGUUUUGUAAUCUAGCAGCAUCAGAUUUUGUGAGGCGAUGCGUUGAUGAAACUUGGGUAUUGGUAUUCAAUCCCAAGAUCUUUCAUGUAAAAUGACUCGGAUGCGGCAAAAGCCUUGGAUUCUCUGCUCCGGUCAACUUGAAAUUGGACUAGUCCCAGCACUUUAGGAAGUUGGUUAUUAGCACAUUUAAAUUUUUAUACUAAUUGUAGUAAGUAAUAUUUGGAGGGACCAUAAGUUCAGGUUGAAAAGAGGCAUGGUGAAAAUCUUUCCAAAUACAGACCCUACUACUUGUACAAAUAAAAGAGAGAACAAAAAUAUAUAACCCAUUAACACAUACUAAAAGUUUUUACAGCAAUUACAUGGUGAAUUCAUUAAAUUAGGCAUUUGGUUGACUUUGACAUGUGUGUCAAGUCAAAACAUUGUCAAAAAUUGCAACUUAUUGUAUACUGAUUUACUCGGCAAAAAUAAAUUUAGUUAAUUAUUUAUUGAUAGGAAAAAACUUUUAAAAUUUUGUUUUUCUUAAUAGAUACAUCGAAUGCCAUUGUUAAUCUCCACGUACUUUGAGGCACCAUUAUUGCCAACCUUGCGUCUAAGCAUUUAUCCAUACAAAAAUAGGUGAUUUUAAAAGCUAAAGACAUUUUUCAACCUUUAAAUGUAUUUUAAUAUGCAUAAACAACACGCUUAACCGCAUGUAUUUAUAAACUUUGCCACUGGAUAAUGCCUAAUUGGCCGUAACAAAUGAAGUUUCGGUACUUGAGGUGACGCACUAGUGAAACCAUGCAUUCCAGGGAUAAGAAUUAAACUUGGAAAUCUGAAAAAGAUAACUAAAGAAUAAAUAUUAGAAUCAAUAAUAUAAAAAAAAAAGUUUCCAAAUCAAAUCAAAAUUAUUGAAAAUUGACCAAAGCUCAAAUCCAAAUCAAAUAAAUCCUUACACGUUAAACCCACGAGAAACCUGUUAUCAAGAGGUGCAAUUACCACUUGAUAAAACUCCAAUGUAGCUAUCACCUCGUGGAUCACACAUAUGUUGGGUCCUCUUAAUUAUUUUCAGUUGGUACGAAAUCAUUCAGAUAUGAUUUCCGUGACAAAUUCUGAGUGUAACGCAAUAUUCACCUCAACCAGUUGAGACAUUGUCUGAUAACCAUGAAAUUUGACUCUCCAAUUCUUGGGUUUUGCCUCUCUCUUUAUAAGGUGUAGAAUGUGGGUUUUCUUUCGAAUGAACCUGGUUCUAAAGAAUGCUAACUGGCUGACAAUUGCGGAAGUUUUUGUGCAUAUCUCUACCAUGAAGCCAAUCAAAAUGUGAAUGGACUAGACAUAAAGGGCAGUAGUUUAAAAUUUGUAGUGAAAUUAACUUAAUUACCUCAAUGGGAUUGAACUAAAAAAUGCAAUCUUCUAUUCAGACAAAAUUCAUAAGUUCUAAGUUCAUUAAGAAAGAUCAAUGCCUGUCAUAUUAAUGCAAAAUUAUUGAUAACAACAAGAAGGAUACUUUUAGAGGUGAUAUAGUCUAGAGUCCAUGCAUCUAACCCACUCUCUUGACAUAGAUCGGAGUUCAGUGAGCGUUAAACUCAAGUCCAUUGGCCAAAAAAAAAGAAAAAAAAAAAAAGACUCAAGUCUAUUCAAAAAACCAAACAUUGGACUCCAAACCAGUGAUGUCGAAUUGAUUAUCCAUGGACGCUAAAACCGCCAGAAACAAGUCAUCAAGAGGUGAAACUACCACAUACGACAAUACCCAAUUAUUUAGCAAAUCAAGGAUAAGGAUUAGGACUGUCAAUGGGGCUGAGCCAGCCCGAGCUCGGCUCGUUCGGCCCGACAGAAAACCCGAUGAGCCCUAUCAUUUAGUGAGUCGGUCUGAGCUUGAGCCUAAAAAUUAGGCCCGAAUUAAAUGUGAGCCGAGCUUGGGCCUUAUUAGGCUCAAACCCGAUAUAGGCCCGACCCUUUAAUUACCUAUAUAUAUAAUAUUUAUAUUUUGAUAUUAUGUAUAAUUAUAUAUCCAAAUAUAUUUUUACUAAAUACUAAAUAUAUAUAUAAAUUACAAAACACAAAAAUACAUCUAAAGACUCUUUCAUGAGCUUUCUUGAGAGCCAAUAUUAGUAAUGCAUAACUAAAUCUCUAAUUUUUCUUAUUGGUUGAGUAAAUUUUUGUAUUGGCAUAUUAUUGGUUGAUUUUUUUUUGGUCUACAAACACAAAAAUCAUCAAGCAUGUUCGGAUUUAAAUCACAAGAUUAUAAAAAAAAAGUUUCAACUUUUAAAGAUGCAUUGGCUUAUGAUCGCAUGUUUUAUUACUAUUUUUCAUGCAUUUUAAACGGAUUAAAUAUAAAUAUUGUUGAAAAUUUUUUGGUUUAUAUACUUUUUAAGAACUAUUAUUUGUUCAUGUUUAGUUUUAAUAUUAUAGUCUUGUAUAUGUUAAAUUAGUUUUACAACUUAAUAGUUAUAGUAAUUAUAUUAAGAAAAUUAAGGAGUAAUAAGUGAGCAUGGGCUAAACCCGAUUAAGGCUCACAACCCAAAUAUUAUAUGAGCUAAGUAUGAGUUUCACAUUUACGAACCCGAAACUCAUAGCCCGAAGCCCAAAAAUGUUUCAAAUUAAAUGAGUUAACUUGAACUCAUCAAAGCCCGGCUCAUUAGGCCCGAUUGACAGGCCUAAUAAGGAUCAGACAAGUAUCAGGGUAUUAAUAGUCCUCUAUAUUAUUUAUUUGCAGCUGGUACGAAGUCAAUUAAUCAGAGAUACCCACCAAAUGACACAACUUAAGACUUGAAGGAAAAAUAUGAUUGCUGAAGAAUCGUUAUCAGAAUCAAAUCAUUGCACCUUAAAUACAACUUUUUGGAUUCGUUAGGUUUGCAUCGAGGUGGAGAAGAUCUCAAUUACAUACAAGCAAUUAACAGCAGAAGAAACAUAGCUUUAAUAUCUGAUUCUAGUAAUGGUUUCUGGCAAAGAAUACGUUGUCCUUCACGAGUAAUGUUUCUAGAAACAAUCUUUAUAUUUUUGUGUUUAAAAUAACUUGAAGAAUACGGCAAAAGUAAGCUUUGGUUUGUGGACUGAUGAGUAAACACUAUGAAAUGAUGAGUAAACAUCAACACUAUAUGUCUGGAAAGAGAGGAAUUACAUUAUUUUUAGCAACAAGGUUACUAAAAUUGGGGGUUAUUAUAACUUUAUCCCUUUAAACUAUAGUGCUAAUAUCAAUUUACCUUUUUAACAUUAUUUUGCAGGCAUUUGACCUCGCAGUUAUUCUCCUUUUUCAUUCUAAAGGACCAAGAAAAAUGUAAAAGGGUUCCCUUUUUUUUUCAUUCUCAACUAUUAAGAAAAAAAAAAAGAAAUUGAAUAGAGGUUGACAGAAAACUCAAUUUCAGAAAAAAGGAAAAUAAAGAAGAAUCCAAUAUUAUAAUUAAUUUAAAAUAAGUUAGAGUGGGCGGUAGGGGUGAAGAGUAAGUAGUAAUUUUAAAAUAAUAAGCACAUUGGAUUCUGUAUUAUUUUUAUUUUCUUUUUUAAAAUUGAGUUAUCUCUCUAUUUUCUUAUUUUAAGUAUUGAUAAGUACACGAGGAAAAAAAGAAGAAGACAUUUUUUUGACUUUUUUCCCCUUGUUAUUAAAGAGGGUGGAAAAAAGGGAGAAGACACUUUUUUAUUUUUUUUCUUGGUAUUAAAAGGGUGAAAAGGGGGAAAAAACCAUUCCAAUUUUUUUAAAAUUUUUAAUCAUACAGGAGAGGGAUGUAUUUCUUCUAAAAUAUUAGGUAAAUUAUAUAUAAUUUCCUGUGUUUUCAUCUAUUGCCACAUGAUUCCCAAAACAUUUUAGGGUUUUAUGCGGCUGAUGUAAGGGAAAAAAUUCAUAUUAAUACCUUAAAUUUCCCUUAAGGAGUUUUUAUAUUUAAAUCAAAUUAUUCAAUGAAUAUAUUUUUGUUUUUCUCCUAGUCUCAAAGAGUCUUGCCUCAGGCCUAAAUCAUUUCCGCUAUAUUCCUUUGGCCAAAUUUACAAUCGUAUAUUUGUGUUUGUAGCCGUUGAUUGAACUUUAGUCUUAGGAAAAAUGAUAACAAAUGGAAAGAGUGAGAUACAAGUCAAUUAAAAAACAUGAUUAACACUAGAAUUUGUGAGACAUGGAGACUUGGAUUAUAAAAAGGAUAAGAAAACUUGAAUAGGUGAAAAAAGGUGCAUUAAAACUAUACGAAAGAAGUAGCAUAACAGUGAUAUAGUAUUUGGUGAUGAGCAGAUUCUUGGUGAUAUGUUUUUUAAGUUUGAUAGGCAUUUUAUUACUUUUGGGAAGAUUAUUAUAAUCAUUUUGAGUCCUUAAGAAAAGCAUGGAAGUAUAAUAUUUGAAUAUAGAGGUGGGCAACGUGAGAUUAUCAGAAAUCUUAGAAGAAGUUUUUGAAAUUAUCCUUUGCUGUAAUACUAUUCUUUUUUUUUUCUACUUUGUGAUUAUUGAUUUCCACAUUCACACUCGAAAUGCUAAGGCAAAAAGCAAAAUUCAAAAGUAGUGGGUUGGUGGCUCAGCUCAUAUGAUUCUGAAAUACAACGAUUUAUUGGGCACAUUCUACCCAGUAUUGUCUGUUGGCAGAUUUGGAAAGCAAGGAAUAAAGCAAUGUUUGAGGAUAUUCAGAUGAGCCGCUUGCCAUUUGUCGUGCCAUUUUCUCGGAAAUCCAGACCAUUGUGGGAAUUUAUUUCAAACAAGUGUUCAGAGUACAGUCAUUUCAUCAUUUGUAUGAUUGGUCGUAUUCUUCUCAUACUGAGGUUACAUACAAACUUGUUCGUUGGGAAGCAAAGGAAUCCGAUCGGUUCAUAUUAAAUACGGAUGGCUGUUCUAAGGGCAAUCCAGGGAGUGAGUGGAGGCGGUGGGGUUCUUCGGGAUUCAAAUGGCAUACCUUUGAUUGGCUUUUCGGCAUAUCUUGGGGAAACUACAAGUCUAUGUGCAGAGGUUCGGGCACUCCUUAUUGGGCUUCAAACUUGUGUACAUAGGGGUUUUCAAAAUCUCUAUGUUCAAUCGGAUUCUUUAUUAUUAGUUGGAAUUCUUCAGAAUCGCAUUCAAUGCCCCUGGAAGAUUCGACGAGAGAUUAGGCAGAUUUGGCAGUUGGUGAAAGAUCCUGAUCGUUUUUCGCAUUGCUAUAGGGAAGCUAACAAAGUUGCUGAUGCGCUGUCCAAUGUGGGCGUAUUUCAUCCAGAGCAUCAAGUCAAGCUUUACGAGGCCUUUAAUUCGUUCCCAACUAUGGCUCGUGGGGCCAUUCGACUUGAUAGAUUAGGAAUGCCUUCAAUUCGGAAAAGUAAGCGUAUGAAGGGCUGAGAACAAAGGACAACUGGAGCUAAUAUGCGGUUGCGGUUGCGGUUGAAUGAGACAUGGAGGUUUUGUGUGCUUUAUUACCUUUUCAGUCGAUUGCUGUACUUCGAAUUGGUCUUUCUCAAUGUGUAAAAUUUGCUCCUAUCAAUAAAAUAAACUAAUAUUUAAUUAAAAAAAAAAGCAAAAUUCAAGGAUGAAAAUGAAAAAAAAAAAAAAGACAAGGUUAUAAACAUAGGGAAAGACUCUAUAUUUGAUUAAUGCUAAAAUAUUAUAAAAUGAUUAUAGAAUUUCUUUUUCAUUUUUUAUGAGUGACAUUUUUAUUAAGAAAAUUUAGUAGGGGAAUGAUGGGAUUUAAAAAGUGAAAAAAGAACAAAGAGAUCAAAAUUCAGGAUCUCUAAUUCUUGGGAGUAACAUGAUAAUAUUAUUUCUAAAAAUCCAAUAUCAAAUCCUAUUGGUGUAAUAUAAAGGAAUUUGGAUGAUUGAAGUGUUUAAAAUAUAAAAUACUUCUAAAUUAUAAUAUCUUAUUCAUUAGUCGAAUGUGGAAUCUUAUGUUUGUUGCCCCUUUCUUUUUUGCUUUGGAUUUGGGUUUUGAACUUUGAGUAUGAAUUGAGUAAGAUUAUAGCAUGAGAAGGUUCAUCAUGUUCAUUUAAUUAAGGUCUUCCUGCAUUUAAAAUGGGAGCUUACAUGACAAAAAAAAAAGAUUAAAAUGGUAAUAAUUUACAAAAGAGCAUCAUAGUGGGAACAUUUUUCCUAAAAAAGGUCAUUUCAGAACUAAAUUCCGUGAAUCCAUGGUUUCAUGUGGGGUUUCUUUUCAUGGACGUGAUUAACAUCAUGUCUCUUAUCAUUUCGAUGAGGAUUAUUAACAUCCAAGUCCUAGAGCCUGAUUGCAUUAGUACUAUCCUUGGCCUUGGGUAUAAUAUCACAAGUUCCUCCCUGUAAAGGUUGCAAUGCGUUUUAAGAGAGUGAGAAUUAAGUAUAUCACGGGAAAAAAAAAAUUAAUGGCAAAGUAACUUACCAGAACAACCAACAGAUGGAGGAGGAUAAUCCAACAAGCAAGUCCUUUGGAAUCCAUCAAUUGGUAGGUUUUAUAUCCCUUGCAACUCCUCCUUUGAAGGAUUAGGCAACAGCAGAAGCAAAUGCCAAAUAUUACAUAUCGAUGAAAAGUGUGCUUGAUUAGAAGGUUCUUUUUCAAAUAGUCGAUUAAAAUAUGACCCCUUGACAGAUAGUGUUUCUUAUUGAGGUUGAAAAAUGAACCAAAUUAUUUGAUACUCAAAUCAAAUUUGGCUAAAGAAAAGUUUGUUUGAACUUAGUUUGCCAACUAAUCAAUUUAAAAUUUAAGAAGUAUUAUUAUGUGUUAGAUUAACUAUCAAAUUUGGCAUUAACUUGGCUUGAUUAACAUAAAAUUAGAAUUUACAAGUAAAAAAUUCAAGUUACUCAAGUUCGACUCAUGCUCGAUUCUAUAAAAAAACUCAUUUGAGUUUGGCUUAAUUAAUAAACAAGUCAAAUUUGAAGACCUUCCUCUUAAAAAAAUUUUUAAAAAAUCAAGUUUGAGUACAGUUUUAAGUUUAUUAAAUAAUCUAACAAGUUUGAAUACUAGAACAUUGAAUCUAGUAGACCUACACAAAAUCACUAAAUUUAUUUUAGACCAUAACUGUAGAUUGUUUAGAAAAAAAAGGACCAAAAUGUAGACCUACCCACGUGACAAAACCAGCCACGUGAUCCAUGCUGUAACCUUGCUAGCUUCACUUAGCUAUCGCCUUGUAUAAAUAGCCGUAUACCCCAAGAGUCUUUUCACCACCAAAGUUACAUUUUGAGGCUUGUCAUAGGCAAGGCAUGGCUUCAUCUAUCACUCUGAUCGCAGUCUUUUCAAUUGCCCUGGUAAGUUCUCAACCAUCAAUACUGUACUUGAAGUAGUAGUUCAUACGAGAUAAUUGCUAGACUGUAUAGGAAUACUGAUGAAACCCGUGAAUUAAAGCUACCUGAGAAAACACAUUCUUCUUCCUUUUUGCACAUUCAUCUGCAGCUCUAACCAUCGCCACUGAAGGAAUGGAAGCUCUUCAGAUGCUCUGUAGUUCUAUUCUGAUAAAAUCUUGACUUCCAAACAUUACCAAUGCUGGUACCAUACUUAAACGUCAAUGUAACUUGAGUAAUGGCAUAUGACACUAUUUACCAUUUUUUAGUUGGAGGAUUCAUCCGGGAAAGCUUGAAGGUCAAAUCAAUACCUUAAAAUCAACAAAUGAAUAUUCCUGUUGCCAGUUGAGCUCGUAUUUGGACAUAACUAUCCUUCCCUACAAGGGGUCAUCUUUUACAGUGCUACCAUCAACGUACCUAUAUGGCUAUAUUGACGUUAGUUUCUUUUAUGGUGAUAUUUGCACUAAUGUGCAGUUUGGAUGCAUCACGGAAGCAAGGAAGAAUCCUACGGACUUUUUGCAAUCUGCUGUCAUUAAUGAGCAUACUGAGGACAAUCACCAUGCAGAGCCGUCCCCUUCCAAUCAGAAGAAGACAACUAAUGGUAACACAUUGAAAGACUUUGAGUCGAAGCGUGGCUCCCAUCUCUUCUAUCAUGGCGACGACGCUUCUCCUCUGGUGAAAGACUUUGAGUCGAAGCUUGGCUCCCUUCUCUUAUAUCAUUAUGGCGCCGAGGAGAAACCUCUGAGGAAAGACUCAUUAUUUGGCGCUCCUCUGAGGAAAGACUUUGAGUCGAAGCUUGGCUCCCUUCUCUUAUAUCAUUAUGGCGCCGAGGAGAAACCUCUGAGGAAAGACUUUGAGUCGAAGCUUGGCUCCCUUCUCUUAUAUCAUUAUGGCGCCGAGGAGAAAACGCUGAUGAAAGACUUUGAGUCGAAACGUGGCUCCCAUCUCUUCUAUCAUGGCGACGACGCUAAGCCAAUGAAAGAUAAUUAAUGUCCAGGGAAGCCGCAACUUUACCUCUGUACGGACUACGGACCUGUGUCUCUUCUAGCUGGUCCGUUUUUAUCCAUUGUCUUCUUUCAACCAAGCGUUCCGUAAUAAAUGUCAGUACAGUUGAGUGCAUUUUCUGUUUCUUUGUUUGUUGUUCUUUUUGCCAUUUACCAUAUACAGGAAGUGCACAAAAAAUGAGCACUAUUCAAGCAUUAUAAGAAUCGUAGAGUGAGCGAACCGCUUUACCUUGAUAAUCUAAAAAGAGUUCUGCAAACUCGUACUCUUGUACGAAACCAGGACCAAAUAUAUAUAUAUAUAUAUCGAUUCAAUUUUCUAACUAUGUGUGUGGUACGAAUGCACAUUAGAAGUACAGAAAAUUCUCGAGUAAACUUUCACAAAAGAAGGGAAAGAAUGGAGAACUCUUGAAGCGUGAUUGAUCGCUACUCUUAGGAAUUUAAUUAUCCAUACUACACUAAGUAUUUGCUGUAGAGAUAUGGUAAUUUAACUUUAAGAUACAACAAGAGAAGAAGCAGUUGAUAGCAAAUAUCAAGUUUCUCAAACUAAGAAAUGAUCAAAUAAUUCUAGCUAGUUUUGACAUUAAAAGGCUUGUUUAUUUACAGGUAACCUUGUUUUCUUUUUGUCCCAAUUAUUUGACUUUAAACUUGGUUCUGUGACAUGGAUUCUACGUGUUAGUAUACACAACACUAAUCCUAAACAUUAAGUGAAAAUCAUAUUAUGGGUAACUGAGUACCGCAUAACUUGCAAUUAUCCACUUACGCACUCAAUAUUAUUGGAAAUUACAUGGAUUUUUGUUUCGGUAACUCUAAUUAUAGUCUCAAGAUCCAUCUUAAUUGAAGGGGCCAUUAUGAAUUAGAUGAACAUGAAAUUGUAUUUCGAUUCUCAAGCUAAUCCCUUCCUCUUUCUCCAUUGUAAGGAUUAGUCUCUCUUUUUUUUUUUUAAGUGCUCUAAUUAUACAGGAUUAAAGCAAGUAGCAAUGGUCUAUAAAAGGAUAAAAAGUAAGCAGGGGCAUAUUUAUUAAAACAUGAAAAUAAUAUGAAAUUUUAUAAUACGCAUGAUAUGAAUAAUGAAUUGUACGUCAAUAAUGCCAAUAUAUUUGAAAAGUACAAAGCUGAAAAUACAGCUUCACUUACUAUGUGCAUAAUAAAUAUUUUAGCGAAGAUUUUUUAUUUUUAGUGUAAGUGAGAAAUUUGAACUCCAAACCUUUCACUUACACUCUUUUUUCAUACCAUCCAAUCCAUCCCUACAUUUUUAUGAAGAUGAGCACAUAAUGUGAGUUUUUAUUUUUUGAGGUGAAUAACUUGUUCACAAAAAAGUUUACUCGAUUUAUGUAAAGUUUAAACUUUGGGCUGUCUAAACAACGCAAGUAGAUGGCACUAGGACACAAUUCAUUAUGAUGACUUCAUCCAAGGUAACGAAAAAAAAGUUGUACAAUUGCACUUAAAAUUUGUGAAAUUUAUAGUACUAUUUCAUGGUUUAUCCUCUCAAAGUUAACAACAAAUAAUGCUUUAAACUCCGUUUAAACAACUUAUGAGUGUAAUUCAAAUUUAUUGCUCCAUUAUGUAUGUACAAUGUAUCAAAACAGAAGAGUAGCAAAUUGUGUUUUAUUGCACUUUCUGUUUAGCUAGCUUCAUGCAAAUUAACCUUCGUAGAUUAUAGGUAAAGAAUUGGUUUGCCAUUCAAUGUAUCCAAGAAAUAUGUGUUAGUACAUAAUGUUUAUUUCAAUGGAUGCACAGGUGUAAAACAAAAUUACAAAUUAUUAAGUUUUAAACUUUACAAGUACUUAAAGCACAAUAAUUUUUAUUAAAUUAAAAUUUUCCCUCCUGUGAUUUGGUAGUUUAUCAUAUAACCCCUCUAUAGUUUAAAAAUCUAACACAACGUCCUCAUAAUCUAGGUUAACAUAUCAUCAUUAAUUUUUCUAUUAAAACUAACAAUCAAUAGUUCAAAGUUUAAGUCAAAUUAAUAUAUUGAAAAAUUUACCCUUUCACUAAUCUAAUUCUUUGAGGUAGUUACAAAACUAUUACAAUUAUUAUACACCUUAAACUAUGUAUUUGUUUUCAAGUAAACACAAAAGAUGCAGCAGACCAUUUUUAGCCAAGUUAAUAAAAUUGCAAAUGUAACAAUAUAAAGCACCCUAUCAAAAGUUACUCUAUAUGAUUAAGAAAAUAAUUUAUAUUUAUUCGAAUGGAAAAAAGUUGCCAGAAGAGGGAGACACCAUAGGAAAAAUAGUUUAGAGUGAACUGCAUCAAUCAUGCCUUCCAUCGGGGGGAAAAAAUGAUAGAUGUGCGUGUAUAUAGAUACAUACACGCGCAUUUAUGUAUGUGCAUGUACACGGACGUGAGGUUGUUCCUUUGAAAAGUAGCUUCUCCUGCAAUAAUCCAAAUUCUAGGACAGUGGCAGAAAUGGAAAAGUAGUAUAGGCUGCACCGAAAUCUACUAAAAUACAAGCUUGAAAUUCAGAUAGAAAUCGAAAUACAUAAAAAGAUCAGAGCUUUUUUUUUUUUUUUUUUUUGAGGAGAUAAAACGUUCAAAGCUGAAAGCAGAACCAGUCUUUGAGUCGUAGUGUUAUUUAGAUUCAAGUGAAAGACGGGGCACACGACCAAUACAGCAGCCAAAUAGAGAUGGAAACUUGAGCUCUUGGACUCUAUGGCCGAAUGAUAGAGCCCUAGAUUGGAACCAGUGCAAAGCUUUCUGCCGCACUAACAUGGCAAAUAGGGGAGGUCCCGGAAGGCAAUGUGACCAUGGCUCCAGCGAGGGGUAUCCAUGUGACAAACAACUUCGAUCUUUUCACCAUCCUCUCCGCUUAGCAAAAUCCUAUACACGCCCGAUCGUGGCCUCUUGAGCAUGGUGUUAGGAAAUUAGUUUAAUUUCUUUUAGAUAGAUUUCUUGUUUUGUGUGGAAGUAACUAGUUUUUUAAUUGAUUUUGGUUACUUAAAAUAGUAGUCAAGAAAUUUCCUAUUUUAUUUAGGAUUAGAAAUUAUUUCCUAUUCUGGACAAGUCUAGGAAUUAGAAUUGGUUUCCUGUUGUUAUUUGGGUUUUUGAUCAGAUAAUAUUUUCCAUAAAUAUGUGGAUUAGCAUACUAUACAAGAGACACACAAGGGGCACACAAGAGGCGACAUGUAGCCCAAUACAUGGGUGGAGAGAGAGAGUUCUUGAAAGAUGAGAGAUGGUAUAUAAAGAUUAGAUUUUGGUUUAAGUUGUAUUCUUGUAUAGGAUUUUUUUCUCUCAUAAUAAAGAAUGAGUUUCUCUCCGUGGACGUAGGCUCAAUAGUGGAACCAAACCACAUUAAAUAAAUAUUGUGUCGUUUAUCUUUCAUACUUGUGACUUAUUUAUUAUUAAUUAUUGUAUACUUGAUAUCUUAAUAGUUAUUUGUUCUGCGCUUGAAUCCUAACAAAUAGUAAUAAAAGAUUUAAGGAUAAGCUAUGGUACGACAUGUCAUCUUUGGAGUUAAAAUCAUUUCAGGAACUUACAAGAUUGUGUUGUUUUGCAAUCUAUCUGGAGUUGAUCUCGUGGGCUGUUAUGUCAAAAAGACUCCAAUAUUGCUCUCCGACCCUUGAUUUUUCUGGCAAAUUCACCCAAUGACUCAUAGGAUGUGACACAAGUACUCGUCUCUCUCCGUUGAUUGGCAUCCUCUCACACUCUCAAAGUGUAUUUUCCAUCAUCUGGGCUUUUCGAGAUCCUUGAGGAAUCGAAAAGUGUUCAAGAAUGUAAGGGAGUUGCUCUAGCUGUAGCAACUGACAAAAUUAUCCUUGAUUGCUUAUUCUGUCUACAGGGCUGAAUGCACAUGCAUGUGGCAACAGUAUAGCGCCUGUUAAUGGAGUCUUGGUGCUAUAUAUGGCCCAUUCUUAAGCCAUGUUUUGUUUGAUUGGUUUCUAAAAGCCAGUGAUCAUACUGAGACCGGAUUGCCCCUGACGAAUUUGAAUUAUGGAGGCGAGUCCAUUAUUUGAUCAAGAACCACCCAGAUUUACUAGAUGGCAAGCCAAGAUUUCAAUCUCAUCGAGCUCUUUUGCAUUCAUUGUAUUGCAUGUACAAGACCAUUAGUUUCGUUAUGUUAACAAUAGUUAUAGAUGCACAUGCAUUAACAAAAAAAGUAAUUUUAGUUUAUGUACAUGACUCAGGAAAAAAUAUACCAAUAUAUAGUAAUUCUUGAUAUAUAUAUAUAUAUAUAUAUAUAUUGAUUGCUAGUUCUUGUACGUAACUCAGGGGAAAAAAUUUUAGUUCAUGUACAUAAAUCUUGACGUAUGUGUAUACCAAUUUUUUUGAAAGUUAACUCAACCAAGCACAACUGGACCUGCGCCAAUCCCUAAUCAAAAUUUGAUGCACAUGCCAUAAAUUAAAAUAUAAAAAACUUAACAUUGGAGAACUAAAUGCGGCAAAAGAAUAAAUAAUAUAAGACUAUUGUACAACAUCAACAUAUGACACAAGUCUAUUGUACAACAUCGUCAAAUUAAGAAAAAAACACACUCAGAAUACAUAGAUGUUCUGUACAGUCCCUAAAACUUUUUUUUUCUUUUUACUAAUUUGAUCCGGCCCACAGAACUCUCGUCUUUACCGUUACUAUUUCAACUUCUAAUUAUCUUUAGGGAAUUAAGAAGGCCUUACUGUAUAAUAGGUCUGAAGAAAAGUUAAUACACUGUUAAAAUAAGUGUAGAAGAGUUCAGCCAGCCAUGUCUUUGCCUUGUUGUUAUAGUGUGCUUGAAUUUUCUCCUUCACAUUAUGAAAAUGGUGACAUUGUGCACCCCGCAAGUGUUUAUGUCUUUAUAAACCUUCAACAAUUCGUCAUCACUGCCCAAAGUUGUGAGCAAUAUCCUUUUUUUCCCUUAGUUCUUUCACAUCCUUGGGUUGUCGAUCAGCGAUUUCAUGAACUCAAUAUAUGCUGUCACUGCUCGGUCAGUGCUGGUACUUGGGCACAUUUCAUAGGCAAUCAUAUUUAAAAAGAAAACUUUGGUGUCAAUCGAAACAAACCAAAUUGGAACUUCAAGUGUUGCAUAGAAAUAACCUGAUUUGAACUUGAUGCCCUUCGAAGAAUCAGCACUGCUGGUCCUAAAGUGAAUUCCCUUGGCCUUCAACUCCGUGGCUGAACGAAAGCAAUGAACGUAUUUUUUCGUGCUAGAAUCAUUGUCAAUAUUUGAUCUUCUCCACCGCAGAAAACAUGGCAAAUUAUGAAUAUACUCGUGAAGAUUGCUGCAUCUGCGAAAAUUUUUGAAGUGAUUGAGACAGACAGCGUCAUUGCUGGCCCUAGAUUUUGGAGAAAUUGGUUUGUCUUUACAGGAUUCAGAGACAAGAACUGGCCAGAAAGCGUCCAGAAGAUGAUGGGGUAGGUCCUUAUCUCUGCUAGCUAUUCCACUCCCCUUGUAAUUCCCGAACACAGUCCUGUUCAAGAACUCGUUGAGCACCUCUUCACCUUCUUGUUUCCCAUAUCUCAAACACAUCAGAAACUUAAGAAGCUAGAAAGGAAUUUGAUUUUCAAGUAAAACAUGUCACGAAGUACAAUCGCCGAUACCAAAUCACCAAGAAAUAGCGUGUGAUGUAAAAGUUUGCGGCACUUUUGCAUCUAGAAAUUAUGUCGUUGAUAAUGAAAUAGGCAUCAGGAAGCAUCAUUUGUCACUACAAGAAAAUUGAUUUUCAAUGACAAGCCAUUUCUGUCACAAAAAAAUGAAAAGUCGUCACUGAUAACUUUUAUUGACAACUUUCUAGUUGUCACAGAGUCGUCACUGAAGGCCCGUCGGUAAAAGUACAUAGUGACGACCUUAAAAGUCGUCAGUGAAUGGGACUGUUUUGCGACAACUGAUGUCGUCAAUAAUUGUUGUACUUUUUAGUGAUGACAUAGUAUCUUGUCAAUGAUAUACAAAGUAUUGUUGUCACUAAAACUAAUUCAUAGUUGUCAUUGGUAUAGACUAAUUACUGACAACAGGUUGUUAUCAAUGGAGAAUUCUAUGACAACAGGUUGUUAUCAAUGGAGAAUUCUAAUUCAGUGACAACACUUUAUCACCAUGAAAUUUGAAGAUUUUCCUACUACAAUUAUAUCUAAAAAUGAAAAAUAAUAUAUCUUACAUGCCAUUAAAAAACAAAUAAAAGUUGUAACUGCAUUAGAAGCUGCAUGCCAAUAUACCACAAAUUAUCUCCAAAUGUCAUAUAAGUUCUAGAUCGUAAAAUAAAUGUUUCAAUAAGGGGUCUAGGAGUCCCAAAUUUUACAUCAAAUUAAGGUCGUUUUACAAAAGACUACUGAAAUAAAGAAAUAGAAAACUCGUGAGUGAGCUGCAUGAACAAAAGACAUAUUCAACUCCAAUGUCGGUCAAUCAAACGCAUGGACUCUAGUGUUGGAAAUUUUAGUAAUAUUCAUUGAUCUUCCAAAAAGGUUGAAUGAACUGCCAUUUUCUACAUUAAGGAAGGAAAAUAAGUAGUGAAUACAAAGACGAGCAAAACAUCAAAGUAAAAGCAACUUUGGUUAGCUUAUCCACCCAAAAAUGCAGUUGAUUCACAUGAACAUAACAAAUUAAGUAUGCAGAGGCCCCGUCCUGGGCCGGGACACGUGGUAGCCCAGGUGCGGUCAAACUGGGCCUGAGCCCCAGGCCCUGGCAGCCGUCCGGGCUGCGUUGCUAGGGCUCCUGGAGGGGCUGAGAAUCCAUCCCGAAGAGGUCGGAGACAAUCCCCCAAGUGCGGGAUAAGGGCUAUUCUGGGCAGGUCCCGAAACGUACGGAGGUCGGACUUCCGCACAGGUAUAAAUGGUAGAACACAUCAACUGUACAAGGUACGCUCACUAUUGGCAAAUUGCUCCCGGCUGUUUAUACUUCCCGUGAAUUCUUCUCAUCGGAAAACUAACUUGGUCGUCGGAGCGCCCUCGAGGACCGACCUCGGGCCCCCCGUUGUUAGCUCAUUCUUAUCUGUUUUGCAGGCUUGGAGCCAGCUCUUCCAUCAGCAUCCGAGCUCAUCAGUUCAGCUCGGUCCGGGGAAGCUCAGCGCUUCUUCAGUUGGCGCCGUCUGUGGGAACCGGAAGAGGUAAGUGCAGUUGUGCUGAUGGCGAGGACGCGAUCCAAGCGAGCGGUAGAGAGCACCGGCCCUGGAGGCGGUGAGGGGUCCCAACGAAGAGAGGCUGAGGCAUCCCGGGGCGCCGGGGGCUCAGCCCUUUUAGGAGAAAGGAUGCAGCAGAUCCUCCAGUUCGUGACGGAGAACCUCCCCAUGCUGGAAGACAUCAUCCGGCAGGCGAAGGAGGGGGAGGAGGCUGGAGGCGCGCAGACCUCCAAGGCGAAGGGGAAGGAGAAGGAGCCGCUCCCCGAACCCUCGAAGGAUGAGUCGCACGACCAACCCCCCAGGAGGAAACGGCCACGGACGCCGCCUCGCCCGCGAGCCUCGAAGUCGGAGACAGCGAAAGGUACUCCCGCUACAGGUCCACUGGGGGCAGGCCGAGGGGCCCCUCGCCGAGGAGGCCUGCGAGGAAUGGUCUUGCCCGCUCCCCAGCCCGCUCUGCCAAGAGCCGACCGCGCAAUCCCCUUCACUUGAAGCCUGUCCAAGACGAGCUCGAGCAGAUCUUGCGGCCGCAGCUGUACGCGGACAACUACUCCACCUCGCCUUUCCCCGGGAGAUAGAGGAUUAUCCCCUGCCCCGGAGGUUCAAGAUCCCAAUCAUCGAGAUGUAUGAUGCUUCCACUGACCCGGAAGACCACCUCUCGGUUUUUCUGACGCACAUGCGUCUGCAAACCGCAGCGGAUGAGAUCCGUUGAAAGACCUUCCCUAUGUUCCUGAAGGGGAAAGCUCGGCUCUGGUUCCAGGGCUUGGCACCAGGAUCUAUUCGGAGUUUCCCCGAGCUGGCUAGACAGUUCGUCGCCCAGUUCGUCUCCUCGAAGACCUACGCGAAGAACGCCACCACCUGAUGUCUAUCAGGCAGAAGCCCGAUGAAUCGCUGAGGAACUUCAUGACCCGCUUCAACGCGGAGAGCUUGCAGGUCAGGGACAAAGAUGAAAAAGUGGUAAUGGCCGCCUUCACGAACGGGCUCAGGGUAGAGGAGCUCUUCUACGAGUUGGCCAAAAAGCCUCCCAUAAACCUGGAGGAGCUCCUAACCGGGCGCACGCGGCCGCCAACGCAGAGGAGGCAGGUCGCCUGAAGAAGGAGUCAGAUCGGAGCUCGGAGAUCGGAAGGGUCGGGCGAACCCCAAGAGGGCAAGGACAUCCCGGCCAAGAAGAAUGUGUUUGAUCGGCUCUCGAAGGAGAAGGCGCCUGCUCCGCCGCCACUCCCAGAGAAGAGCUACACCCCUCUGACACGGCCUAGAGCUCAGAUCUUGGCUGUUAUGGAGGCGGAAGGGCUGGGAGAUCGGCCGCCUAAGAUGGGGACACCUCGGAACAAGAGGAACCAGGACCGGUACUGUGCCUUUCACCGUGACGUGGGACAUGACACGGAGGGAUGCUGGGCCCUACGGAAGGAGAUCGAGGAUCUGAUCCAGCGUGGUUUUCUGGGACGGUUCGUACGCCAUGGCAGGUCGGGCCAGGAGUCCGGGCGCCAUUAUUAUGGAGACCGGCGUGAGGGACAGCGCCGCGACCGCCCUGAGCGGCGUGACGCUCCUCGGGGCCACUCUCCGACCAGGACAUCCAGAACUUGGCGGGGGUGAUCAACACCAUCGCCGGAGGCCCCACGGGGGGACAGCCAUACAUCUCGGAAGAGCAAGCGACCGCCCCCGAAGGGGACGACUCCUUGAAACGCUUGCGCAUGGACGAGGAGAUUACCUUCGGACCAAGGGAUGCGGUCCCCCUGAUUUCCGAGAACCACGAGGCCAUUGUGAUAGACAUCGUCACCAACAACUACCGGGUGAAGAAGGUGUAUGUCGACCAAGGUAGCGCGGUUGACAUUAUGUUCUAUUGGGUGUUCAAGGAGUUCGGACUGAAGGAUGACCAGCUGACCCCGGUUCGGACACCUCUGGUGGGCUUCACUGGACCACCCAUCAGCUCGGAGGGGAUGAUCACCCUGAUGGUCACGGUAGGACAGGCUCCCAAAUGCCGGACCGUUCCCGUUAACUUUGUGGUGGUCAAGCAGUCGUCCCCGUACAAUAUGUUCCUUGGGAGACCUUCUUUGAACGCCCUCCGAGCUAUUUCCUCCACUUUCCAUCUCAGCGUCAAGUUCCCCACCCCUGGAGGGAUAGCCGAGGUGCACGGCGAUCCAGAAGUAGCCAGAGCUUGCUACCUGGCCACGCUCCGCGGGCAGGAAAGAUGGUCGCCCAGACAACCUGUUUGGAGCCCUACAUCCCGGGGGAUGAGGCCCAUCGGCUGGGCACCCAGGAUGAGGUUGAGGAGUUCCCCUAAGGGAGGAUCGGCCCGACCAGGUUCUCCGCAUUGGAACCUUGUUGCCCGCCAAAGAGAAGGAGGGCUUGAAGGCCCUGUUAAGGGAAUACUCCCAAGUCUUCGCUUGAUCGGUGGAUGACAUGCCCGGGAUUCCGACAGAUCUGGCAGUCCACCAUCUCAAUGUGGAUCAUCACUUCAAACCAGUGAAGCAGAAGAAGAGGAGAUUCGCCCCCGAAAGGAAUGAGGUGAUCAGGGCGGAGGUCGGCAAAUUGCUGGAGUCCAAGAUCAUUAUGGAGGUCUACUACCCGACCUGGCUGGCCAAUCCGUCCUGGUGAAAAAGGAGGACCAGACCUGGAGGAUGUGCGUUGACUUCACGAACCUCAACAAGGUCUGCCCGAAGGACUGCUUCCCCCUGCCAAGGAUCGACAGGUUAGUGGACUCUACUGUGGAUUUUGAUGUCUUGUGUUUUCUCGAUACUUUUAAGGGGUACCACCAGAUCGAGAUGGCGGAGGAGGAUAGGGAGAAGACCUCCUUCAUCAUAGAGGAAGGAACUUAUUGCUACCGGACCAUGCCAUUCGGGCUGAAGAACGCUGGAGCUACCUACCAGCGCCUGGUAAACAAGCUAUUCCAAAAUCAGAUCGGGCGGAGUAUGGAGGUGUACGUGGAUGACAUGAUCGUUAAAAGCCGAACUGAUCAGCAGCUCGUCCCCAACCUGAGGGAAAUCCUGGAUAUCCUUCGAGAGAGCAGGAUGCGGUUGAACCCGAAGAAGUGCACCUUCGGGUCAGGUCCGGAAGGUUUUUGAGGUUCUUGGUGUCCCGAGAAGGGAUCCGGGCAAACCCGAACAAGCUCCAAGCUAUAAUGGACAUGGCCCCUCCGAGGAAUGUGAAGGAGGUUCAGCGGCUCACCGGGAGGAUGGCCGCAUUGAGCAGGUUCCUCUCGCGUUCCGCGGUUCGGGGCUACCCUUCUUCCGCGUCUUGAAAGCGCCGAAAGAUUUUCACUGGACUGAGGAAUGCCAGAAAGCUUUCGCCGACCUGAAGGCUUAUUUGGCUGAGCUGCCCACUCUGACCGUCCCAGAGCUGGGGGAGACCCUAUUCCUGUACCUGUCCGCCUGCAACGAGACCGUCAGUGCGGUCUUGGUACGGGAAGACGGGCUCAAAGACCGGUGUACUACGUCAACCGAGCUUUACAAGGGCCAGAGACGCGAUACACGCUGGCCGAGAAGUUGGUUCUUGCCUUGGUGCAUGCUGCUCGCAAUCUCCGCCCUUACUUCCAGACUCACAGCAUUGUAGUCCUGACUGACCAGCCCUUGCGUCAGAUACUCACCAAGUCCGAGGUCUCGGCAGAAUGACCAAGUGGGCCAUCGAGCUGGCUGAGCACGACCUUAGUUAUCAGUCUCGUACAGCGAUCAAGGCUCAAGCCUUGGCGGACUUCCUUGCCGAGGGGGCUAGCUUGACCCUGACCGACCUAAUCCCCACACCCACGGACACCCCGACGGAGGAGCCGUGGGUGCUGUUCGUGGACGGCGCCUCGAGCAAGGAGAGGAGCGGAGCUGGCCUGUUCCUCACCUCGUCCACCGGGGAAGAGCUGACCUACGCCCUUAGGUUCGACUUCCCGACAUCCAACAACGAAGCGGAAUAUGAGGCCCUGUUGACAGGGUUGCGGAUAGCCCACCAAAUGGGCAUCACCGCGAUCCGGAUUCGGAGCGACUCUCAGCUCGUCGUCCUCCGGAUCCGUGGGGAGUAUGAGGCCAAGGACGAUGUAAUGAAAAAGUACCUGGUUAAGGUACGGGAGGCAGUAGCCCUGUUCGGGACUUUUGAAAUCGAGCGGGUGCCAAGGUCCCAGAACAAGCGCGCGGAUGCCCUGUCAAAGCUGGCAUCCUCCUCGUUUGCCCACCUGAGCAAGGAGGUCUUGGUAGACGUGGUGAAGCAGAAAAGUAUCGACCAGGUCCAGGUCCUGGCGAUAGACGGCUCGGCCACCUGGAUGGCUCCCCUCAUUGACUUCCUCAGCUCGGGUGCCCUCCCUGAGAACAAAACCGAGACUCGCCGAAUCCAGUUCCGAGCUGCCAAAUACGCCUACGCCGGGGGAACCCUCUACAAGAGGUCGUACUUGUCCCCCUGGCUAAAGUGCGUGACUCCCGAGGAAGGUGACUACGUUCUGCGCGAAAUUCAUGAAGGUAUAUGUGCGGCACAUGUGGGGUCCCGGGUGUUGGCCAAAAAGUGCCUCAUCUUGGGCUACUACUGGCCCUCCGUCUUCCGAGAUGCCGCAAACUUGGUACAGAAAUGCCGAGCUUGCCAGGUGCACGCCUCGCUGCGCCAUCAGCCAACUCGGGAGAUGAUCCCCAUCCAUAGUCCUUGGCCCUUCGCUCAAUGGGGGAUAGAUCUCCUGGGUCCCUUCCCCCGAGCCCCGGGGAGGUAUGAGCACCUCGUGGUGGCCAUAGACUACUUCACAAAGUGGGUGGAAGCGGAGCCCCUGGUCUCUAUCUCCGGGAGGGCAAUUCAGAAGUUCUUCUGGAGGAACAUAGUUUGUCGCUUUGGGAUUCCGCACGUCCUGAUAUCUGACAACGGGCGCCAAUUCGCAGAGAACCCAUUCAAGAGCUGGUGCGCUGAGAUCGGGAUCGACCAGCACUUUACGUCAGUCGGCCAUCCCCAGGCCAACGGCCAGGUGCAGAAUGCCAACCGAACCAUCCUCCAAGGACUGAAAACCAGGCUGGAGCUGGCCCAAUCCAACUGGCUGGAAGAGCUCCCUAGUGUCCUCUGGGCUUACCGCACCACGCCCAGGACGGCCACCCACGAGACCCCGUUCUCCCUCACUUACGGGGUAGAAGCAGUGGUCCCCGCAGAGAUCGGCCUCCCCUCGCUCAGAACACAGAACUUCGUGGCGACAUCCAAUGACGAAGAGCUGCGGUGCAACUUAGACAUGCUCGAGGUUAAGCGUGAAGAAGCGGCAGUUCGAAUGGCUAGGUACAAAAGCCAGCUCGUCCGCUAUCAUAACGCCAAAGUGAGGACUAUACGGUACCAACCGGGUGACCUCGUUCUAAGGAAGAACUCGAUUAGCCGAGCUCACGGAUCCAACAAGCUCGACCCAAACUGGGAGGGCCCAUACCAGGUCCUUGAGGUGAGCCGAGCUGGCUACUGCAAGCUCGCUGACAUGAAUGGAUCUGAGGUACCCCGUACUUGGCACUUCUCCAAUCUACGACUGUUUGUAGCGUAGGGUAGACCAGGGUGUUCAAGUGUCUGUUCUCUGGAAUCUGAAUUUUUAUUUUUGUCAUUCAAUAAAAGUUCGACUUUAAAAUUUACAUUUCCCUUGUUUCUGUCUACUUUCAAAGUUUUUCAAGUUUGCACCUUGCACUAGCACACUUAGCGUUCCUCGCUAAGUGUCCUAGUGGGGGGCUAAGGGUAGUGAAGGGGAUCAAGGUGAAAAGAGAUCAAGGUGAAAUGUUUGGCCCAGGAGGUCGGCACAGAGGUGAAAAGUUCGGCCCAGGAGGUGCACGGCCUGAAAAAACUUAACUGGGAAGGGUUCUGAAAACUCCGUGCUCGGCCCAGGAGGUCGGCGGGAAGGAAUUCGAAACCUGAUACUCGACCCGAGAGGUCGGCAUGGGUUAAAGUCUCCAAAGCUUCCAAGUUAGUGCUCGACCCUGGAGGUCGGCACGAUCGGGAGCUUGGAUGGAAAGUGAUGCUCGACCCGAGAUGUCGGCAUGGGUUGAAGUCUCCAAACCUUCCUGUGCUCGAUCCAGGAGGUCGGCUCGAUCGAGAGCUCGGAUGACAGGUGAUGCUCGACCCCGAGAGGUCGGCACGACAGAGUUGGAGCAAGCAAGAAAUGCGAAAUAAGUCUUCUCGAGUUUUAUAUGCAUUCAAAACCUAUCUAUUACAAAGCUUACAAAAUCUCUGAGCGGCCUAUCUAUUACAAAGCUUCCGAGUUACCUAUCUGCUACAAAAUGUGCUGAGCCAUGAGGAGAAUACAGCUCGAACCCCCUUCUUCUUGCUGGUAGUUCGUCUGGAGCAGGAGCUGAAGGUACACCUUAAACAUGCUGAGAGGCGUAUGGUGAAGGCUUUCCAGACGGGGGAACUUUCCGUCUCAGAUGGACCUCCAAAAGCAUUUUCAACUGGAGCAUGGUCACAUCCUUAUAAGAAAACGGAAAGGGUUUCUGGGUGGCCGCCGCCCUAAACCACCGGAUCCUUCCCGGCAGCCUGCGGGAGACUUGCUCUCCUCCAAGGGGACCUCCGCCAGCUCGGCCCAACGUUGGUUCGGCCUACCAACUCCUUCAGGGCAUGCCCCUUGCGGUACCCAUCGAAGAGCCAGUCCAGCCUCUCCUCGGCCGCGGGAUUGUAGUCCUUGCAGUCCGCCAAGUUGAAGCCAGGAGGGUUGAGGCUCUUCACCUUGUCCAGGGCCCGCGUAGCGCCGACCUGGAGGAUGGGCAGGUUAAGGAGGGCGAUGUCCUCCUCAAACUGCUCAGAAGAAAGGAACUCCCGAACAGCCUUCUUCCGCUCCCGGCUGACGGUGCCGGAGAGCUCGAUGGCGUGCUCCUCCUUCAGCUUGGCCACGCCGGUCUUCUCCUGGUCGAUCUCCGACCUGGUGGAGGCGAGCUGGACCUGAGCGGUGUCCAGCUCCUUCUCGGCCUUGUCCAGUUUUGCCUUGAGGGAGCUUGCCUCCUUAAGGGCCUGGGAGAGUUUCUUCUCCGUCUCCAGAUUCUUCUUCCGCAAUUUCUCCAGGUCGGGAGACAGUUCGGAGAAGCGGGUCGCCAGGGCGGCACCAGCGGCGUUGGCCUGAAGGGGAAAGAGGACAGGUCAGCACGUCACACUACUUAACCGAGACACGGAGGCAAAACUAUCCCACGGGCUAGACUUACUUGAGUUUGGGCGGUGUAAUACGCGCCCAAGAGCUCGGAAGGGUCGGCCGGCUCCAUCCACCUCCUGUCGUGGGGGAGGACCGAGCCCACCAUCAGCUCGCGAGCCACCUAUGGAAACUGGGCUCGGUCGUUGAUGGAGAGCUCUCAGGACGGGCAGAAGUGGCGGGGGUCAUGCAUCGUGGGGGCUUGGCCCGGUUUCAAGGGAGCAACGUGGCGGAAGUGCCACAAGUUCGGAGGAGUUGACUCCUGGGCAUGCUCCUCGGCGGAGCCCACGCCCAGGUGGACUGGCCCCCCGAGGCCAGCGGGCGGAGGGGCCUGAGCUGGAACCAGCGUGAGUUUCUUCCCGGGCUGGGAGGGCUCGUCCCUUCUACCCCUCUUCUGCCGACCGCCUUCUUCUUGCUGGUGGCCUGCUUGGAGGGGGACGGCUGCGGCGCCUCUUUCUGGGGGCUGAGCCGCCCCCCGGGGUGGGAGCCCCCCUUGGGCCCCCUGGGUAGUCCCGGGCUGGGGGCGGAGGUGACCUCCUCAAUAGGUGCGCCCAGCAACUUGGAGAGGUUCCUCACUGCAACGAACACAACCAGAUAAGCAAAAGGCAGGGCAGUUUAGAAAACCACAAUAUACUAUAAACGCAACAGGGGCAAAGCCAGCGUUACAGGUGUCGAGUUUGGGCUCGGGGUUACCACUUCCCCAGAGGAUCCGGACAACGUCCCUAUCAGCCCGGCUGCGGAGAUCUGCUUAGUGGAGAACCUGGUGGCAUCGAGCUUCACCUUGGAGCCCAACAGCUGGCUGAGGGUAUCGUAGUCCAGGUCCUCCGGGUAGGAAUCGGCCUUGACCCCCCAACCUUCCACACAUUGGGGGAAAAUGUGUGGAUUUGACGAAGAAGAAAUCCUCCUUUCAAUCCUUCACGGAGGAGGGGAGUCCGUGGAACAACUCCUGGGCACCUUUCCCUCCCUUGGUUUGGGAACCCCGGCGGGAGAAGUAGUACCAUCCAGGGAGGGCGGUCUUAAGGAUGAAGGCGGCUCGGAAGAGGGAGAGAGAGUAAGGGAUAUCGCAGAAAAGGCAGUAGAUCAGGAAUCCAGUGAUGAUCCUGAUAGAGGUGGGGUGAAGUUGGGUGAUUAUGAGUCUCCAGUAGUUCAAAAUCUCGGUAAGAGCUGAAGGAAUGGGGAGACGGAGCCCUGCGAAGAGCUGCUCCCUAUAGAUGGCUACGAAACCGGGGGGAGGUCUGCAGGCUCGGUCGUCGGGCCCGGCCGCCCUUGGCUCGUAUGCCGGAGGAAUGGAGUAAGACUUGGCCAGCUCGGCCACGGCCUUGGGGGAUAGGGUAGCCUCUUGCAGGUCUGCAUACCCAUAGGAGAACUCGGGAUCAUCCCCUGCUCAGAAGCAGGGGUCCCCUCAGAGGGAUCCCUAUCCUCCCCAGCUCCACCCUGGGCUCCGCCGGGGGAGUCAUGUGGAGACCUGGGGGGAGAGGCGGAGGUAGCCUGCCGUUCGAUGAGGGCAUCAAGCUCGGCUGCCUCCUCAACGGCUCGGGCUGAAGGAGAGUGGGUAGAAGGAGAACUCAUAAUGACUAUGGGGUCAAGCAGGUCAGGGUUAGAAGCGGAGGAAGAGGAAGGAGGAGGAGGGGAAGGCGACGGCGAGGAUGAGGACGAAGAUGAGGAAGAAAUGAAGAUUCUAGUGGCUCUGCGACGGGCCGGAGACGGGGUUGCGGUGGAAGUAACGUCGGAGUGACCCGACAUAAAAGUCAGGAGAUGGCAGAAGGAAGAAGGAACACUGAAGGAAAGGAAAAGGAAAAAGGAAUCACAAAGGGACUUACUGAUGACGGUCAAGGCAGAGAGAGGAUGGAGGACUCGCCGGAGUCUGGGCGCGGGACACCGGAGGUUGCUGAAAAAUGGAAAUACGAAUGCGCAAGGAGAGUGGUAAUGCAAAAUGCGCAAGGGGAGGAGAAAAUGGCAAAUGGAGUCGGUUGAAAUCCGAUUACCCCUAUUUAUAAGGGGAGAAAUGGGGGGAAGACGGUUGCGUGGAUUUGAACCGACUCCCAUGUGAACGCCUUUAAUGCGGGUACGAAAACCGAAGAGGCGUGACAACUGAAAGGACGCGGGCGCAGCGUCCCUAUGACAGCACUGUACCAGAGGUGACCUUGGCAGGGUAGUGCGCGGCCUUGGCCUCCCACGUGGAAGAGGUAGAUUAGGUCUGCCUGACAGCCUUACCUAAUCUAGGGGGCUAGUGCAGAGGCCCCGUCCUGGGCCGGGACACGUGGUAGCCCAGGUGCUGUCGAACUGGGCCUGAGCCCCAGGCCCUGGCAGCCGUCCAGGGCUGCAUUGCUAGGGCUCCUGGAGGGGCUGAGAAUCCAUCCCGAAGAGGUCAGAGACAAUCCCCCCAAGUGCGGGAUAGGGGCUAUUCUGGGCAGGUCCCGAAACGUACGGAGGUCGGACUUCCGCACAGGUAUAAAUGGUAGAACACAUCAACUGUACAAGGUACGCUCACUAUUGGCAAAUUGCUCCCGGCUGUUUGUACUUCCCGUGAAUUCUUCUCACCGGAAAACUAACUUGGUCGUCGGAGCGCCCUCGGGGACCAACCUUGGGCCCCCCGUUGUUAGCUCAUUCUUAUCUGUUUUGCAGGCUUGGAGCCAGCUCUUCCAUCAGCAUCCCGAGCUCAUCAGUUCAGCUCGGUCCGGGGAAGCUCAGCGCUUCUUCAAAGUACAUAAUAAAUCAUUGUUAAUCAAUUGGCCGUGUACAUAACUUCAAUUCAAGUAAAGUUCAUUGCAAAAGGCAAUUGAAACAAUAUAGUUUUGGCAAAAGCCAUCUUUUACUAUCUCCCUAUAAGAGGCUUCCAGGCAAGUUGCUUGCAACAUAGUACAAGUGAUUAGCCGCAUAUUAAGUAGAUAUAAGCAAUGAGAGAAACCGUCAAUUUUCCCAUCCACUUUCCCACAAAUAAGCACAUAAAUAUUUGUCUUAUAUCUGACUGCUGUUUCUAAGUGAAGAGUACACAAUUAGCAAUCAAGGUUUACAAUAGGUAAUCAAUACUCUUGACCAAUAUUAGUCUAGCAUCACUUACAGCAAAAGGUUAGUGUAUACGGGCCACAUAGAACAGUACAUUUUCAUCUAGAACAACACAUUUUCAGAAUUGAUUUGGAAGAGCAAAUUAUAAUUGGCCACGACAAAAAACCAAAGGAAGAAAAGAAUCAAAAUUAAAGAAGAAAGACAUUUUCAUGUAUGAAAACAGAGCCAAUAGAUGACAUCAGCUUUCAUCUAUUUAUCUACAGAAUUUGAUCAACAUAGUAAACCACCAGGAUGCUUUACAUCGAAGUAGACAGUGUUGGAAAAUUUUCACAUCAAGUUUAACAAAGGAAAUUUGAAUCAAGAACAAUCUGGACAUAUAGUCUGGUCAUAUGUUUAUGGACAUCCAUCACAUUUCAAGGCCUUCAUUCAUCAGACAUAUCCCAAAUGGUAUUUUUCUUACUGAGUUUUGAGCUGAUGUGUCAUCAACCAUUGCAGUCUUCUUCCUACUAAAAUGAGUCAUGUCAUUUAGCUCGAUCGGUCCAAUUAACCUUCCCUCUUUUGCUUCCAAUAGCACAGCAAUAGUUAAUGAACCAAACUUGCAAUAUAAAAGACCAGCUAGUAUAUUUAAUUUCCCGUUCAGCUUUAUGCCGUAGAAAAGAUUUUGUUCCAGCUGUUUGAGCAGUUUUUUGUUUUGAUCUAUUUAUCUUAUUUUGCUCACUUAUCACCUACACUUGUGAUUUCAAACCUUCAUCAAAAUAACAAAGACAUAUCGAGAUUGAAGUAUGUUAAAUGAUCGAAUAUGUGCCAGUACCUUAAAUUUUGGACUACAAAAGUAGUCGCACAAGUACAGCCAAUCAGAUUCUUCAACAUAUUCAGGACAAUUAGGAUAUGGAAGCUUACAAAUAGGAUCCUUAUCUUAAAAAGCAAACCUAAUAAAUUCAUUGACUCCAUCUAAAUAUUUAGGAUCUAGGUAAUUCUUAAUUGACAUCCAGCUCCUAUCCAUAUUUAUGCAGCCCUUUAUCCUAACAUCAAGAAUAAGAACAUAUAAUAUUUUAUUGAAGACAGAGCACUAUGUAUGGAAACUUAAAUUUGCCAAAUACCAACAAUGAAAACCCAAUCAAAUAAAACAAAUUUUCACUAAAGUCCAUGUCAGGUACAAAUAACAACAAUUCAUUAAAAACAAGAUAGAUUAUGUACCAUUACAAAAGAUGCAAAAGAAAGCUCCAAUUAAUUUAAGCCAUUCCUAAAAUUAUACAUCUCAAACUAUACAACAUCAACUCCUAAGUCUGAAAAAAAUAACCGAAGCAGAUUUCUAGUCAUGAACACCUCUCCAUAUGACACAUACCCAGCCUACUCAAUCAUAUUUAAUUUGAGGAGGAAAAAAACUGGGUCAAAUCAAGCACAUAACAUCCCAUCUGUUCCUGUUCUGCGUACCCAUACAAAAGCCCCAAUUAGCUUGUUAGAUAAACUAAACCUACCCCAAAAACUAGUGGCAAAACACAUCUAAUUUAAUGUGUUCUAAGUCUGUUGGAUAGGUUUGUCUAAUGAGGGAAAGAAGCAGAAAGUGUGAUCAACAUUUUACACUACCAACGACAACAACCAGAAAUUUCGAACCGCUAGUGAAUUUUUGUUCAAUUCUCCCCCUACCAAGUCCAGCCGUAGCUGGGUUUUGUACAAAAAAUAGUUGGCAAAUAGCAAGUCCUUCCCAAGUGGGCCAAGAAGUAGAGGAUACAAUUAAUUUAGGGGAUUCAUGAUAACUAGGCAAAAAUUUUUCCCUAAGUUAAAAUUUAGGGCAAUAAAAUUUCAGGGGAUGAAAAGAUUAAUCAUGUAAAUAACCAUAAAAUUACACCCUCAAUGCAGAUUCAACAAGAAUGUGAGUAGAAAUUUUCAGAAAAUAAAAAAAAACAAGUGUAGGGCCAAAAUAUUUGCAAAUUAUCUUCGAGACAAGGAAGAGAGGGAACACGCUGAAAACUCACAGAGAUCUAAUCGGCAUCAACCAAACCGAAUACCUGAAUGGCACUAGAGUGGGUGGUGCUAGGCUACGUUGCUGGAGCUGAAGCAAUCAUGCUUCAGCACAAUGGCAUCAAAAAGGCAGUUAUUAAUCUACGAAACAAUUAUUAAAUUGUAAAAAUUGAAAGGCACAAGAAAGACAUAAUCUGAAAUAAUCAAAACUAUUGGAAAAAUAUUGGAGUCCAAAUCGAAGAGAUCGACAGCUAGAAUCAUGUGAUCAAGAGGAGCCACUACCACUUAAGAGCACUGAAUUCUUUAUCAAUCUAAGAAUCAAAAUCCAAUCUAAGAAACAAUGGUGUAAUAUAAUAUGAAAUUACUAAACACCUGAAAUCGAGCAGAAAUACAAUUUGUCAGGCCUAGAAUCCAUAUAUAUCAGGGGCCUCUCCAGAACUAAACAAGUAAAUCCAAUCUAAGAAACAAUUAUUAAAUUUCAAAGAUUGAACUGUACAAUAAAGACAUAAUCUAAAAGAAUCAAAAUCCAAUCUAAGAAACAAUGGUGUAAUAAAAUAUGAAAUUACAAAACACACGAAAUCGAGUAGAAAUACAACUUGUUAGGCCUCGAAUCCAGAUCAGGGGCUCUCCAGAGCUAAACAUGUAAAUCCAAUCUAAGAAACAAUUAUUAAAUUGCCAAGACUGAAAUGCACAAGAAAGACAUAAUCUGAAAGAAUAAAAAAAUUAUAUUUGAAUAAGAUUGGAAUCCGAAUCAAAGAGAUCGAUAACCAGAAUUGUGUGAUGAUGAGGUGCGGCCACAACACAAGAAAAACUCUAUUGUUCAUCAAUUAGGAAACACUCAAUUCUUUUAUUCACUCAUUAACCACCACACGAUUAUAUUUUCUAUAAAACUUUCCAAAAAUUACAAUCUAAACCGGCUCAUAGUCUCACAAAAUAUGUAGUUCAAAACUCAAUUUUCUUUAUUCAAACCCAAUUUCUGAGCAGGUCUAGUCAAUGUCUGUUCAACUCAAUUGAUUAACUCGGACGGAUUGCCCACCGGAUCCUCGGUUCAAUGUUUGGAAUCUGUUGGUCCCGUAUGGUUUAAAAACGGUGUUAUAUGUUGAUAGAUAAUUGGGAGACAAGGUGGAUAAGGAAAACUCUCGUGAAACCAAUGCGUUCUGAUUUUCAACUACAUAUCUUUAUGGGAUAAGACUCAGAGAGCUGGUUUUUUUUUUUUUUUUUUUUUUUGUCGAUACGAUAGCUUUUUACACUAUUGGGGAGGGGGAGGAUCUGAAAAGGUCCAAGGAUAAUUUGAAGAGGAUUGAAUCACCACCAGACCAAACGAAUGCACUAUAUACCUACCUGGAUUUUUUUUUAAAAUAAUGCCACAUUUAAUUGAGGCACCCCAUCAAGUUUUAAUACUUUGAUGGUGGUCACCAAUGCAAAGGCUGGUGGUUGACUCAGAGAGCUGGCGUCUGCACAUUUCUGGACCAAUCUUUCAUGGGAACAGUAAGGACGGUCCCAGAUGUAGAAUAAAGGGGUAAUUUCAGAAACCUCUGCUAAGGUUUCUGAUAGUCUCGCUAUCCUUCCCUAAGAUUUUCAAAAUAUCAAAAACCUCCCCUAAAACUAAUUAGCUAGUAACAAAUCAGCCCAAUUCAAAUACAAAAACAAUCUAAAAUUAGUGUUAGGAGAGAGAAAACAAUUUAAUUCCAUAACUACCCUCAAGUUUUGCAUUAGAGAGUUAAUUUACUAAGAACAAUAUACAUUUCUUUUAACUUUAUCAAUUGCUGAUCCAUGAAUUUUAAUGUUGAGAUUUUGCUUAAUAGUCGAACCAUUUGCUUAUGGAUGCUGGUUGAAUAUUUUAUAUUCUUAGAUUAGUUAGUCAUAAAUUGAAAAAGUUCUUGAUCUUGAAAGCUUACUGGAGAGAUAUUUCUUGAAAAUUGCCACUAAUACUUAACAUAUGUUUUUAUUUGUAUCUUGGCAAUAGAUGAUUCGAAUAGUAGCCAUUGUUUGAAUUUGAUUGCUUGAUUUGUGUUCUCAUGCUUGAGAACAAGCAUUGUUUAGGUGUAGAGGAAAUUGAUAGGUCAUAAUUUGUUACUAAAUUUAUAAUUAUUUUUCCCUUGAUUUUACCAAAUAUUAUUUUAAUUGAUAGAUUCUACUUAUAUUUGGUUAACGGUGCCAAUUGUAGGAAAAUGAGCAAAAUAUGAUAAAAGGGGUAAUUUUCCAAGAAUUACUGUCAAGUCUAGAGAAGUUCGGGAUUCAAAGUCGGAAAGUCGGGAUUGAUAUUGGGCAGUUUCCCAAUCCAAGUCAAAUUCCAAAACUUGACAGCUACUGAAGUUUCCUAUUUCUUUGCAUUCCACGUCAAUCUCGAGCAAUUGGGAGAGUUUUUAGGAAAUUGAAUUGUAAUAGGAAACUCUUUAGGAAUUUGAUUGGUAUUAGGAAACCAAUCAAUUAAGCAAUUCGCCAGGGAGAAUUCAGCAUAUAGCUCUUGCUUAGGAACAAAGCAUAGUUAUUCUUGUUUUCUUGACCGAUUGACAAGAAGACAAUUGGAAAGCUUCUAACAGAUUUUUGCAUGGCUUGUUCUCCAUUAAUGGAGAACUAAUUUUAUAUUUCUAGUCAAGGGGACAACUAAAGAUUUGGUUCAACAAUAACUGUGAGAUCUAAAUUAUUUUAAUUGCUUCUUUCAUUCAUUGAUAUUUAUAUGUUUCUUGCUUUUAGUGGCUAUGACUAUUGUGUAUGGUUGAAUAGUUGUGCAAUAUUUAAUUAUUCACGUAGUCUAUUUGCUAAUUGGGAGUAGUUGAAUCCGUAAUUGUUUAAUUACUCCAUCCCGAUAGCAACUAGCAUGAUUGGUUUCAUGUUAGGGAAACGUAUGAUAUAACUUAAACGAACUCUCGUAACGUGUUUGUUGGUUAGAGUUGGGCUUUUCCGAUUCUUAUUGCAAUCGAGAAAUUAAAUCAUAUAGUCGUACUUAGGGUUAUUUCUUGGUUAGGAAAAUAGUUAAUGGUUAUACCUUGACUAUCGAAAAAGUAAGGAAAGGCUGGUUGUUAUCGCAUGCAUGAUAACUAUAACCAAUCUAUUAAUGAGUAAUUGAAUUAUCUUUGUAUCGAUGAUCAGUUGAAUGAAUCGUGUCUGAAAAGUUAUACCUUUGAUUAGAGUCGUAUUGGUUAUUGAUUAAUUCAUGUUUAUUUCUAUUAGUUGUUUCAUUAGUUAGUUAAUUAGUUAUAUUAUAUCCUCCAAAACCCCCCAUACUUCGGACCCUGGAAGAAACGAAUUAUCCCCAAUCCCUGUAGGUUCGACCCUACUUGCCCAAUAUACAAAUUAGAGAUUUUUCGUGAAUAAAUUCUGGUAUAUCGAAUUUAGCAAAUUCUUUGGAACCAGGGUGAAUCUAGUAACCAUUGCAUAUCUAGAGUCCCUGCUCCAGUACCAGAAUUGACACGAAGUUGCUUCUGUUGGCGAGUAGGAUUAUUAAUAUUAUUAUUGCACAGGCUCGAUACCUGUCAAUACUCACCUAACAAACCUCCACCCGGGGAAAUUUUUUCAAAAAAAAAUCUACAUUAGGGUAUACAUUAGCAGAAAAUGAAAAAAAAAAAAACUUUAGACUGCAAUCUAGUAACAUGUGUCCCAGGUGCACAAAGAAAUUGAAACAUAUAGAGCUUUGAUUGUCAAAAGUAGCACUAGUACUCCUCGGAGUUUAAUUCAAAUACAGAUGAUCAAAUGUGAGUGACGCCUUGCGCAUAGCGGCAAUAGAAAACUAUGAAAGGAUAUGCCACGGUGUGUCAGCCAACCGUCUUUAGAGUUGAAAUUCUUGCAGGAGCUUCUGUGAUUGUAUGGUUUUGUAAUCUAGCAGCAUCAGAUUUUGUGAGGCGAUGCGUUGAUGAAACUUGGGUAUUGGUAUUCAAUCCCAAGAUCUUUCAUGUAAAAUGACUCGGAUGCGGCAAAAGCCUUGGAUUCUCUGCUCCGGUCAACUUGAAAUUGGACUUAGUCCCAGCACUUUAGGAAGUUGGUUAUUAGCACAUUAAAAUUUUUAUACUAAUUGUAGUAAGUAAUAUUUGGAGGGACCAUAAGUUCAAGUUGAAAAGAGGCAUGGUGAAAAUCUUUCCAAAUACAUACCCUACUACUUAUACAAAUAAAAGAGAGAACAAAAAUAUAUAAGCCAUUAAUACAUACUAAAAGUUUUUACAGCAAUUACAUGGUGAAUUCAUUAAAUUAGGCAUUUGGUUGACUUUGACAUGUGUGUCAAGUCAAAACAUUGUCAAAAAUUGCAACUUAUUGUAUACUGAUUUACUCAGCAAAAAUAAAUUUAGUUAUUUAUUGAAAGGAAAAAACUUUUAAAAUUUUGUUUUUCUUAAUAGAUACAUCGAAUGCCAUUGUUAAUCUCCACGUACUUUGAGGCACCAUUAUUGCCAACCUUGCGUCUAAGCAUUUAUCCAUACAAAAAUAGGUGAUUUUAAAAGCUAAAGACAUUUUUCAACCUUUAAAUGUAUUUUAAUAUGCAUAAACAACACGCUUAACCGCUUAAGUAUUACGGUAUUCUCUUGUGUUAUCCUGAAAUUUUAGAUUUGUACAUGUAUUUAUAAUUUUCAAAGUCACAUUGUCUAUGAUGCUACCACGAUUCUCUUCCCUAUUUAAUUUACUAUCCUUUUGCAACAAGAUUGAUACUUGAGACCCUAGUUAAGAAGUACAUGGGGCAUUUCAUCAGGCAAACUCCUUAUCAACUACUUACUCACUCUGACAUAGUUUUAUCUUCAAAAAAGAAAUUUUGGUUGAAUACUAAUACAGAAGAUUAGUGCCAAUUAACAAAUAUUAACUUAUGAAUGGUAAAUAAAUAAGAAGAGUUGUCACUCUACUUUGCACUCCAAAAUUUGUAUCACUUUUCCGCUUUGUAUGCUAAAUUUUAAUUUUGAAUACUUUACAUCCUAAAUUCUUAAUUUUGGACACUCGUAGCUUAAUCUCUCAAGUUUAUUCCAUUUAAAUACAAUCAAUGAUAACUUUAGUAAAAUUAACGGUAUCAACAGCUCAAUAAAUCAAUGACAAUAUACUGAAAGUGGUCAAAAGAUGCUAAAAUAUAGUAGCAAAAGUAAAAUAAUACACUAUUAUUAAUUUGCAUCAACUUUUAUCUUGUCAAUUUUACUAACAAUAUUAGUAAUUAUACCAUAUAAAUCAAUAACAAUCUAUCGAAAGUUGUCAUAUUAAACAAUUCUCAACUCAUAUAUCCUUUUUUAUUUUGUUUUUCUUUCCCUUUGUAGAACUGGAAGCCAUUGGGAAUUUUGAAAAUGACGCAAUUAAAAGCAUUCCCUUGUGUCCAAUGAUGGAGCCAAGGGGGACAGAGGGGGGCCCAUGGCCCCCCUAAGUUUUGAAAAUUUUAAUUCAUAAUAUGUAAAUAUAUGUGUAAAAUAAAAUUGACCCCUCCUAAAUUUUUUCAAUUUUAGUUUAUAUUAUGAGAGUUGAGAUAUAUAUAUAUAUAUAUAUAUAUAUAUAUAUAUAUAUAUAUAUGAAUUAGUCAUCUUUGAAUUAAUUUUUUUCUUCAGAAAAAGUUAUUUAAUUUUUAUUGUACUAAUUAUUUAACUUUCAAAAAUUAAACAUAUAAUUUGAUGUUCCAUAGUAAAUUGACCCAAUGUAAUGUAUUAGAAUAAAAAGACCCAAUUCAUAAUUUUUAAUGGCCUAAAAAGACCCAAUUCAUAAUUGUUAAAAGCAAGAACUAGUACGUCUAAGAAUAGAACUUCAAUAUUUUGAGUUCGACAUUCCAAAUCAUCAUGAAUUGCAAGAAUUAUCUAGUAUUCAUGAGUUAUGUCAAGACUUGGUGAAGACAAGAAAAUCAGUGAUAUAUCUUCUUAUUGACAGAUUUAUUAGAUUUGUUAUUACUCUUCCUAUAUCAACUACAACUACAGAGCGGACAUUUUCAAUUAUGAAAAUAAUCAAGACAAAGCUCCGAAACAUGAUGCAAGAUAAUUUCUUGAAUGAUUGUCUAACAGGAAGUUGCUGAAAAAUUUAGCAAUGAUUCAAUCAUAGAUGAAUUUAGUUCUAUGAAAGAGCAUAGAGCUCAAUUUACUUCUAAAAAAAGAUAUUGAAAUUUCAAAUUAUGUUAACAUAACUUUUAUCUUUUUUCAAUUGAAAAUAGUUACAUUUAUAUUACAUGGUUAUAUAUAUAUAUAUAUAUAUAUAUUAUAUAUAUAUAUAUAUAUAUAUAUAUAUAUAUAUAUAUAUAUAUAUUGCAUAGAUGACAUAUUGGAGAGCAUCUUCUCAUAAUGUGCAAAUUGGAUGGUUUGUGAUGUUAUAAGAUAUUUAAUCAAAAGUUAUCUUUUUUGUUAUGACUAUACCGCAUAUUUAUGAAUAGACAUACCUUUAUAAUUAAAUUUAAUAUUUGAUAUUUUUAGAUGUCAAAUAUUUGAAUAGAAGAAAAUUAUUUUGAACAUAAUAUAUUAAAAUAAUUUUAUUAGGAAAAAAUUUUGGCCCUCAAAAAAAAAAAAUCCUGGCUCUGUCACUGCUUGUGUCCCGGCAUACAUCUAACAGUAGCUAAAUCAGAACGGCCCGUAGAAAAAGCUGUCCAAGACAUAUUCUCACCGUGGCUAGCUAUUUCAGAACUCGAAGAAGAAGGUGCCGAAAAAUAUGUCACAAUUGUAAAUCAAAACACGAAGAAAAAGGUGUCCAAGACGUUCCAAAAGGCUGCCUCUCCUAAUCUUCUGGUGGGUAUAAUGCUGACCGUGGUUGCCAGUUUGUCUUCAAAAUGGUACAUUUUUGGUACUCUAGACAAUAAAUAAAUAAAUAAAUAAAAACUUUACCUGCAUUUGGUAUUAAGUAAUUUUUCACUUUAAUUUUCCUUAAUUGUUGUUAGCUGUCAUACAUUGGUAAUUCAAUUUUAAAGUCAAAAAAUUUAAUUGAUUUGCAAUGAUAAUAUGGAACCAAAUUGGACAAAACUCCAAAUAUAAGGGACAACGAUAGUUUUCUUGAUGUGCACAUGCAAUUCAUGUGAUCAGUCAUCGGUUAGCUCUCACGAAUUACCGUUUUUAAGUUAACAUUUAUCAUUUUUCAUGAAGAUAAGGAGAAAAUUAGUUGAUUGUAUAGAUUAGGUUCUACAUUGGUGAUGAUAAACUUUGCCACUGGAUAAUGCCUAAUUGGCCGUAACAAAUGAAGUUUCGGUACUUGAGGUGACGCACUAGUGAAACCAUGCAUUCCAGGGAUAAGAAUUAAACUUGGAAAUCUGAAAGAUAACUAAAGAAUAAAUAUUAGAAUCAAUAAUAUAAAAAAAAAAGUUUCCAAAUCAAAUCAAAAUUAUUGAAAAUUGACCAAAGCUCAAAUCCAAAUCAAAUAAAUCCUUACACGUUAAACCCACGAGAAACCUGUUAUCAAGAGGUGCAAUUACCACUUGAUAAAACUCCAAUGUAGCUAUCACCUCGUGGAUCACACAUAUAUUGGGUCCUCUUAAUUAUUUUCAGUUGGUACGAAAUCAUUCAGAUAUGAUUUCCGUGACAAAUUCUGAGUGUAACGCAAUAUUCACCUCAACCAGUUGAGACAUUGUCUGAUAACCAUGAAAUUUGACUCUCCAAUUCUUGGGUUUUGCCUCUCUCUUUAUAAGGUGUAGAAUGUGGGUUUUCUUUCGAAUGAACCUGGUUCUAAAGAAUGCUAACUGGCUGACAAUUGCGGAAGUUUUUGUGCAUAUCUCUACCAUGAAGCCAAUCAAAAUGUGAAUGGACUAGACAUAAAGGGCAGUAGUUUAAAAUUUGUAGUGAAAUUAACUUAAUUACCUCAAUGGGAUUGAACUAAAAAAUGCAAUCUUCUAUUCAGACAAAAUUCAUAAGUUCUAAGUUCAUUAAGAAAGAUCAAUGCCUGUCAUAUUAAUGCAAAAUUAUUGAUAACAACAAGAAGGAUACUUUUAGAGGUGAUAUAGUCUAGAGUCCAUGCAUCUAACCCACUCUCUUGACAUAGAUUGGAGUUCAGUGAGCGUUAAACUCAAGUCCAUUGGCCAAAAAAAAAAAAAAAAAAAAAAGACUCAAGUCUAUUCAAAAAACCAAACAUUGGACUCCAAACCAGUGAUGUCGAAUUGAUUAUCCAUGGACGCUAAAACCGCCAGAAACAAGUCAUCAAGAGGUGAAACUACCACAUACGACAAUACCCAAUUAUUUAGCAAAUCAAGGAUAAGGAUUAGGACUGUCAAUGGGGCUGAGCCAGCCCGAGCUCGGCUCGUUCGGCCCGACAGAAAGCCCGAUGAGCCCUAUCAUUUAGUGAGUCGGUCUGAGUUUGAGCCUAAAAAUUAGGCCCGAAUUAAAUGUGAGCCGAGUUUGGGCCUUAUUAGGCUCAAACCCGAUAUAGGCCCGACCCUUUAAUUACCUAUAUAUAUAAUAUUUAUAUUUUGAUAUUAUGUAUAAUUAUAUAUCCAAAUAUAUUUUUACUAAAUACUAAAUAUAUAUAUAAAUUACAAAACACAAAAAUACAUCUAAAGACUCUUUCGUGAGCUUUCUUGAGAGCCAAUAUUAGUAAUGCAUAACUAAAUCUCUAAUUUUUCUUAUUGGUUGAGUAAAUUUUUGUAUUGGCAUAUUAUUGGUUGAUUUUUUUUUGGUCUACAAACACAAAAAUCAUCAAGCAUGUUCGGAUUUAAAUCACAAGAUUAUAAAAAAAAAGUUUCAACUUUUAAAGAUGCAUUGGCUUAUGAUCGCAUGUUUUAUUACUAUUUUUCAUGCAUUUUAAACGGAUUAAAUAUAAAUAUUGUUGAAAAAUUUUUUGGUUUAUAUACUUUUUAAGAACUAUUAUUUGUUCAUGUUUAGUUUUAAUAUUAUAGUCUUGUAUAUGUUAAAUUAGUUUUACAACUUAAUAGUUAUAGUAAUUAUAUUAAGAAAAUUAAGGAGUAAUAAGUGAGCAUGGGCUAAACCCGAUUAAGGCUCACAACCCAAAUAUUAUAUGAGCUAAGUAUGAGUUUCACAUUUACGAACCCGAAACUCAUAACCCGAAUCCCAAAAAUGUUUCAAAUUAAAUGAGUUGAACUUGAACUCAUCAAAGCCCGGCUCAUUAGGCCCGAUUGACAGGCCUAAUAAGGAUCAGACAAGUAUCAGGGUAUUAAUAGUCCUCUAUAUUAUUUAUUUGCAGCUGGUACGAAGUCAAUUAAUCAGAGAUACCCACCAAAUGACACAACUUAAGACUUGAAGGAAAAAUAUGAUUGCUGAAGAAUCGUUAUCAGAAUCAAAUCAUUGCACCUUAAAUACAACGUUUUUGGAUUCGUUAGGUUUGCAUCGAGGUGGAGAAGAUCUCAAUUACAUACAAGCAAUUAACAGCAGAAGAAACAUAGCUUUAAUAUCUGAUUCUAGUAAUGGUUUCUGGCAAAGAAUACGUUGUCCUUCACGAGUAAUGUUUCUAGAAACAAUCUUUAUAUAUUUUGUGUUUAAAAUAACUUGAAGAAUACGGCAAAAGUAAGCUUUGGUUUGUGGACUGAUGAGUAAACACUAUGAAAUGAUGAGUAAACAUCAACACUAUAUGUCUGGAAAGAGAGGAAUUACAUUAUUUUUAGCAACAAGGUUACUAAAAUUGGGGGUUAUUAUAACUUUAUCCCUUUAAACUAUAGUGCUAAUAUCAAUUUACCUUUUUAACAUUAUUUUGCAGGCAUUUGACCUCGCAGUUAUUCUCCUUUUUCAUUCUAAAAGGACCAAGAAAAAUGUAAAAGGGUUCCCUUUUUUUUUCAUUCUCAACUAUUAAGAAAAAAAAAAAGAAAUUGAAUAGAGGUUGACAGAAAACUCAAUUUCAGAAAAAAGGAAAAUAAAGAAGAAUCCAAUAUUAUAAUUAAUUUAAAAUAAGUUAGAGUGGGCAGUAGGGGUGAAGAGUAAGUAGUAAUUUUAAAAUAAUAAGCACAUUGGAUUCUUUAUUAUUUUUAUUUUCUUUUUUAAAAUUGAGUUAUCUCUCUAUUUUCAUAUUUUAAGUAUUGAUAAGUACACAAGGAAAAAAAGAAGAAGACAUUUUUUUUUUACUUUUUUCCCCUUGUUAUUAAAGAGGGUGGAAAAAAGGGAGAAGACACUUUUUUAUUUUUUUUCUUGGUAUUAAAGGGGAAAAGGGGGAAAAAACCAUUCCAAUUUUUUUUUAUUUUUAAUCAUACAGGAGAGAGAUGUAUUUCUUCUAAAAUAUUAGGUAAAUUAUAUAUAAUUUCCUGUGUUUUCAUCUAUUGCCACAUGAUCCCCAAAACAUUUUAGGGUUUUAUGUGGCUGAUGUAAGGGAAAAAAUUCAUAUUAAUACCUUAAAUUUCCCUUAAGGAGUUUUUAUAUUUAAAUCAAUUAUUCAAUGAAUAUAUUUUUGUUUUUCUUCUAGUCUUAAAGAGUCUUGCCUCAGGCCUAAAUCAUUUCCACUAUAUUCCUUUGGCCAAAUUUACAAUCGUAUAUUUGUGUUUGUAGUCGUUGAUUGAACUUUGGUCUUAGGAAAAAUGAUAACAAAUGGAAAGAGUGAGAUACAAGUCAAUUAAAAAACAUCAUUAACACUAGAAUUUGUGAGACAUGGAGACUUGGAUUAUAAAAAGGAUAAGAAAACUUGAAUAGGUGAAAAAAGGUGGAUUAAAACUAUAUGAAAGAAGUAGCAUAACAGUGAUAUAGUAUUUGGUGAUGGGAAGAUUCUUGGAGAUGUGUUUUUUAAGUUUGAUAGGCAUUUUAUUACUUUUGGGAAGAUUAUUAUAAUCAUUUUGAGUCCUUAAAAAAAGCAUGGACGUAUAAUAUUUGAAUAUAGAGGUGGGCAACAUGAGAUUAUCAGAAAUCUUAGAAGAAGUUUUUGAAAUUAUCCUUUGCUGUAAUACUAUUCUUUUUUUUUCCUACCUUGUGAUUAUUGAUUUCCACAUUCACACUCGAAAUGCUAAGGCAAAAAGCAAAAUUCAAGGAUGAAAAAUGAAAGAAAAAGAGACAAGGUUAUAAACAUGGGGAAAGACUCUAGAUUUGAUUAAUGCUAACAUAUUAUAAAAUGAUUAUAGCAUUUCUUUUUCAUUUUUUAUGAGUGACACUUUUUUAAAAAAAUUAGUAGGGGAAUGAUGGGAUUUAAAAAGCGAAAAAAGAACAGGGAGAUCAAAAUUCAGGAUCUCUAAUUCCUGGGAGUAACAUGAUAAUAUUAUUUCUAAAAACCCAAUAUCAAUCCUAUUGGUGUAAUAUAAAGGAAUUUGGAUGAUUGAAGUGUUUAAAAUAUAAAAUACUUCUUAAUUAUAAUAUCUUAUUCAUUAGUCGAAUGUGGAAUCUUAUGUUUGUUGCCCCUUUCUUUUUUGUUUUGGAUUUGGGUUUUUGGCGUUGAACUUUGAGUAUGAAUUGAGUAAGAUUAUAGCAUGAGAAGGUUCAUCAUGUUCAUUUAAUUAAGGUCUUCCUGCAUUUAAAAUGGGAGCUUACAUGACAAAAAAAAGAUUGAAAUGGUAAUAAUUUACAAAAGAGCAUCAUAGUGGGAACAUUUUUCCUAAAAAAGGUCAUUUCAAAACUAAAUUCCGAGAAUCCAUGGUUUCAUGUGGGUUUUCUUUUCAUGGACGUGAUUAACAUCAUGUCUCUUAUCAUAUCCAUGAGGAUUAUUAACAUCCAAGUCCUAGAGCCUGAUUGCAUUAGUACUAUCCUUGGCCUUGGGUAUAAUAUCACAAGUUCCUCCCUGUAAAGGUUGCAAUGCGUUUUAAGAGAGUGAGAAUUAAGUAUAUCACGGGAAAAAAAAAAAUGAAUGGCAAAGUAACUUACCAGAACAACAAACAGAUGGAGGAGGAUAAUCCAACAAGCAAGUCCUUUGGAAUCCAUCAAUUGGUAGGUUUUAUAUCCCUUGCAACUCCUCCUUUGAAGGAUUAGAAAACAGCAGAAGCAAAUGCCAAAUAUUACAUAUCGAUGAAAAGUGUGCUUGAUUAGAAGGUUCUUUUUCAAAUAGUCGAUUAAAAUAUGACCCCUUGAAAGAUAGUGUUUCUUAUUGAGGUUGAAAAAUGAACCAAAUUACUUGAUACUCAAAUCAAAUUUUGCUAAAUAAAAGUUUGUUUGAACUUAGUUUGCCAACUAAUCAAAUCAAAAUUUAAGAAGUAUUAUUAUGUGUUAGAUUAACUAUCAAAUUUGGCAUUAACUUGGCUUGAUUAACAUAAAAUUAGAAUUUACAAGUAAAAAAUUCAAGUUACUCAAGUUCGAUUCAUGCUCAAUUCUAUAAAAAAAGCUCAUUUGAGUUUGGCUUAAUUAAUAAACAAGUCAAGUUUGAAGACCUUCCUCUUAAAAAAAUUUUAAAAAAAUCAAGUUUGAGUACUGUUUCAAGUUUAUUAAAUAAUCUAACAAGUUUGAAUACUAGAACAUUGAAUCUAGGAGAUCUAGACAAAAUCACUAAAUUUAUUUUAGACCAUAACUGUAGAUUAUUUAGAAAAAAAGGACCAAAAUGUAGACCUACCCACGUGAUGCAAACCAACCAGCCACGUGAUCCAUGCUGUAACCUUGCUAGCUUCACUUACCUAUCGCCUUGUAUAAAUAGCCGUAUAGCCCCCAAGAGUCUUUUCACCACCAAAGUUACAUUUUGAGUCUGUUCAUAGGCAAGGCAUGGCUUCAUCUAUCACUCUGAUCGCAGUCUUUUCAAUUGCCCUGGUAAGGUUUCUCAACCAUCAAUACUGUACUUGAAGUAGUAGUUCAUAUGAGAUAAUUGCUAGACUGUAUAGGAAUACUGAUGAAACCCGUGAAUUAAAGCUACCUGAGAAAACACAUUCUUCUUCCUUUUUGCACAUUUAUCUGCAGCUCUAACCAUCGCCACUGAAGGAAUGGAAGCUCUUCAGAUGGCUCUGUAGUUCUAUUCUCAUAAAAGCUUGACUUCCAAACAUUACCAAUGCUGGUACCAUACUUAAACGUCAAUGUAACUUGAGUAACGGCAUAUGACACUAUUUACCCUUUUUUAGUUAGAGGAUUCAUCCGGGAAAGAUUGAAAGUCAAAUCAAGAACCUUAAAAUCAACAUAAGGAAUAUUCCUGUUGCCAGUUGAGCUCGUCUUUGGAAAUUAACUAUCCUUCCCUACAAGGGGUCAUCUUUUACGGUGCUACCAUCAACAUACCUAUAUUGACGUUAGUUUCUUUUAUGUUAAUAUUUGCACAAAUGUGCAAUUUGCAUGCAUCACGGAAGCAAGGAAGAAUCCUACGGACUUUUUGCAAUCUGCUGUCAUUAAUGAGCAUACUGAGGACAAUCACCAUGCAGAGUCGUCCCUUUCCAAUCAGAAGAAGACAAGUAAUGGUAACACAUUGAAGGAUUUUGAGUCGAAGCCCGGCUCCUUUCUCUGGGGGGUAUCAAGGCAACGAGGCUGAGUCUAAGUCUAAGGAGGAGAAGCCUUUUAUGAAAGGCUUUGAGUCGAAGCCCGGCUCCUUUCUCUGGGGGUAUCAAGGCAACGACGCUGAGUCUAAGUCUGAGGAGGAGAAGCCUUUUAUGAAAGGCUUUGAGUCAAAGCCCGGCUCCUUUCUCUGGGGGUAUCAAGGCAACAAUGCUGAGUCUAAGUCUAAGGAGGAGAACCCUCUUAUGAAAGACUUUGAGUCGAAGCCCGGCUCCUUUCUCUGGGGUAUCAAGGCAACGACGCUGAGUCUAAGUCUGAGGAGAAGAAGCCUCUUAUGAAAGACUUUGAGUUGAAACCCGGCUCCUUUCUCUGGGGGUAUCAAGGCAACGACGCUGAGUCUAAGUCUAAGGAGGAGAAGCCUCUUAUAAAAGACUUUGAAUCGAAGCCCGGCUCCUUUCUCUGGGGUAUCAAGGCAACGACGCUGAGUCUAAGUCUGAGGAGAAGAAGCCUCUUAUGAAAGACUUUGAGUUGAAACCCGGCUCCUUUCUCUGGGGGUAUCAAGGCAACGACGCUGAGUCUAAGUCUAAGGAGGAGAAGCCUCUUAUAAAAGACUUUGAAUCGAAGCCCGGCUCCUUUCUCUGGGGGUAUCAAGGCCCUCUUAUGAAAGACUUUGAGUCAAAGCCGGCUCCUUUCUCUGGGGUAUCAAGGCAACGAUGUUGAGUCAAAGUCUAAGGAGAAGAAGCCUCUUAUGAAAGACUUUGAGUCGAAGCCAGGCUCCUUUCUCUGGGGAUAUCAAGGCCCUCUUAUGAAAGACUUUGAGUCAAAGCCCGGCUCCUUUCUCUGGGGUAUCAAGGCAACGACGCUGAGUUUAAGUCUAAGGAGGAGAAGCCUCUUAUGAAAGACUUUGAGUCGAAGCCCGGCUCCUUUCUCUGGGGGUAUCAAGGCAACCACGCUGAGUACAAGGAGGAGAAACCACUCGUGAAAGAUAAUUAAUGUCCAGGGAAGCCGCAACUUUACCUCUGAAUGGACCACGGACAUAUAUGUCUUCUAGCUGGUCUGAUUUUCUGCAUUUUCUUUAUUGGCAUGAACAUGUGUGAUAUGUAAUAAAUGCAGUUCUUCUUUCAACCAAGCGUUCUGUAUAAUUAAUUAAAUGAAAGUCAGUAGCGUUGAGUGCAUUUUCUGUUUCUUUGUUUGUUGUUUCUUUUUGCCAUUUACCAUAGACAGGAAGCGCACAAAAAAGAGCACUAUUCAAGCAUGACAAGAAUCAUAGAGUGAGCGAACCAACUAUACCUUGAUAAUCUAAAAAGAGUUCUGCAAACUCGUACUCUUGUACGAAACCAGGACCAUAUAUAUAUAUAUAGAUAUAUCGAUUCAAUUUUCUAAUGAUGUGUGUGGUACGAACGCACAUUAGAAGUACAGAAAAUUCUAGUGUAAAUUUUCACAAAAGAAGAGAAAGAAUGGAGAACUCUUGAAGCGUGAUUGAUCGCUAUUCUUAAGAAUUUAAUUAUCCAUACUACACUAAGUAUUUGCUGUAGAGAUAAAGGUAAUUUAACUUUAAGAUACAACAAGAGAAGAAGAAGUUGAUAGCAAUAUCAAGUUUCUCAAACUAAGAAAUGAUCAAAUAAUUCUAGCUAGUUUUGACAAUAAAAGGCUUGUUUUUUUACAAGUAACCUGUUUUCCACUCGUCUUUAAGUAUCCUUCGAUACGUGGCACUUAAUCCCAAUUAUUUGACUUUAAACUUCGUUCUGUCAUGUGGAUUCUAUGUGUUAGUAUAUACAAGACUAAUCUUAAACAUUACUUGAAAAUCAUAUUAUAUGUAACUGAGUACCGCAUAACUUGCAAUUAUCCACUUACGCUCUCAAUAUUAUUGGGAAAUUACAUGGAUUUUCGUUUCGGUAACUCUAAUUAUAUAGUCUCACGAUCCAUCUUAACUGAAGGGGCCAUUAUGAAUUAGAUGAACAUGAAGUUGUAUUUCGAUUCUCAAGCUAUUCCGUUCCUCUUUCUUCAUUGUAAGGAUUAGAGUCUCUUUUGGAGGGAAAAAAAAACACUCUAAUUAUACAGGAUUAAAGCAAAUAGCAAUGGUCUAUAAAAGGAUAAAAAGUAAGCAGGCUGGGGCAUAUUUAUUAAAACAUGAAAAUAAUAUGAAAUUUUAUAAUACACAUGAUACGAAAAAUAAACUGUACGUAAAUAAUGCAAAUAUAUUCGAAAGUACAAAGCUGAAAAUACAGCUUCAUUUACCAUGUGCAUAAUAGCUGUGUGCACAUUCCAGUGAAGAUUUUUUUAUUUUUAGUAUAAGUGAGAAAUUUCGAGUUCUAAAUCUUUCACUUACACUCUCUUGUCCUAUAUCAUCCAAUCCAUCCCUUCCCAUAUUUUUAUGAAGAUGAGUACAUAAUGUGAGUUUUUAUUUUUGAGGUGAAUAACUUGUUCACAAAAAAGUUUUCUCGAUUUAGGUAAAGUUUAAACUUUACGUUGUCUAAACAACGCAAGUAGAUGCCACUAGGACAGAAGUCAUUAUGAUGACUUCAUCCAAGGUAACAAAAAAAAGGCGUACAAUUGCACUUAAAAUUUGUGAAUUUAUAGUACUAUUUCAUGGUUUAUCGCCUCAAAGUUAACAAUAAAUAAUGUUUUGAACCCCAUUUAAACAACUUAUGAGUGUAAUUCAAAUUUAUUGCUCUAUUAUGUGUGUACAAUGUAUCAAAACAAAGAGUAGCAAAUUGUGUUUUAUUGCACUUUUUGUUUAGCUAGCUUCAUGCAAAUUAACCUUCGUAGAUUAUAGGUAAAGAAUUGGUUUGCCAUUCAAUGUAUCCAAGAAAUAUGUGUUAGUACAUAAUGUUUAUUUUAAUGGAUGUACUGGUGUAAAACAAAAUUACAAAUUAUUAAGUUUUAAACUUUACAAGUACUUAAAGGACAAUAAUUUUUUAUUAAAUUAAAAUUUUCCGUUCUGUGAUUUGGUAGUUUAUCUUAUAACCCCUCUAUAGUUUAAAAAUCUGUAAUCAACCUCCUCAUAAUCUGGUUAACAUAUCAUCAUUAAUUUUCUAAAGUUUAAGCAAAUUAAUAUAUUGAAAAAUUUAUCCUUUCACUAAUUCUUUGAGGUAGUUACAAAAGUAUUACAAUUAUUAUACACCUUAAACUAUGUAUUUGUUUUCAAGUAAACACAAAAGAUGCAGCAAACCAUUUUUAGCCAAGUUAAUAAAAUUGCAAAUGUAACAAUAUAAAGCACCUUAUGAAAAAUUACUCUAUAUGAUUAAGAAAAUAAUUUAUAUUUAUUAGAAUGGAAAAAGUUGCCAGAAGAGGGAGAGACCAUAAGAAAAAUAGUUUAGAGUGAACUGCAUCAAUCAUGCCUUCCAUCAGGGAAAAAAGGGUUAAAUACCAAAAACCCCCUGGAGUUUGCCUAAUGUUUACUUUACCUGCCUAUGGUUUGGCAACCUACAAUUUGACUUCCUGUAGUUUCAACUAAAGUAAAAGUCUGACAGAAAACAUCUAAACUAACGUCUGAAAGGAAAAUGUCAAAAUUGCCCCUCUAUAAGGGUUUUGGGUUAAGCACCAAAAAUCCCCCUGUGGUUUGUCAAAUGUACACUUUACCUCCCUAUGAUUUUAAAACAUACAAUUUAACUCCCUGUCGUAUCACCUAAAGUGAAAAUCUAACAAAAAUUCCGUUAAAUACACUUUAGUUGAAACGACAGGGAGUCAAAUUGUAGGUUUCCAAAUUAUAGGGAGGUAAAGUAUACAUUAGGCAAACCACAGAGGGGUUUUUGGUAUUUAACCCAAAAAAAAUGAUAGAUGUGCGUGUAUAUAGGUGACGGGACUUUUAUAUCAAUGCAAGUUUAAAUCCGAUUUUAUACUCGUUGACUACAAAUAUACAGGCCGAAAUCGUAAUGUAAGGUGUGUAUCGGGUCAAUCCCACGAGGAGCAAAUUAAAUAAGUACUAGACCCUUAUUUUUCUCUAUUAUUUAGACUUACAAUAAAUUUGAGUAAAAAAUUUAUAAUGCUAUUGUCUACAACUCUGGUUUAAUCAAUGUUAAAUGCAAAUGGAGAAAUUUCACUAAAGAUUGAAUCUUGGGAUGUAGAUUCCACUUAUAGCAUAAACAACACAAAUGAAUAGAUUUACCUUUUGUUAUUUUUCUUGUUUAACCAGGGAUUCAUUUCCAAUAUUACCAAAUCUCAUUCUCAUGAUGAAAUGACCUAGAGCAAUAUAGUUUUCCCUAUUUUCAUGGUGAAAUACUAGUUCUACUCUGUUUUCCUUCAUGAAAUGCUAGAAAAUGCACUUAAGAGUACAUCUAUUUUCAUGAACAUACAACUCAAGCUCUACUCAUGUUUUUCCAUUGUUACUAUCAAUUUUCAUUGACUAAUAACAACUAUGAACAUGCUAUUGGUGAUCAAACAACAACAAGUAAUUACAACUGCACAAAUAGACAAGUUAAUACAAGAUAUAACAAGUAUAAAUCACAUUCAAUUCAUAUUAUUUAGCCAUAAGUUUUAUCUACUCCCUAGAUAAAGAAAAUUAACUACUCAUGAAUGAGAUAAAAAUCAAACUCACAAGUUUAUUAAUGCAAAACAUCACAAAGUACAAUUACAAGAAAGAUAAAAGAAAGCUUAGCCAAUUAAUGGUGAAGCCCUCAAAUUUCUGCUAUGUUCUUGUACAAGAUGAUUACAAGAUGAGUCUCCAAUUGCUUCCUCAAGAACUCUUCACUAAAGAGAAACUUGUUGCAAGAAGAAAAACUAGUUACGUAUGGUCAUCUCUAGCUUCUCCAUUCUAUCUCUGCAUAAAAGGUGGUAGAAAGACAUUUUUUUUUCUCCUUCAUGACUUCAACCACUUAGAUUUUGUAAAGGAAGUCAAAAGAUAUGUUGUUUUGACUAGUCAAUAACUCAUUUGGUCUUCUCUUUUGUUGCAGAAGCAUGUGCCACCGAAUUUUCUUUCCCAAGAUAGCUGGAACGUUGUGUGAAAAGUGAGAAAAAACAGCUGCGCCACUUGCUGAAGAGAAAGGCGGAUCCGAGCCUCGGAUCAGAAGGGUGAAGAUCGAUCCGAGACUUUCUCUGAUGGAUCCGAGCUCAGAUUGUAUGACCUCGGAUACACUGCUCCAGAAGUACAGACGAGAGCUCGGAUCGCCCUUUACUCACACGGAUCGCGAGGUCGGAUCCGUGCUGAUGAAUUUCCAGUUUUUUACUUCUUCUCUUUUCUCUUCAUGUUUGUUCCUAAUUUCUCUUGUACUUUAUCCUCGGACAAUUCUUACAAUUCCUUCAUCUCGUGCAUGAAUUCUAUAUAUCAAUGUCCUUCAUAAUUUCACAAAAAUUAACACAUUAAUCCACUUACUAAUCAAAUUUUAAACACUUAAACAAUAUUUAAUCAAUCAUCACCAAAAGAGUUCAAAUAUGGCUUUAAUCUUCUCAAAAGUUAUAUGCACUUGUACAAAAUAUACGUUAAAUAUUCACUUAUUAAAUUCCCCCACACUUGAAUCAUUGCUUGUUCUCAAGCAAUUUCACACAUAACUUACCAAAUGAUUCAAGAGAUAAAACAAUAUACGUACUCUUGUCAAAUUUAAUUUCUCAAAACCUAGAAAUCAAUCAUUAUGCCAUUUCUCAGAUUAUACUAAAUACUCAUAAUAUCAAGUUAAAGAAAGAUAAUUAUGCAUUAAUUUUAACAACUUCAAAUCAAUCUCUCAUUCUAUCCUAAUUCCACAAAUAAGUAAAUUGCAUAGGCAAUUCUAUGGCCUUCCUGAUCCCAUGACCAUCAAAACUUAACAAUUGAGAGGGAUUUAUUCACACUUCAUUAUUUUUAAAUAGUGAAAUCACCUUUUUAUGCGAAAAUCGACACUUUUAGGUGAAGAUUCCCGGUUACUCAACAUUUCACUUAUUCAAAUUGCUAAGCAUACUCUUAAUUCCAAUACCUUUUUACGCGAAUGUUAAUAUUUGUAAAUGCCAACCCCCGAUUACUUAGUAUGUGAAUCAUUAGAGUAGAAAAAUAAUAUCAAUAUAUAUAUAUUUUUAAAUAUUUUUCUUUUCCCUCUAAGCAUAAUUAAAAGAAGAAUCUAGCCUUGUCUUGACUAUAUCAAUCACUGAUAGGGUGUUAAUUGUUAGCAAUUUUAUUGUUAAUUUUCCCUUUUAUCCUUGCCAAAUAAUGUUUUAAUUAUUAAUAUUUACUUAUAUUUGGUUUGUGGACUUAAUUUCAGGAAUGGAACAGAAAACUACCAAAUAUGAGGGUCUUUCUGGAGAUAAUUGAGAUUUCAAGCAAGCCGCAGUGCCGAAAAGAACUGGACUCCCGUUCCUUUACUUUUGUUGACUAAGAAGACUACAACCAGAGACUGCGGCAGAGAGAACUUCAAGGCUUGGGCCUUUGACUUCAGCAGGGACCACGGAGGAAAGGACAAGGGCUUUAGUCAUUUGGCUCUUAAGAGCAACGUAGAGAGCCAGGAAACUAAGAAGUAAUUGGGAGGCUUGUGGCUAAGUGGUGGGGACCGCACAGGGGCUCAAAACAAGGAGGUGAAUUCGGCAGGCUUGUGCUAAUUCGUUGGGACCACGAAACAAGAAGUAGUUUUUGUUUUAGAAUAGGAGAGCUUCGUUUUGUUUUUGCUUCUAGCUAGUUCCUUCGUAUUCAUUACUUUAUAUAUAGCUUUGCCGUUUUCUUCUAGGGAGGAUGGAGACAUAGUUUGUUUUCAAUAAUUACUUCUGCACUUUUGCAUGGGAUUUCCUCCAUGAAGAUGAAUUAAAUCCCUUCGUCUAGUCAAGGAACAACGGAGGAUUUGGUUCUACUAAAUUUGUGAGAUCGAAUUAGUUUAUAUUUAUUUCCAUUAUUCACUGGUAUUUGUCUAUCUUCUGCUUUAUGUUCAUAUGGUUGUUUUACUAUUCGAUUAUCCAGGGCCCGGAUUCUAGAUUAAUUAAAUAACCUGAAACCAAUUAGGGUAGUUAAAUCCGUAAUUGUUUAAUUAUUCUAAACUGGUGGCAACUGGCAUGAUUGGGUUUGUGUCAGGGAGAUAGGCAGGCUAACUUAAAGAGACCCUCGUAGCGUGUUGAUUGGUUAGAAUUAGGCUCUUCUAAUUAUUCAUGCAAUUAGGGAAUUGAACUUCUAUGGUCGUACCUAGGGUUAUUUCCUGAUUAGAGAAAUAGUCAACGGUCGUACCUUGGCUAUCGACAAAUUGAGGAAGAGUUGGUUGUUUAUCGCGUGUAUGACAACUAUAACUAAUUUAUCAGAUAGUAACUAGAAUAAUCCUUGCAUCUGUGAUCGAAUUAAGUGAACCAUCUCCGAAGUUGUCUCUUGGCUAGAGUUCGUCCAUUAUUAUUUUUAUUGUGAUAAUUAGUUAUUUGAGUUGUAGCUAUUUUAUUUUAUUUUAAUUUAUUCCAAGUAAUUUAGUUACUCUCAUUUUCAAAAACCCCCUCAUACUUCGGACUCUAAAAGAAAUAAAUUAUCCCCAAUCCCUGUGGAUUCGACCCUGCUUAUCACUAUCUACAGAAAUUAUAUUUUAUUUAAGCAGGUAUUUAUUAUUGCACAGGUUUGACACCCUGUCAAUUUUUGGCGCCGUUGCCGGAGACUGGUGCCAGAUUAAUUUGUUUCUUUUUGAGUUCAUCUUGUUUUUAUUUAUUUUUCUCCUAUUUUUUUUAUAUAGUUUAUGGCUUCUAACACUCCGUAUUUUGGUGAUAGACUGGAUUUUGUUUCCAGGAAAGGCAAUGAGGCUUCUUUUUUUGCUAAGUUUGCAUAUUCAGAGGCACUAAACUCUAUUAGAGAAAGGAUGGCUGCUGCAACCUGUAAAAUUUGUUAUGCCAGGGAUCAUUCAACCGGUAUGUGCCCCGAAUAUCAAGAUAAUCUGAGUGUCUCACUCAAUAAUUAUGGAGAUUUUUCAUCCUGGUCUCAAACGUGGUAUAACCCUAAUCCAAACGGGUAUGAUCAAGGAUGGUGGGAUAACUCCAGUUAUAAUUAUACAACAGGGCCAAUGAAUUUUCAGCAGUAUGAGUCUCAAGAAUCGUCAUCUAUGUCAGGUAUGUCUCUUGAAGAAAUAGUUGAAUCAAUAGCUACUAAUACAUACCAAUUCCAACAGGAGACACAAAUGAGGAAUGAGAUGAUGACGGAUGCAAUGAGUAAUCUGGCAGAUCAACUAUGUCUAUUGACAUCCAGAAUAAAUCGAUUGGCUUCUCAAAUGGAAGAAUUGCCCUCGAAAACCAUUGUUGAUUUUGAAGAAAAUGAGAGUGCAAUUUGCUUGACUAGUGAUGAGGAGAUGCAAGAGUGUCAAAAUGAGAGAUCUACAGAUGCAGUUGAAAAAGGAGCCGAAAAUGAAGAAAUGGAACCCCAACCGCAACCCAUUCAAGUGAAAGAAUCCAGUGAAGAAUCAUCAAAUGUGAUGACACCACCUCCAUUCCCUAACCCACAUUUUCUUAACUCUUACUCUAUGAUUUCUGUUAAUGAGAUUGAUUUUGUUAUACCGGAAGUUCUUGAGUCUCAUGGCAGGAAUGAGUUAAGAGUAGCUAUGGUCAAAUAUCUUGAACCGUUGAAUGCUCUUGAUGGAGGAGUGGAUGAAGAAUUGCGAUCAAUGCUUGAUUAUUUGGCGCCAUCAACUAGUCCAUGGAAAAUCGUAACUCGUGUACUCAAAGAUUACUCCAUCUAUGAGGGUUACCAUGAUCACAUUGAAGAUGAAGUAUUGAACCGAGCCACAAGAUUUUAUCCUCCGUGAACAAGCAUAGCAUGUCUAGCCAAAGACAUUAAAGAAAGGCGCUUUUUGGGAGGCAACCCAAUUGUUGAUUUUGUUAUUUUUGUGUUCAAUUUCUUAAAUAUGUCGUUUCUCACUUGGGUACUAAUCACCUUGAUGUUUCCUCACUAUGACCAGAAUAGGUAAUUUUGGCGUGCCCACGCAAGGAGGGCACGCGUUAAGCGUCUAAAUUCAAGUCUCAUGGUCAGUGGACGUUAUACAAUCUUGGCGUGCCCACGCGGUGUUUGACGACCCAAAAACAAAGGAAAUAAUUUUUCACUUUAAAAAAAAUAAAAAAUAAAAAUAAUUUUUUUAAAAAAUAAAAGUAAUUUCCUUUUUCAUUUUCAGUUUUGGUAUUCAAAAAUCGAAUUUUCCAAUCUCAAUUCAAUUUAAAAAUAUAUAUAUUUCUUUUUCUUUCUUUCUUCUUCUUUUUUUCUUUCUUUCUUCCUUCUUCCCGCUACUUUCCCUUUCCCCCUGUCCUUUUCUACUUCAGCCGCCGCCUCCAUGCUCCACCACCGCCCUCACGCCAUCAGAUCGCGGCCUCACCUCACGGUCCACCGCCAGCUCGUGGCCAAGCCGCGCCUCUCCUCCACUUUCACCUUCCAGGAGCGCCGCCAGGAGCUGCCACGAGUUUGCUCGUCCGCCACCAGCUCGCGGCCGAGGCUUGCCGCGCCUCUCCCCGCCACAACUCUUCUCCAGCUUUGACCACCACGCACACGCAGCUCCUCCUCUUCACGGCCAUCGCGCACUACUGUGCGUCGCCCAAGCCCCAUGCUACUGCGCCCUCGCGCGCAGCCUCCUCGCGCGCCGCGCACAGCAGCUCCACCUGGCGCGAUCUUCUCUCCCUCCCAUCCUCAGCUCACGCCGCCGCCAGAUUUCCUCUCUCCACCACCACACGAGAGCUCUUCCUGCUUCACUCCUGAACAAUCGCGCCGCCACAGCCCUCGGCAAGACCCUCCAGCGCGCGAACUAACCAGCUAGCAACUCCCUGCUCUUCUUCCAGCGCCGCCACAGCUGCCGACAGAGACCAAGGGUGCCGCCCAUCCAGCGCUCGACUGUCUACCCUUCCCCCGUGGCCUCGCCGCUGCUGCCUGAAGCUCCAACAGCCUCCACCAGCUCAUAAGCUCACAAGCUCCAGUGCCGCGAGCUCCGCUCUAGAGCACGCCGCGCACCCCCAAGCUCCACUCACGCACGCCAACAGCUCCGCCCCACGCGAGCUUUUCUGUCCAGCCACGCCAUCACCACCUGUCAAAAUUGACAGGUGGAGGUAUUGUAAUUUCUUCCCCGAUUAACAUAGAUUUCUGGAAUUUGUGUUUGGAUUUUUGGUUGGAUAGAAGAAGGUAUUAAUUUGGGCAAUUGCUAGGGUCAAUUUUGGACAGAAUUGGGUUGAAUUGCUGCCAUAGUGGGGAAAUUUUUUGCUAUUCAUUGCAUUGUUGGCUGGUUGAUUAAUUUUUCCCUGGGACUCACCAGUGGUACUGGUUGAGAUCUUUUGCCUAUCGUUGUUGCGGCUAUUUGAAGCUACUUGCUUAUUUUAAAGUUUAAGUUCUCGUGGUUGAGUUGCUGUCGUUGAUUUAAUACUUUCCUGUCUGAGCACCAGUGGUACUGGUUGCAGUGUUGCUUAAAAUUAUUAAUUCUCAAUUUCUAUUUGGUUACUGCUGGAAUUGCUAGUUCCGUGGCUCAAGUGCUACUUUUGAGCGUUUGACGUGGGUAAUUGACUGUCCAAUUGGUGACAUUUGUUGAGUUUCACUUGCUCGAAUUGGUUGAAUUCACUGCUUUGUUGGGGUCAUUUUUGGUAUCACUUAAGUCCUAUUUUGCUAAUUUCUGUAUUGAGUCCAUUGACGUGAUAUGUUGGAAUAUUUUGGCUGUGACGAAGUUACUUUGCUUGGAAUUUCUGUGUGCCGUUAGUAGGAUAACUGUUGGGUUUGUCUAUUGACUCUCGCGGCACCUGUGUCCCUUGUUUGGUUAUUGCCAUUGGUUGAUUUUCAUUUACUUGUUGGGAACAAUUUGCUAUUGUUGGGAGAAAUUGACCGGUGGGACAUUUGUCGAGUACUUGGGUAGACGCAUUUGCAUUUAAUUAUCCGGUUGCGGGAUAAUAUUUUACUCACUUGAUUGUUGCCUUACCCUUAGGUGUGACUUCUGCUUUACUGGUUUAAUACAUUUGCUGGGACACCGUUUCUAUUGUUGGUCAGAUUGUUAAGUGAGACACAUUUUGUGGAUAUUGACUUGCUUAUUGUCCUUAUUGGGGCUGUAGUUGUUAUUGAAUUGUCUAGGACCCUCGACCCACAUCAUUGUUGGAGUGUUUAUGUACCAUACGGGUCUUGCACCUCAAUUUCCACCUCAAUCGCUGCUGUGACCCCGUCCCUAUUUUGAUGAUUUCAGGAAGUACCGUUGCCCCUCUCCUUCCUUCUGCUUUUACAUUAUCACAUUGAGGGCAAUGUGUGAAUUAGGUGUGGGGGGAUCGUUGUGGUGCUAGUAUUUUUUGUUGUUAGUUCUAGGGGCUUUUCCUUUAUUUUUAGUUAGUUUUUGCCUAUUUUCAUUUAUUUCUUUUCUUUUUCUUUCUAGUGAUCAGUUUCAUAUGAAUACCAAGUUUUUGAUGCUGGAUUGUUCUCUAAUUCUGUUAUUGCCAAGUUUAUUAAUAAAAAGAUAUCAAGUUUGAUGUGGUUGAGUUCAAGAACAUCUCUCUGGUGGAAUAUCAGUAAUGACUUGACUUUUCUAAUUUUUUAGUUAACUUUUCUAGGCAUAGGGAAUGCUUGUUGGCAUUUUCAUGUGAAUUGGUCCAGUUAUUAAUUUUAACUCUCCAUGUUUGGAAAUUUGAGGCUGGCUGCUGUUAUUUUUUAUUAUUUUUUAGUUAUUGUGCUAUAUGAUUGCGGAAUAAGAUGACUGUACUCGCUAUGGUUACUACUGAGUAACCGGGGAUCUUCACCUAAAGUGUCGAUUCUCGCGUCAAAUGUAGUAGUUGCUAUGAGUGCGUGGUCCUGUAGCGAUUGGAGCUGAGUAACGAUCCUCCAUCUGUCAAAUGUUGGAGUUCGCGUCAAAAGGUUCUAAGGGCUAUAGACUAAGUCUUUGUUACUCAAAAAAAAAAAAAAAGGAAAAAAACAAAAACAAAAACAAAAGAAAAAAAAUAAAAUAAAGAUUGUUUAGUAUGUGAAUAAGUCAGCUUGCCGGUUUGUGAUCUUAAUGUCGAGAUUUUGGUUAAUAGUUGGACCAUUUGCUGAUAAAUGUGAGCAACCAUCCUUUUUCUUAAAUUAGUUUGCUUUAAAUUGGAGGAGUUGCUUUAAAUAUGGAUUUAAUCUUCUCAAAACAUACCAAAAGUUUAUGCCAAACUUGUACAAAAUAUACGUUAAAUAUUCACUUAUUAAAUUCCCCCACACUUGAAUCAUUGCUUGUUCUCAAGCAAUUUCACACAUAACUUACCAUAAUGAUUCAAGAGAUAAAACAAUAUACGUACUCUUGUCAAAUUUAAUUUCUCAAAAACCUAGAAAUCAAUCAUUAUGCCAUUUCUCAGAUUAUACUAAAUACUCAUAAUAUCAAGUUAAAGAAAGUAAUUAUGCAUUAAUUUUAACAACUUCAAAUCAAUCUCUCAUUCUAUCCUAAUUCCACAAAUAAGUAAAUUGCAUAGGCAAUUCUAUGGCCUUCCUGAUCCCAUGACCAUCAAAACUUAACAAUUGAGAGGGAUUUUUCACACUUCAUUAUUUUUAAAUAGUGAAAUCACCUUUUUAUGCGAAAAUCGACACUUUUAGGUGAAGAUUCCCGGUUACUCAACAUUUCACUUAUUCAAAUUGCUAAGCAUACUCUUAAUUCCAAUACCUUUUUACGCGAAUGUUAAUAUUUGUAAAUGCCAACCCCGAUUACUUAGUAUGUGAAUCAUUAGAGUAGAAAAAUAAUAUCAAUAUAUAUAUAUUUUUAAAUAUUUUUCUUUUCCCUCUAAGCAUAAUUAAAAGAAGAAUCUAGCCUUGUCUUGACUAUAUCAAUCACUGAUAGGGUGUUAAUUGUUAGCUUUUUAUUGUUAAUUUUCCCUUUUAUCCUUGCCAAAUAAUGUUUUAAUUAUUAAUAUUUACUUAUAUUUGGUUUGUGGACUUAAUUUCAGAAUGGAACAGAAAACUACCAAAUAUGAGGGUCUUUCUGGAGAUAAUUGAGAUUUCAAGCAAGCCGCAGUGCCGAAAAGAACUGGACUCCCGUUCCUUUACUUUUGUUGACUAAGAAGACUACAACCAGAGACUGCGGCAGAGAGAACUUCAAGGCUUGGGCCUUUGACUUCAGCAGGGACCACGGAGGAAAGGACAAGGGCUUUAGUCAUUUGGCCCUUAAGAGCAACGUAGAGAGCCAGGAAACUAAGAAGUAAUUGGGAGGCUUAUGGCUAAGUGGUGGGGACCGCACAAGGGCUCAAAACAAGGAGGUGAAUUCGGCAGGCUUGUGCUAAUUCGUAGGGACCACGAAACAAGAAGUAGUUUUUGUUUUAGAAUAGGAGAGCUUCGUUUUGUUUUUGCUUCUAGCUAGUUCCUUCGUAUUCAUUACUUUAUAUAUAGCUUUGCCGUUUUCUUCUAGGGAGGAUGGAGACAUAGUUUGUUUUCAAUAAUUACUUCUGCACUUUUGCAUGGGAUUUCCUCCAUGAAGAUGAAUUAAAUCCCUUCGUCUAGUCAAGGAACAACGGAGGACUUGGUUCUACUAAAUUUGUGAGAUUGAAUUAGUUUUUAUUUGUUUCCAUUAUUCACUGGUAUUUGUCUAUCUUCUGCUUUAUGUUCAUAUGGUUGUUUUAUUAUUCGAUUAUCCAGGGCCCGAAUUCUAGAUUAAUUCAAUAACCUGAAACCAAUUAGGGUAGUUAAAUCCGUAAUUGUUUAAUUAUUCUAAACUGGUGGCAACUGGCAUGAUUGGGUUUGUGUCAGGGAGAUAGGCAGGCUAACUUAAAGAGACCCUCGUAGCGUGUUGAUUGGUUAGAAUUAGGCUCUUCUAAUUAUUCAUGCAAUUAGGGAAUUGAACUUCUAUGGUCGUACCUAAGGUUAUUUCCUGAUUAGAGAAAUAGUCAACGGUCGUACCUUGGCUAUCGACAAAUUGAGGAAGAGUUGGUUGUUUAUCGCGUGUAUGACAACUAUAACUAAUUUAUCAGAUAGUAACUGAAAUAAUCCUUGCAUCUGUGAUCGAAUUAAGUGAACCAUCUCCGAAGUUGUCUCUUGGCUAGAGUUCGUCCAUUAUUAUUUUUAUUGUAAUAAUUAGUUAUUUGAGUUGUAGCUAUUUUAUUUUAUUUUAAUUUAUUCCAAGUAAUUUAGUUACUCUCAUUUUCAAAAACCCCCAUACUUCGGACUCUAAAAGAAAUAAAUUAUCUCCAGUCCCUAUGGAUUCGACCAUGCUUAUCACUAUCUACAGAAAUUAUAUUUUAUUUAAGCAGGUAUUUAUUAUUGCACAGGUUUGACACCUGUCAAUUUUAGGCCCAAUGAAUGAUGGCCCAAUUGCGGUCUAACUGAGCUGUUGAAUCCAACGGCUAUUGGAUCCAUUGGGCCGCGUAAUUUCUAGUGGGCCUCUCCUCAGGCCCAGGUCAAUUUAAUCGAACAUGUUCUCAAUUUCUUGAUCCAGUGGGCCGUUUAAAGUGUAAUUGGCCUGUGCAAUAAUAAUAAUAAUAAUAACCUAAAUACCACUAAAAAGCUGUCAAUAAUUAAUCCUAGUUACUGGAGCAGGGACUCUAGGUGUGCAAUGGGUUACUUGAUUCACCCUGUUUUCGAAGAGUUUGCUGAAUCGAUAUACCAGAAUUAAUUAGUUGGCAAAAAUUACUGAAUAGUAGACAGUGGCAAGUAGGGUCGUUCCUCAGGGAUUGGGGAUAUUUAUCUCUCUUAAAUUCCAAUUAGUAUGGGGGAUUUCACCAGAAUGAAACUAACAAUAAUUAGACAAUUCAAAAUAAAAAUGAAUACUUAACUAGCACAAAUUGAGCAGGAAUUAAAUUAAGAAUAAAUAAAUUCUAGCCACGGAUGCAACUACUCAGGCACAGUCCAUUUUCCGAUCAUUGAUACAAGAGAGGUUCACUCAAUUUAUUAAUAGGCUAGUUAUAGCCAUCGAUGAACUCUAAUGAUCAAUUUUUCCUUAAUUUAUAGAUGACCAAGGUACGACCAUUAAUCACCCCUAACCAGAAAAGUACUCCUAGGUACGACCGUAGGAAUUAAUUUUUCAAUUGCAUUAAUAACCAAAAAAACCUAACCCUAAUCAAUAACACGCUACGAGGGUUAUUUAAAUUAGAUUGCACGUUCCCCUAAUGUGUAAACACACCAGUUGUCAUUAAUAUUAAUCAAUCAAACAAUUACGGAUUAAUCGACUAAAUUGGCACGAGAUUAGUAAAUCACAUUGAACAUCGGGCCCUUGACAUCCAAUUAAUAAAAUAAUCCCAUGAAAAUUCAAGCAGACAAUGUGCAAAUAUUAGUAAAUAAAGGAACACGUGAAAACUAAUUAGAUCUCACAGAUUUUCGGGACUGCGCCGUCGAGUUGACCUUUGACUAGAUGGAAGACUUAGCCACGCCGUAUAAUUAAAUCACCACACGAAUUAAUAAAUUGCAAAGGCAUUGCGUUUUCUAUUAGGAAGCAAGGAAUAAAAGGUGUUUUUCCCGUUGGGGAAUAUUGUCGAACACUUGGCGUGUGUCAGAGGCCAGUCAGGAGAAAGAAAGAAAAACUAAAGACUAGGCUAAAAACUAAAACUAAAAGGUGGUGUCUUCCUUCCCUAUGUUAUCCCUAUUUAAGAAACAAAAGAAAGAUAGACUAAAGCUAUCUAGGUGGUCCCCACACAUGUGGACAAAUCCUCCAAAGUACUUCUUCUUCCAAGUCUCUCUACUUUGCUUUCUUUGAAGAGUCCAAAUGACUAAAUGCCUUCCACUAACUUGUGGUCCCCACCAAUUCAAGGGCCCAAGAACUGAAGCCCUUAGAAGUCUCCAAUUUUUCAUAAAGUCCCUCCUUUUUGAUAGUUUUCUGCUUCAUUCCUGAAAUUAAGUCCAGAUACCAAAUAUGAGUAAAUAUUAGCAAUUAACACAAUAUUUAUCAGGGAUAAAACGGGAAAUUAAUAAUAAAAUUACUAACAAAUUAUACCCUAUCAAUUCCCCCACACUUGAAUCAUGCUUGCCCUCAAGCAUAGGGACAACUCAACUCAAAAUUGGCUAACUUUCACAUUAUCGUCACCAGCUGUGCUUAUACCCAAAAUCAAGAUUUAGUGGCUAAGUGUCAAGACAUCUCUCCCGGUUAGCUCCUAAGUUCAUAGACCUGUCCAGUUCAUGGCUAACUUGCCUAUGAAAUCCAAAUAUUAACUAGCAACAGUCAGUAAUUAAGUCAACUGGCAACCAAAAUCUCAACAGUGCGAACCAAGGAUCGGCAGGCCAACAUGAUCAUAAACUCAAAUUUUUCACAUCUGAUUUUUCUUCUUCUUCUUUUUUUCUUUUCUUCGUUUUUCUGAUUGAUUUUUUUUUCCUUGAUUUUUUCCCCUUUUUUUUUUAAAAUUGCAUGAAUAAUGCUGAGUCCCAAGCUAUUCAAGUCUUUUGACGUGAACUCUGACAUUUUUAGAUGAAAGAGCCCAGUUACUCAACUUUUCACACGCCAGGACUACUUACUCAUAGAUAUCGCCACUUUUUGACGCGAGAGCCGACACUUGUGGUGAAAGCUCCCGGUUACUAGGUGGCGACACUAGCGGAGUAUAGCCAUAUGUUAUUCACCAAUAAGCACCAAAAUACCAAGUAAUUACAGAUCAUAGCCUGCGUCAUGUCCUACAUAUGGAGAACUAAGGUAAACAGGAGACCAAUCUACCCAACAAUGCCAGCAAAAUAUUCACAUCGCCUAGACAAGUCAGCCAUAAAUUGCACCAAGUCUUAAACUCAAAAUAUUCACCAAGACAGCAUGCUCUUACUUGCCACCGAAACUCAAGUCAUAGUAUAAACCACAACUAACAAGAAGAAAGUGAGCUGCCAACAUAUUCACCAAGAUAAAGCAAGGGAAAACACCCAAAAGGGAUAAAGGAGCAACACCUAAACAGAAAAUACUUAAACUAAAAACAUAGGAAAAACACCCCAGAAACGGAAAUGAGAAAUAUCUAGCACUCAAACAAAGACCCCCCCACACCUAAAUGACACAUUGCCCUCAAUGUGAUAAACCAGCAACAAAAGUAAAGAGAAGGGCAACGGUACUUCCCAGAGUCGUCAGAACAUGGGAGGGUUAGGCGGAAAUUGAGGAGGGAACCCGGCUUGCUGCAUAAAUGCCGCUAGAUUCUGCGCCAUAUUGUGAAUGUUAACGUCCAUGUGUUCGCUUCUCAAGCCGUUCGACUGUGUUUCGGAGAUGGUGCCAUUCCUCGGCCGUAGGGGCGGAAGAAGAAUUACUGAAUCCGAUAUACCAGAAUUAAUUAGUUGGCAAAAAUUACUGAAUAGUAGACAGUGGCAAGUAGGGUCGUCUCCUCAGGGACUGGGGAUAUUUAUCUCUUUUAGAGUCCGAAGUAUUGGGGGUUUUUGAAAAUGAGAGUAACUAAAUUAUGUGGAAUAAAUUAAAAUAAAAUAAAAUAGUUACAACUCAAAUAACUAAUUAUCACAAUAAAAAUAAUAAUGGACGAACUCUAGCCAAGAGACUUGGAGAUGGUUCACUUAAUUCGAUCACAGAUGCAAGGAUUAUUCCAGUUACUAUCUGAUAAAUUAGUUAUAGUUGUCAUACACGCGAUAAACAACCAACUCUUCCUCAAUUUGUCGAUAGCCAAGGUACGGCCGUUGACUAUUUCUCUAAUCAGGAAAUAACCCUAGGUACGACCAUAGAAGUUCAAUUCCCUAAUUGUAUGAAUAAUUAGAAGAGCCUAAUUCUAACCAAUCAACACGCUACGAGGGUCUCUUUAAGUUAGCCUGCCUAUCUCCCUAACACAAACCCAAUCAUGCCAGUUGCCACCAGUUUAGAAUAAUUAAACAAUUACGGAUUUAACUACCCUAAUUGGCACGAGAUUAAUAAAUCACAUUGAACAUCGGGCCCUUGACAUCCAAUUAAUAAAAUAAUCCAUGAAAAUUCAAGCAGACAACGUGCAAAUAUUAAUAAAUAAAGGAACACGCGAAAACUAAUUAGAUCUCACAGAUUUUCGGGACUGCGCCGUCGAGUUGACCCUUGACUAGAUGGAAGACUUAGCCACGCCGCAUAAUUAAAUCACCACACGAAUUAAUAAAUUGCAAAGACAUUGCGUUUUCUAUUAGGAAGCAAGGAAUAAAAUGUGUUUUUCCCGUUGGGGAAUAUUGUCGAACACCUGGCGUGUGUCAGAGGCCAGUCAGGAGAAAGAAAGAAAAACUAAAGACUAGGCUAAAAACUAAAACUAAAAGGUGGUGUUGUCGCGCCCCGUUUUUCGCGACGGAAAAGAAAAAUAAAGUGUGAGAUUUAUAAAAGAUAUGAUUUUAUUUUUAAACAAGUUAAAAGGGACCUAGAAUGGGACUUAAAAAGAAUGCGACAAUUUGGGUCCAAAAUUUAGUCUAAAAGGGUUUUUAAGAAAAAAACAGGAGUCGCCACUUGGUAUGGAGUUUUGGUGUACCAAGUCACCCAAAAAAAUAAAGUAAAACAAAAUAAAACCCUUUUUGACAACUCCAGGUCUUUGAAAACAAGAGAAAAUGGAUUCGGGAGUCACGGUUGAAGAAAGGGAAGGCAAAGAUUCGAUUAACUCAAAUCUAAGGCACCCUUUCAACCUAGUCUAAGCUAGUUGCGAGGUUUAGUCAAAAUUUUCCUAAUCUAACCCUUAAUUUAUCACAUUUGGAUGUUUUCUAUAUAAAUGCAAAUCUAAAAAAUAUCGCAAGGGACAACAUGUUCAUUCAAGGGUUUAAUUGAACCAAUCGCAUUAAUUGCGAAGGUCAAAAUAAAUCCUCGAAGGUGUCACAAGGAUGCAAAUGAUGAAAAAGAAAAGAAAAUAAAAGAAAAGAAAUUAAAUUAUAUACACAUAUAUAAGUGAUCAAAGAAAAAGGGAAUGCAACAUAAAGGGUACGGGAGGCAAAAAAAAAUUCGUGACAUAAUUUUCUUAUACAUGGAUUAAUAGGGUAUUUAAACUAGAAAGUUAUAAUCACCCAUUUCCCAUGUUUGAAAAAUAAUUAUCCUAACAUGAACAAGCAAAUGAACUAGCUUAAAUGGGAUGCAAUUCUAAAUGACAUGAUUAGCACCUAUAGCGGGUAGGGGAUAAUAAAAUAGGGAAUAUCAUGCAAAUGAGAAAAGAUCCUAAAAAUGAAAAUAUGCAUGAAAAUGUGGUGAAUAGCAUACAAUGAUGAAUCUAGCGCAAGAUGACCUAAAGGGUCUAGCGUUGGACUAGCCCAUUUCUAAAAAUCCUUGCUAGCGUUGGACUAGCAAGUAAGCGGAGGGAGAAACCACAACUAGCGUUGGACUAGUGUGGUGACGUCAUGCAUUAACAAUUCAUAGCGAAACAAAUAAAACAUAAAUUAAAACAAAUAAACACAUAAGAGCACGUAGCACAUAACACGUAAACAUAAUAUCUAGAUGCCAAAAUCCUAAGAAAAGCGGACAAAACACAUAACACAUAAGCCACAUAAACACGCAACCUAUCUAUUACAUCGGGGGCGCCUAACUACAAUCUAGAAGGGAAAAAUAUAAUAAAACAAAUCUAAUUAUCCUAUCUAUUACAUUUUUGAGGUAUUUAAAUGCCUCUUGAAUCAUUAUAAAAAUUAACUAAAACAUAUAUAAGAAAAUUUGAAUGAAUAUCUAAAUCAAGUAAAUAAAGCAUAUAAAAAUAUAUAAACACAUAGGAACAAAUAGGAGCACAUAAGAGCACGUAAUUGACAUUGAAAUAAUAAAAUAGGGGUACCUCCCGUUUGAAGUGGUGACUAAAUGGAGUCAAAUUGUCCUAUUUAUACUCACAAUGAACAAAAGAAUCAUGGCACCACUUUAAUUGAAAAUAAUAAUAAUGUUAAAAUACUAAAUUCACAUUAACAUGUCAAACGCAAAGAAAUUUAAGAACAUCUAAAAAUUGCAAGUUGAAUAUGUUCAAAAAUAACAUAAUUAGUUAUUAAAGAAAAGAAACAAUCAUAAUAAAGAGAGUCAAAAUUCAUCAGGGACUGAAUUGCAAAAAUUGAAAAAAAAACUUUUGGGGACAAAAAUUAUAUUUUUCAAAGUUUAGGGGGUCAAAAUUAAAUGAAAGAUAAAAUUCAGGGACCAAAGUGAAAUUAAUUUAAGGACCAAAGUGAAAGAAUUUUAAAAUGUUCUGGGCCACAAUAAAACUACUCCAAAGAUCAAGGGCCAAAGUGCAAAUCGUAACCAGAUCUGGGCAAGAUAAAGGGCAUCGGGCCACUCUUUUUAUUUUAUUUGGGCCAAACCUACCUAAGCCCAACUGAAAACCCAAGCUAAAACACACAGGCCAGCCCGUCUUUUUAUCCCUCAAGCCCAGCCAAAAAUUCAUGGGCUCCAACCUCCGAGCCCAACUGAAACCCAAAAGAAAAAUAAACCAAAGCCCAUCCUCAAAACCUAACAAAAAUAACCAUAAGCCCACCUAAAAAAAUAAAACACUAGCCCAAACCCCUUUUUUCUUUCUCUUUUCUUUCUUUCCUUUCUUUUCUUUCUUCCCCGAUCGUUUCUUUCUCUGCUUCUUCGGCCAGCUGAAGCUUCUUCAGCUGGCGGCCAUGGCGGUCGCCAGUGGCGCCGCCGCCACCGGACCGCCGUCGCCGGUGGUCGCCGGCGACCUCUCCGGUCACCGAAUUUCCCCAAAAUACACUCCCUCACUCGAUUUUUCGCGUAGAUUCCAUUUUCGGAGUUAGUUUUUACAAAAGAUGAUCUGAAAGUGUCCAAAAUGUAAAAUAAACAGCCCAGUUUUUAUAUUUUUAAAACCUCAAAUCUUCACCAAAAAUCACAAAAAUCAUGCCAAAACACUCCUUAUAGCUUCUGUAUGAUAACUAAAAUCUUAGUUAACAAGAACACAACAACAAAAAACUACAUUUAAGGCAAAACAGUCCCUAAAAUUCUUUUUUUUUUUUUACUUUGGCAUUUUAUCAAACAUUAAUAAUGCAUACACCAACCGUACUUCCUUUCUCCCUAAUCUGGUUAUACCAUUUCCCUAACAACAUAAUGAUAGCAAAUCCAACAAGAGAGAGAAACAAACUAAUGUCUAGACAUGCUUAUGGUACGGGACAUAAAGAAUUUGGGUAACCAAAGAAAAUUUCAGCACCAACUUUGAAUUUAAACAAGGAAUAGCAAGGAAAAGAAAAAGAAAAAGCGAGAGCCUUACCUUGCCUGGCAGUGGAGGAAUUACACAGCGGUAGUGGCAAUGGCGAUUUUUGAUGAUCGUAUGGUCUUCCACUUGUUCCCUUAACUCCUCCUUUCUAUUUUCUUUUUCUUUUCUCCUUGUAUCCGAGAGAGAGCAAUGGGAAUUGUUGUUGGUGUGGGGAGUGUAUGUGAAAUUUUUGGAAGGGGAGAGUCGAGAGUGGGUUGGGGAGUAGUUUUUUUUUGUUUGUGGCUUCUCUUCUGUGAUAGGGAGAGCCGAGUGAAGAGUUUUUUUUUUUCUUCUUGUUCUACCUCUGAGAGAGGCCAGAGAGUCGAUAUUUGGAGAGAAAAAGAUGAGCUUGUGUGUGUGUUUGGUCAAAAUGAUUAUAUUUUACCAAAUGACAAGAAAGUUGAGUGUAGGAAUGGGUUAAGUGUAUUUUGUGGGGAAAAUGAUGAAAAUGUGUAAGUUUAGUAAUAAUUUGAUUUUGACUUCAUUUUUUUAUUUUUUUUAUUUUUAUUUUAUUUUUAUUUUUUUUAUUUAUUUAUUUUUUUUAGUUUUAUUUUUGUUGUUGUUUUGUCUUCUUUUUUUUUAAACAAACCUGCAAAAUUGAGAAAAAUGCACAUUAAAAUGCUAAAAAAUAAAUAAUUCAUUAAAUAGAAAAUUUUGAGAAAAUAUUAAAAAUCGACAGAAAUUUGGUGUCUACACUUAGCCACUUGAAGGUGAAGCUCUCCAAUUCCUGCUAUGCUCUUGCACAAUAUGAUUACAAGUAAAAACUCCAAAUACUUCUCCAAGAACUCCUAUCUAGAGAGAAACUAGAUACCAGAAAGAAAACUAGCUACGUAUGGUAAUCCCUCUUCUCCCCAGUCUUUCUGCAUAAAAAUGUGGUAGAAAUUUCAUUCCUCUCACUUCAUAAUUUCUUCCACUCAGAUUUUGUAAAAAGAGGUCAAAGAUAUGAUGUCUCCUUUUGUCCACAUUCAUUUGGUCUUCUCUUUUGUUGCAGAAGCAUGUGCCACCGAUUUCUGUCCCUCAAAAUAGCUGGAAAGUUGUGAAAAAGGUAAAGAAAAACGGCUAUGGCACUUGCUGAGGAGAGAGACAGAUCCGAGCCUCGGAUCCGAGGAGUGAAAAUUGGAUCCGAGCUCGGAUAUUAGGAUCCGAGGGCUUCCAUGAUGGAUCCGAGGUCGGAUCAUCCUGACCUCGGAUACACUCCGCCAGAAGUACAGACUAGGGGUCGGAUCCCUCUUGUACACACAGAUCCGUGCUCGGAUCUGUGUUGAACAAUUUUCCAGUUUUUCACUUCUUCCCUUUUUCUACAUUUUUGCUCCCAAUUUCUUGUGUACUUUGUCUUCUGAAUGACCCUGACAUUUCUUUCAACUUGUGCAUGAAUUUCAUACAUCAAUUACCUUCACAAUUUCACAAAAUUAACGCAUUAAUCCACUAAUUUAUCAAUUUCUGAACUCUUAAACAAUAUUUAAGCAAUUAUCACCAAAAGAGUUCAAAUAUGGCUUUAAUCUUCUCAAAACAUACCAAAAAUUCAUGCCAAAUUCGUACAAAAUGUACGUUAAAUAUUCACUUAUCAAAUUCCCCCACACUUGAAUCAUUGCUUGUCCUCAAGCAAUUUUACACAAAACUUAUUUCAAAUAUUCAAUAGAGAUAGAGAAAACAAUAUGCGUACUAUUGUCAAAUUUAAUUCCUCAAAAACCUAGAAAUCAAUCAUUAUGCCAUUUCUCAGAUUACACUAAAUACUCAUAAUAUUCAAUUAAAUAAAAAUAACUAUGCCUUAAUUUCAAUAAAUUCAAAUCAAUUCUCUCAUUCUAUCCUAAUUUCACAAAUAAGUAAAUCACAUUAGUCAAUUUUAUGGCCUUCCUCAUCCCAAAACUUAUCAAUUUAGAGGGAUUUAUUCACAUUUCAUCUUAUUUAAAUAGUGAAAACGUCUUUUUACGCGAAAAUCAACACUUUUAGGUGAAAAUUCCCGGUUACUCAACAUUUCACUUAUUUAAAUUGCUAAGCAUACUCUUAAUUCCAAUACCUUUUUACGCGAAUGUCGACAUUUGUAAAUGCCAACCCCCGGUUACUCAGUAUGUGAAUCAUUGGAGUAGAAUAAUAAUAUUAUUCUUUUUUUUUAAUAAUUUCUUUUUCCCUCUAAGUAUAAUUAAAGGAAGAAUUUGGCCUUGUUUUUGAUUAUAUCAAUCACUUACUUAGAAAAUUAAGUAACAAUGAUAAAUAUCAUUAAUUUUGCAAAAUUCUAAGCAUAAUUUUUCUUAUUUAACCAAAUAUACUUUCUAAAAUGUAAAUAUCCUAAUUGCAUAAUAAUUCGUUCCAAGCCAAUUAAGAACUAAAUUUUUCCAAAAUACACAUAGCAUUUUAUCCAAUGGAAGAAUUAGACACUUAAAAUUUUAACAUUUUGGCCAUUUAAUUGGAAGAAUUGCAAUGAAAUAUUGGAAAAUGUUUUAGAAAAAUUUCGACAGAGUUUCCCCAUAAAAAUGGAUGAAACUCCCUGCCAAAUAUCAUUAAUUUUCACAAAAAUUAUCCUCAUGACUAUCUCCACAUAUAAUUCCAACAUUUUUAAGGCAUAAACAACUAAAAUCAUGCAUUUCAAAACACAAUCACCCAUAAGAUAUGCAAUGCCUCCCCCACACUUAAAAUCUACAAUGUCCUCAUUGUAGAGGAGGGUAAAAGAACUGAAACUUCCCUCAUAUAGGUGGUGAUGCAAUUUGAAACCCUUACUCAUCACGAUCAUCCAAUUUCUGUUCAAAAUGAGACAACAAAGGUACCAAACACCAUAAGUAGCACAAGAUGAUUCAAAUUAAAGAAAAAUAAAAACUACAACAUUUAUCUUAACAAAAGAAGAGAAAAAUAAAGAAAUAAAAGGUCGAAUCCGCUAAAAAAAACAUCAUGGCUGCUGGGAACGAGGAUCUACUGCCUCCUCGGCUCCAUGAGGACCCUGUGAGGUACCAAUAUGGCCCUCCUCCUGAUGAGGUGUCGGAGUAGGGGACCGUCGGAUAUGGAAAUGAUCCUCGAUCGCACGAAGACGGCGAUCAUGUCGGUCGAGGCGCUCAAUCAUCAUCCGCUCCGUCUGGUCAAUGCGCUCGACGACUCGCGUCUCCAUACAGCAAAUAGCAUUGAGAAGCUCUUGCCACUUGGAGCGCGUUUGAGGAGGUGGUCGUGGAACCGGAGGAGGAAGAGUCUGCUGUGCCUCCGUCUCUUGAGUUUCCGCUUGAGGUUCAGUGUGAGGCAGAGGUUGAGUGGAAGUCGAUGCUUCUCCUGUGUCCCGGACCAAAGCAGCUCCAAAUUCCGUAGAAAUACCCAAGGAUUUGAGUAUUGAAACAUUUACCUCCUCGGCCGACCUAGUUAUCACCGAUCUCUCGGUUCCAAGAGGAACUUUGAACUUCUCAAAAAUGAGGGAUAGCAGUCGGGGGAAUCCAAAACAAGUCUCGCCGGCCCUCAUGCGAGCUGUGGUCCGCAUAUAACUGAUGAUAAUGCUGGGUAGAGGAAUACCAGUCAACUGUCUACCCACUCCAUGUAUCAUCUUAUCCAGAAAAUAGAGAUCGCUAUUUCGGAUCUCCCGUUUACCACUCUUUUUCGGCACCACAUUGAAGGCAAAAAGAUAGAAGAUCAGGUGGUAACGAUGCUCAAAGGAGUCGGCAUAUACCGUGAGUUUUUUUGAACUUCCUCGCUCACGGUACUGACCCUUUAGACGUCCCACGGCUUCUCCCACUUGCCAAGGGUCUCGAGCUUUGAAUUCCUUGGUCAGUUUGACAUCUUCGCCUUCGUCUUUGAGUUGGACGAAGUGUCUCAAUGUAUCUCGAUUGAGAGUCACUCUUUUACCUCGAACCCACGAGACGAUGAGGUUGCCACUGUGGCUCUGCUUGUUCUCCACAUUGGCAUAGAACUCCCUGACCAGGUUGGGGUAGUAGUGCUUGGGCAACUGAAGGAUGUUCUCCCAUCCAAGCCUCUUGAAUGCUGUCGAAAUGUGGUAGUGCGCAUCCACCUCUGGUGCCAAGUGUUUCUCAAUUAUGAUCUCCUUGUCCAGUCCGGCUUCAUACCACUCUUGAUUUUCGAGCGAUGUGAAUCGUGUGGUAUCGUAGUCUGGCGGUGGCUCGUCACGGCUAGUGGAUGCGGUCUUCCGGCGAGACCGAGGUGGCGACUCAGGUGAAGGAGAUUCCUCCUCAGGCGACUCCUCAUGCAAAGAAGGUGUAUGUUCUUCACUUGACGAUGGUGUAGGAGUACGAAUACGAGCCCUCCUUGUACGAGCCAUAGUACCUAUAAACAAGAUGAGUAUUUAUUAGAAACGAUAGAAACUCACUCAUACAUGUUAAAUAGGAAUUUAAGAAAAUUUCGGCAGAGUUUCCCCUGAAAAAGGGCUAAACUCCCUGCCAAAAUGUACCCAAAUUUAAACAAAUAAACUUCCUAACACUUAUCAAAUCCAAUUCCCACAUUUAGAAAGGAUAUUAGCAGUAAAGAAAUCAUUUCAUGCAUAUUAAGUGCAAACAAUUUUAAAUUAUAUUCAUUUGCAAGAAUGAACACUCAAACACUUGAAAAUAUCUUCAAUCCAAUUCAUAACACUCGUUAACACUUAAGUUAACUACACAUGAGUCCCAAUUCAUCCAAAUACAAUUAUUUCAAGUAACAGUGGUUCAAUGUGCUUAACUUGAUCGGGAACACACACUUUUACCUAAUGGGCUAUUGCUCUAGUGAUAGCAUAUCAUUUUCAAUUGGUAUAACAGUGAUUUAUACCUCUCUGAACAAGUUCAGAUAUUCAAUGAAAGCUAAAUUCACAAGUUUAAAUCACUAAAAUGUUCAAGCCCAAAAAUUGAGAAGGAAAUCUCAAAACUAUCACUAAAUCCACAAUUCUCUCACAAAUAAACAUGAAAAUAAUUAUAACAACUGAUUUGAGCACAAUGUAGCACAAUUAUAUCAAGAAUUUUCAACAAUUAAGCUAUUUAGCAAAAUAUAUUGAAAAACUAAAAAUAUGCAAAAAUGAGAGAUAUACAAUGUCACAUAAAUUCGAAAUUUGUUACCUCAAAUAGAUGGAGUGAUGAUGGAGGAUGAUAAUGAUGCAAAAAUGGAGAACAACCAAGCCCAAAUUCGACCUCAAAAUGCAAGAUUUCAAUUCGGCCCUAUUUUGCGUCUUGAAGAUCAAAACCCCUCAAUUUGAUGUUUUUGAUUCCAAAUUGUUAAGGGUUAAUGCUCAGAAGAGGUUAGUGAAGGUUUUUGUUGUGAAAAAUUGGGAAUGUUAUGGAUGAAAUGGAAGAUUGGAGGAAAAGGAAUAGGGUUUCGAAGAGAGAGAAAAGAGAAAUCUGGAAAUUGAGGAAGCCUCGUUUCCCUUCUUAUCGCGAAAGGAUCCGAGGUCGGAUCAAUUCUGGAAGGCCUCGGAUCCGACAGGGCUCGGAUCAGUCCCAACAGAAACACAGACGAGCCCUCGAAUUUAUCUGGGUUGGAAUGGAUCCGAGGUCGGAUCAGUUGAUCCGUGGUCGGAUCUGUCUGGGCUUUUCAGGAUCCGAGCUCGGAUCUGUAUUUCUCUGCACUAAUUGCAGAAACUGCAAUUUUUUCAAACUUUUUCUCCCUUUUUCGGCUAAUUCCAAAUUACACAUUGGACAUACCUUUUCUCAAUUCCAACCUCCCACGCACAUGUAAUAUACCAUAAACAUAAUAUCCAACCUCUCAAAACACAACAAACACAUCUACAUUGAAAAUCGAGGGGUGGGGUUCUUUGAUCAUUUUUACAUUUUUACACUAAAAUGGCAUUUUUGAGCAUUAAAUGUAUAUCAAAUGAGUCCAUAAGCCUUUAUAACCAUGAUAUCACCAAAACUCAUUUGAAAUGCACAAUGUAUGUAUAUGCAUGGGAAUUUUAAGCACUUAAAACACAAUUUGAUAAGAAAAACUCCCUUUUACACAUAUUCUUCAAGUGCACCUCCGAGAUGGAUGAUAAAACUCCCGUACCUCCUACAAACAAGUGAAAUACAUCUAAUUAGUCAAUUAAAUCACACCAAAAUGUAAGAAACACCUAAAAACACACAAAUACACUAUUAUCAUUGGGUUACCUCCCAACAAGCGCUUUUGUUUAUAGUCGUUGGCUCGACAAUCCUAUAACUUCUUUAAUUCUCCUUUGCAUUUCCUAAGGAGUAAAUUACCCCUUUAGGAACUUUUUCUCCUGGCAAAUAGGGCUUCAAUCUUUGUCCAUUUACUUUAAAUGGAGAACCAUUUUCUCCUUUUAUUUCCACUGCUCCAUGCGGAAAUACUUGAGUUACUUCAAAUGGUCCCGACCAUCUUGACUUCAAUUUUCCUGGAAAUAACCUCAAGCGUGAGUUGAACAAAAGUACAUUUUGCCCUACUUGAAAUUUUUUAGGAAUAAUAUGCUUGUCAUGCCAAUAUUUGAUCUUUUCUUUAUAAAUUUUGGCAUUUUCAUAAGCAUGUAGUCGGUGUUCCUCCAAUUCACUUAGCUCAAGUAAUCGCUUUUCUCCUGCAAAAUUAAAAUCCAUGUUAAUAGAUUUAAUUGCCCAAUAAGCUUUGUGCUCAAUCUCUACAUGUAGGUGACAAGCUUUCCCAUAGACUAAACGAUACGGCGACAUCCCUAGGGGUGUCUUAAAUGCCGUUCGAUAAGCCCAUAGUGUAUCAUCUAGCUUUGUAGCCCAAUCCUUGCGUGAUUUAUUCACAGUUUUCUCUAAAAUGAGCUUUAUCUCUCUAUUAGCCAGCUCUGCUUGUCCAUUGGCUUGAGGAUGAUAUGGAAGUGAUGUCUUGUGCCUACAACCAUAUUUAAACAAUAAGGAAUCCAAUUGUUUGUUACAAAAAUGUUUCCCUUCAUCACUUACUAUGGCCUUGGGUAUACCAAAUCUACUGAAAAUAUUCUUUUUAAGGAAUCUAAGUACAAUCUUAGAGUCAUUAGUAGAUGAAGCGAUUGCUUCUACCCAUUUAGAAACAUAAUCCACUGCUACUAAGAUGUACUUAUUAUUAAAAGAACUAGGAAAUGGUCCCAUAAAAUCAAUACCCCAUACAUCAAAUAACUCAACUUCCAAGAAUGUAGUCAGGGGCAUUUCAUUUUUUCGAGAUAUAUUUCCAGUUCUUUGGCAUGCAUCACAAUUUUUAACAUAUUCCCUAGCAUCUCGGUACAUAGUUGGCCAAUAAAAUCCUGAUUGCCAUACCUUUGCCACAGUCUUUGAAGUACUGAAAUGACCAGCUGUUUCAAGGUUAUGACAAUGAUAUAAAACAUUAUGUACCUCAUCUUCAGGAAUACAUCUACGUAUCAUACCAUCGGCACAAUGUCUGUAUAGCAAUGGUUCCUCCCAAAAGUAACUUUUGACGUCAUGUAAGAAUUUCUUCUUUUGAUGAUAAUUGAACUCCUUUUGAAUCUCUCCACUGACCAAGUAGUUAGCAAAAUCUGCAUACCAUGGAGAAUUUCUAAGUGUUAGGACAAACUCAUCCGGAAAAUUCUCUUGAAUUGGAACCUGAUCUUUGAUUGGGAUAUAUUCCAAACGUGAUAAAUGAUCUGCAACUAGAUUCUCCGAUCCCUUUUUGUCUUUUAUCUCCACAUCAAAUUCCUGCAAUAAAAGAAUCCACCGAAUUAGUCUAGGUUUUGCAUCCUUCUUAUGCAGCAAAUAUUUAAGAGCUGAAUGGUCCGUAUAUAUAAUAACUUUAGAUCCUACUAAAUAGGAUCUAAAUUUGUCCAAAGCAAAUAUCACUGCCAAUAGCUCUUUUUCUGUUGUUGCAUAAUUGAGUUGUGCCUCAUUUAGCAACUUGCUAGCAUAGUAAAUGACGUGCAAUCGUCCUUCCUUCUUUUGUCCCAAAACUGCUCCAACCGCAUAAUCACUUGCAUCACACAUCAAUUCAAAUGGUAGUGACCAAUCGGGUGAAGUUAUAAUUGGGGCCGAAAUCAAUUCCUUUUUCAACCUUUCAAAUGCAACCAAACAAUUGUCAUUAAAUUGAAAAGGAGUAUCUUUGCAUAAUAAAUCACAUAAUGGCUUUACUAUUUUAGAAAAAUCUUUAAUAAAACGUCUAUAAAAGCCAGCAUGUCCUAAAAAACUCCUUAUCCCCUUGACAUUGCUUGGGGGUGGCAAUUUUUCGAUAACUUCUAUUUUGGCUUUAUCCACCUCAAUUCCCUUGGAGGAAAUCUUGUGCCCUAAGACAAUUCCUUCUUUUACCAUAAAAUGGCAUUUCUCCCAAUUCAGUACAAGAUUUAUUUCCUCGCAUCUCUGCAAAAUCAAUUCCAAAUUAUGAAGACAAUGGUCAAAAGAUGAACCGUACACAGAAAAAUCAUCCAUAAAUAUCUCCAUAAUUUUCUCAAUAUAAUCAGAAAAAAUAGCCAUCAUGCAUCGUUGAAAAGUUGCAGGAGCAUUGCAUAAACCAAAUGGCAUCCUUCUAAAGGCAAAAGUGCCAUAAGGACAUGUAAAUGUGGUCUUCUCUUGAUCCUCUGGAGCUAUAGCUAUUUGAUUAUAUCCUGAAAAACCAUCAAGAAAAUAGUAAAAUUCAUAUCCGGCUAUUCGCUCCAAUAAUUGAUCAAGAAAUGGCAGGGAAAAAUGAUCUUUUCUUGUUACCGUAUUCAACUUACGAUAAUCAAUACACACUCUCCACCCUACCACAAGUCUAGAUGGAAUUAAUUCAUCAUUUUUACCUAUGAUUGUAGUUAUUCCACCUUUCUUUGGUACCACAUGAAUUGGACUAAUCCAAACACUAUCUGAGAUAGGAAAGACUAUACCUGCAUCAAGCCACUUAAGAAUUUCAUUUCUUACCACCUCUUUCAUGUUUGGAUUGAGUCUUCUUUGUGUUUCUACCACUGGUUUGUAAUUGUCCUCCAAUAAAAUGCGAUGCAUGCAUAUUGAAGGACUUAUACCUUUAAUGUCAGCAAUUGUCCAUCCCAUUGCCUUCUUAUGCUUUCUUAAAACUCUUAGCAACUUUGUACACUGCUCAUCAUCAAGGUCAGCACUAACAAUUACACGUAAAGUACUAUUUUCUCCAAGAAAUUCAUACCUUAGAUGAGUUGGAAGUGGCUUAAGCUCUAACCUUGGAGGUUCAAUUUCUGAAGGUUGUGAAAACCCUUUUCCUUGGCCAAGAUUUUCAUACAAAUUACCCCUUUUAUAAGGUGCUUGAAAAUCCAAGUACUUGGCCAAUUCUUCAAUUUCUUCAAAAACAUCUUCUUGCUUACCUAAACUCAUUAAACAAUACUCAAGAGGAUCUAAAUCAAGGUUGACUUGACUCAUCUCUUGGGUUAGUUUAUCAAUUGUGCCAAUAGAAUAAGCAUGAUCAGUAAAAGAAGGGUAUUUUUCCAUUUCAUUCAAAUUAAAUUCUACUUCUUCUUCACCUACUUGAAACUUAAGCUUGCCAUUUUUUACAUCAAUAAUAGUACCUGCAGUAGCUAAAAAUGGUCUACCUAGAAUAAUUGGCAUAGAUAUAUCUUCUUCCAUAUCUAAUACCACAAAAUCCACUGGAAUGAUAAAUUUUUGAACUUUUAUCAAUACAUUCUCCAACACUCCCAAUGGAUAUCGAAUAGACCGAUCCGCUAGUUGCAAAGUAAUAUUUGUGCGUUUAAGUUCAUGCAAACCCAAUUGUCUAGCCACUGUUAAAGGUAUUAAUGAUACACUAGCACCAAAAUCACACAAUGCUUUAGAAAAAUCAACAUUACCUAUGGUGCAAGGUAUAGAAAAACUCCCUGGAUCCUUCAACUUUGGUGGUAGCUUAUUUUGAAUAAUUGCACUACAUUCCUCCGUUAGUGCUAUUGUUUCGCAGUCUUCCAACUUUCUUUUUCUAGUCAUGAUUUCCUUGAGAAAUUUCGCAUAAGACGGAAUCUGCAAAAUAGCAUCGGCAAAAGGAAUGUUAAUGUGCAAUUGUUUGAAAAGUUUAACAAAAUUUUCAAAAUCUUUAUCAAACUUAUUUUGCUUUAAUCUUUGUGGAAAUGGAACCGCAGGGGGUAUUGGAAUGGUAGCGGAAGAUGAUGGUCGAUUUUUUCUUGAUUCCUCCCGGCUACUUUCCUCCACUAUCGCCUCUUGGUUCCUAUGCUUUUCUUCUUGUUUUUCAUUCUCAUCUUUCUUAACUUCCACCACUGGAGGAUCUUUUAAUUGCUUACCACUACGAAGAGUAAUGGCUUUGACAUGCUUCUUAGGAUUUACCUCCGUUUUGCUAGGUAAUUCUCCUUGAUUACGAUUAUUCAAAGAACUAGCAAUUUGACCAAUUUGGACCUCUACAUUCCUGUACAUUGUAGUGAGUUGGUCCAAUCUUCCUUCUACUCGCUCAAAUCUGUCUGAAGUAACUUUUGCGAGCUUUUCCACUGCCAUCUCCCAACCAGGUUUAGUUUCAACUUGUUGUUGCCUUGAUUGAAAUCCCGGUGGAUUGGCUGGCCUUGGUUGAUUUCCUUGAUCCUUCCAUCCAAAGUUUGGAUGAUUUCUCCACCCCGGAUUGUAAGUAUUCGAGUAGGGGUUAUUUUGAGCAUUACGAUUGUAAUUAUUAACGAAUUGUACCUGCUCAGAAUCAACACACUCAUUAGUAUCAUGUUCACCUCCACAUAUAGAACAACAUGCUACAUGUGCAUUAGAUGAACUUGGACCAACUCCACUUUGUCUACUUAGCAACUUCAUCACAUUAUUCAUUUGAGGACUCAGCAUAUUGAGAGUGUCCAUUUCUAUCAUACCUGCGUGACGUCUUGUAUUACCUCUCUCAUUGGCCCAUUGGUAGUUGUUUGCAGCCAUUUCUUCUAUCAAAUUCUGAGCUUCUUGGGGUUAUUUACCCAUUAAAGCUCCACCUGCAGCUGCAUCGAUCAUAGUUUUAGUAGAAAAAACUAAACCAUUAUAGAAGGUUUGUAUGAUUAACCACUCCGGCAGUCCAUGAUGUGGACAUUUCCGAAGCAAAUCUCUAAACCUUUCCCAUGCUUCAUAUAAUGAUUCACUUUCUAAUUGGCUAAAACUAGUGAUAUCCAUUCUAAGUUUAGCAGUCUUACCUGGUGGAAAAUACUUAUUUAAGAAUGCUCUUGAUAACUCAUCCCAUCCAGUGAAAGUAUUAGGAGCAUGAGAGUGUAACCAAAGUUUGGCCUUAUCUCUCAAUGAAAAUGGGAACAAUCUUAGCCUUAUAGCAUCAUCACUAACUCCAUUCAUUUUAAUUGUAUCACAAAUUUCCAAGAAUGUAGCUAAGUGUGUAUUAGGGUCUUCUACUGCAUUACCUCCAAAUUGAGAUUGUUGAACCAUUUGGAUAAGUGCUGGUUUAAUCUCAAAAUUGUUAGCAUUUACCGUAGGCCUUGCUAUACUCGUUUGAGAUCCUUGUGUUCCCGGUAGAGCAAAAUCUCGUAGAACUCGCCUAUGUGCUUCGUUUUCUGCCAUGUCUUCUUCAAAUGGAAGCUCUAUUAAGAUAUCUUCUAUUGGCUGCCAAACCUCUUGUUUCUCUUGAUGUGAUGUACUCCUCCUUUGUCUGUGUAAUGUUCUUUCAAUUUCAGGAUCGAAAUGUGCAACUUCUCGAUUUGAUCGGUGCAUACACUACAGACAAAAACAAGAGAAAUUUUGCAGUUUAAAUUCAACAACUUGAAAUAAUAAAAAAAAAUGAAAAUAUCUAAAGUAAUAGAGAUGAUUAGGCCCUAAUAUUGCCGCUCCCCGGCAACGGCGCCAAAAACUUGACGGGAUAUUUGUAUCUAUACAAGUUUAAUUCCGAUUUUACACCCGUUGGACUGCAAGUAUACAGGUCGCAAUUGUAGUACAAGAUGUGUAUCGGGUCGAUCCCACGAGGAGCAAUUUAAACAAUUACUAAGCCCUUGUUCUCUCUAUUAUUUAGACUUACAAUUAAUUUGAGCAGAAAAAGUCUAAUGCUGUAAUCUACAAAUCUGAUAUACAAAUCUAGUUUAACAAAUACUGAAUACAAAUAGAGAAAUUUUACUUAAAGAAGAUUCUAGGGAUGUAGAUUCCACUUAUGGCAUAAACUACACAAAUGAAUGGAUUUACUCCUGGCUAUUAUUCUUGCUUAACCAGAGAUUUAUUUCCAAGAAUACCAAGUCUCAUUUUCAUGAUGAAAUGGCUUAGAGCAAUAUAGAUUUCCCUAUUUUCAUGGUGAAAUAUUCUACUACUCCGUUUUAUUUCAUGAAAUGCUCAAUAAAUCCACCUAAGUGUAUCUCUAUUUUCAUGAACAUACAACGCAAGCUCUACUCAUGUGUUUCAAUUGUUAUUACCAAUUCUCAUUGAAUAAUAACACUAUAAACAUGCUAUUGGUGAUCAAUCAACAACACGUAAUCACAGCUACACAAGUAGACAAGUUACUACAAGAUAUAACAAGUGUAAAUCACAUUCCAUUCAUAUUAUUUAACCAUAAGCUUCAUCUACUCCCUAGAUUAAGGGGUUUAGCUACUCAUGAAUGAUUUAACAAUCAAACUCACAAGUUUAUUAAUGCCAAACAUCAUGAAGUACAAGUACAAGAAAGAUAAAAGAAAGCUUAGCCACUUGAAGGUGAAACUCUCCAAUUCCUGCUAUGCUCUUACACAAUAUGAUUACAAGUAAAAACUCCAAGUACUUCUCCAAGAACUCCUAUCUAGAGAGAAACUAGAUACCAGAAAGAAAACUAGCUACGUAUGGUAAUCCCUCUUCUCCCCAGUCUUUCUGCAUAAAAAUGUGGUAGAAAUUCCAUUCCUCUCACUUCAUAAUUUCUUCCACUCAGAUUUUGUAAAAAGAGGUCAAAGAUAUGAUGUCUCCUUUUGUCCACAUUCAUUUGGUCUUCUCUUUUGUUGCAGAAGCAUGUGCCACCGAUUUCUGUCCCUCAAAAUAGCUGGAAAGUUGUGAAAAAGGUAAAGAAAAAUGGCUAUGGCACUUGCUGAGGAGAGAGACAGAUCCGAGUCUCGGAUCCGAGGAGUGAAAAUUGGAUCCGAGCUCGGAUAUUAGGAUCCGAGGGCUUCCAUGAUGGAUCCGAGGUCGGAUCGUCCUGACCUCGGAUACACUCCGCCAGAAGUACAGACUAGGGGUCGGAUCCCUCUUGUACACACAGAUCCGUGCUCGGAUCUGUGAUGAACAAUUUUCCAGUUUUUCACUUCUUCCCUUUUUCUACAUUUUUGCUCCCAAUUUCUUGUGUACUUUGUCUUCUGAAUGACCCUGACAUUUCUUUCAACUUGUGCAUGAAUUUCAUACAUCAAUUACCUUCACAAUUUCACAAAAUUAACGCAUUAAUCCACUCAUUUAUCAAUUUCUGAACUCUUAAACAAUAUUUAAGCAAUUAUCACCAAAAGAGUUCAAAUAUGGCUUUAAUCUUCUCAAAACAUAUCAAAAAUUCAUGCCAAAUUCGUACAAAAUGUACGUUAAAUAUUCACUUAUCAAAUUCCCCCACACUUGAAUCAUUGCUUGUCCUCAAGCAAUUUUACACAAAACUUAUUUCAAAUAUUCAAUAGAGAUAGAGAAAACAAUAUGCGUACUAUUGUCAAAUUUAAUUCCUCAAAAACCUAGAAAUCAAUCAUUAUGCCAUUUCUCAGAUUACACUAAAUACUCAUAAUAUUCAAUUAAAUAAAAAUAACUAUGCCUUAAUUUCAACAAAUUCAAAUCAAUUCUCUCAUUCUAUCCUAAUUUCACAAAUAAGUAAAUCACAUUAGUCAAUUUUAUGGCCUUCCUCAUUCCAAAACUUAUCAAUUUAGAGGGAUUUAUUCACAUUUCAUCUUAUUUAAAUAGUGAAAACGUCUUUUUACGCGAAAAUCAACACUUUUAGGUGAAAAUUCCCGGUUACUCAACAUUUCACUUAUUUAAAUUGCUAAGCAUACUCUUAAUUCCAAUACCUUUUUACGCGAAUGUCGACAUUUGUAAAUGCCAACCCCCGGUUACUCAGUAUGUGAAUCAUUGGAGUAGAAUAAUAAUAUUAUUCUUUUUUUUUGAAUAAUUUCUUUUUCCCUCUAAGUAUAAUUAAAGGAAGAAUUUGGCCUUGUCUUUGACUAUAUCAAUCACUUACUUAUAAAAUUAAGUAACAAUGAUAAAUAUCAUUAAUUUUGCAAAAUUCUAAGCAUAAUUUUUCUUAUUUAACCAAAUAUACUUUCUAAAAUGUAAAUAUCCUAAUUGCAUAAUAAUUCGUUCCAAGCCAAUUAAGAACUAAACUUUUCCAAAAUACACAUAGCAUUUUAUCCAAUGGAAGAAUUAGACACUUAAAAUUUUAACAUUUUGGCCAUUUAAUUGGAAGAAUUGCAAUGAAAUAUUGGAAAAUGUUUUAGAAAAAUUUCGACAGAGUUUCCCCAUAAAAAUGGAUGAAACUCCCUGCCAAAUAUCAUUAAUUUUCACAAAAAUUAUCCUCAUGACUAUCUCCACAUAUAAUUCCAACAUUUUUAAGCCAUAAACAACUAAAAUCAUGCAUUUCAAAACACAAUCACCCAUAAGAUAUGCAAUGCCUCCCCCACACUUAAAAUCUACAAUGUCCUCAUUGUAGAGGAAGGUAAAAGAACUGAAACUUCCCUCAUAUAGGUGGUGAUGCAAUUUGAAGCCCUUACUCAUCACGAUCAUCCAAUUUCUGUUCAAAAUGAGACAACAAAGGUACCAAACACCAUAAGUAGCACAAGAUGAUUCAAAUUAAAGAAAAAUAAAAACUACAACAUUUAUCUUAACAAAAGAAGAGAAAAAUAAAGAAAUAAAAGGUCGAAUCCGCUAAAAAAAACAUCAUGGCUGCUGGGAACGAGGAUCUACUGCCUCCUCGACUCCAUGAGGACCCUGUGAGGUACCAAUAUGGCCCUCCUCCUGAUGAGGUGUCGGAGUAGGGGACCGUCGGAUAUGGAAAUGAUCCUCGAUCGCACGAAGACGGCGAUCAUGUCGGUCGAGGCGCUCAAUCAUCAUCCGCUCCGUCUGGUCAAUGCGCUCGACGACUCGCGUCUCCAUACAGCAAAUAGCAUUGAGAAGCUCUUGCCACUUGGAGCGCGUUUGAGGAGGUGGUCGUGGAACCGGAGGAGGAAGAGUCUGCUGUGCCUCCGUCUCUUGAGUUUCCGCUUGAGGUUCAGUGUGAGGCGGAGGUUGAGUGGAAGUCGAUGCUUCUCCUGUGUCCCGGACCAAAGCAGCUCCAAAUUCCGUAGAAAUACCCAAGGAUUUGAGUAUUGAAACAUUUACCUCCUCGGCCGACCUAGUUAUCACCGAUCUCUCGGUUCCAAGAGGAACCUUGAGCUUCUCAAAAAUGAGGGAUAGCAGUCGAGGGAGUCCAAAACAAGUCUCGCCGGCGCUCAUGCGAGCUGUGGUCCGCAUAUAACUGAUGAUAAUGCUGGGUAGAGGAAUACCAGUCAACUGUCUACCCACUCCAUGUAUCAUCUUAUCCAGAAAAUAGAGAUCGCUAUUUCGGAUCUCUCGUUUACCACUCUUUUUCGGCACCACAUUAAAGGCAAAAAGAUAGAAGAUCAGGUGGUAACGAUGCUCAAAGGAGUCGGCAUAUACCGUGAGUUUUUUCGAACUUCCUCGCUCACGGUACUGACCCUUUAGACGUCCCACGGCUUCUCCCACUUGCCAAGGGUCUCGAGCUUUGAAUUCUUUGGUCAGUUUGACAUCUUCGCCUUCGUCUUUGAGUUGGACGAAGUGUCUCAAUGUAUCUCGAUUGAGAGUCACUCUUUUACCUCGAACCCACGAGACGAUGAGGUUGCCACUGUGGCUCUGCUUGUUCUCCACAUUGGCAUAGAACUCCCUGACCAGGUUGGGGUAGUAGUGCUUGGGCAACUGAAGGAUGUUCUCCCAUCCAAGCCUCUUGAAUGCUGUCGAAAUGUGGUAGUGCGCAUCCACCUCUGGUGCCAAGUGUUUCUCAAUUAUGAUCUCCUUGUCCAGUCCGGCUUCAUACCACUCUUGAUUUUCGAGCGAUGUGAAUCGUGUGGUAUCGUAGUCUGGCGGUGGCUCGUCACGGCUAGUGGAUGCGGUCUUCCGGCGAGACCGAGUUGGCGACUCAGGUGAAGGAGAUUCCUCCUCAGGCGACUCCUCAUGCAAAGAAGGUGUAUGUUCUUCACUUGACGAUGGUGUAGGAGUACGAAUACGAGCCCUCCUUGUACGAGCCAUAGUACCUAUAAACAAGAUGAGUAUUUAUUAGAAACGAUAGAAACUCACUCAUACAUGUUAAAUAGGAAUUUAAGAAAAUUUCGGCAGAGUUUCCCCUGAAAAAGGGCUAAACUCCCUGCCAAAAUGUACCCAAAUUUAAACAAAUAAACUUCCUAACACUUCUCAAAUCCAAUUCCCACAUUUAGAAAGGAUAUUAGCAGUAAAGAAAUCAUUUCAUGCAUAUUAAGUGCAAACAAUUUUAAAUUAUAUUCAUUUGCAAGAAUGAACACUCAAACACUUGAGAAUAUUUUCAAUCCAAUUCAUAACACUCGUUAACACUUAAGUUAACUACACAUGAGUCCCAAUUCAUCCAAAUACAAUUAUUUCAAGUAACAGUGGUUCAAUGUGCUUAACUUGAUCGGGAACACACACUUUUACCUAAUGGGCUAUUGCUCUAGUGAUAGCAUAUCAUUUUCAAUUGGUAUAACAGUGAUUUAUACAUCUCUGAACAAGUUCAGAUAUUCAAUGAAAGCUAAAUUCACAAGUUUAAAUCACUAAAAUGUUCAAGCCCAAAAAUUGAGAAGGAAAUCUCAAAACUAUCACUAAAUUCACAAUUCUCUCACAAAUAAACAUGAAAAUAAUUAUAACAACUGAUUUGAGCACAAUGUAGCACAAUUAUAUCAAGAAUUUUCAACAAUUAAGCUAUUUAGCAAAAUAUAUUGAAAAACUAAAAAUAUGCAAAAAUGAGAGAUAUACAAUGUCACAUAAAUUCGAAAUUUGUUACCUCAAAUAGAUGGAGUGAUGAUGGAGGAUGAUAAUGAUGCAAAAAUGGAGAACAACCAAGCCCAAAUUCGACCUCAAAAUGCAAGAUUUCAAUUCGGCCCUAUUUUGCGUCUUGAAGAUCAAAACCCCUCAAUUUGAUGUUUUUGAUUCCAAAUUGUUAAGGGUUAAUGCUCAGAAGAAGUUAGUGAAGGUUUUUGUUGUGAAAAAUUGGAAAUGUUAUGGAUGAAAUGGAAGAUUGGAGGAAAGGGAAUAGGGUUUCGAAGAGAGAGAAAAGAGAAAUCUGGAAAUUGAGGAACCGAGGCCUCGUUUCCCUUCUUAUCGCUAAAGGAUCCGAGGUCGGAUCAAUUCUGGAAGGCCUCGGAUCCGACAGGGCUCGGAUCAGUCCCAACAGAAACACAGACGAGCCCUCGGAUUUAUCUGGGUUGGAAUGGAUCCGAGGUCGGAUCAGUUGAUCCGUGGUCGGAUCUGUCUGGGCUUUUCAGGAUCCGAGCUCGGAUCUGUAUUUCUCUGCACUAAUUGCAGAAACUGCAAUUUUUUCAAACUUUUUCUCCCUUUUUCGGCCAAUUCCAAAUUACACAUUGGACAUACCUUUUCUCAAUUCCAACCUCCCACGCACAUGUAAUAUACCAUAAACAUAAUAUCCAACCUCUCAAAACACAACAAACACAUCUACAUUGAAAAUCGAGGGGUGGGGUUCUUUGAUCAUUUUUGCAUUUUUACACUAAAAUGGCAUUUUUGAGCAUUAAAUGUACAUCAAAUGAGUCCAUAAGCCUUUAUAACCAUGAUAUCACCAAAACUCAUUUGAAAUGCACAAUGUAUGUAUAUGCAUGGGAAUUUUAAGCACUUAAAACAUAAUUUGGUAAGAAAAACUCCCUUUUACACAUAUUCUUCAAGUGCACCUCCGAGAUGGAUGAUAAAACUCCCGUACCUCCUACAAACAAGUGAAAUACAUCUAAUUAGUCAAUUAAAUCACACCAAAAUGUAAGAAACACCUAAAAACACACAAAUACACUAUUAUCAUUGGGUUACCUCCCAACAAGCGCUUUUGUUUAUAGUCGUUGGCUCGACAAUCCUAUAAUUUCUUUAAUUCUCCUUUGCAUUUCCUAAGGAGUAAAUUACCCCUUUAGGAACUUUUUCUCCUGGCAAAUAGGGCUUCAAUCUUUGUCCAUUUACUUUAAAUGGAGAACCAUUUUCUCCUUUUAUUUCCACUGCUCCAUGCGGAAAUACUUGAGUUACUUCAAAUGGUCCCGACCAUCUUGACUUCAAUUUUCCUGGAAAUAACCUCAAGCGUGAGUUGAACAAAAGUACAUUUUGCCCUACUUGAAAUUUUUUAGGAAUAAUAUGCUUGUCAUGCCAAUAUUUGAUCUUUUCUUUAUAAAUUUUGGCAUUUUCAUAAGCAUGUAGUCGGUGUUCCUCCAAUUCACUUAGCUCAAGUAAUCGCUUUUCUCCUGCAAAAUUAAAAUCCAUGUUAAUAGAUUUAAUUGCCCAAUAAGCUUUGUGCUCAAUCUCUACAUGUAGGUGACAAGUUUUCCCAUAGACUAAACGAUACGGCGACAUCCCUAGGGGUGUCUUAAAUGCCGUUCGAUAAGCCCAUAGUGUAUCAUCUAGCUUUGUAGACCAAUCCUUGCGUGAUUUAUUCACAGUUUUCUCCAAAAUGAGCUUUAUCUCUCUAUUAGCCAGCUCUGCUUGUCCAUUGGCUUGAGGAUGAUAUGGAAGUGAUGUCUUGUGCCUACAACCAUAUUUAAACAAUAAGGAAUCCAAUUGUUUGUUACAAAAAUGUUUCCCUUCAUCACUUACUAUGGCCUUGGGUAUACCAAAUCUACUGAAAAUAUUCUUUUUAAGCAAUCUAAGUACAAUCUUAGAGUCAUUAGUAGAUGAAGCGAUUGCUUCUACCCAUUUAGAAACAUAAUCCACUGCUACUAAGAUGUACUUAUUAUUAAAAGAACUAGGAAAUGGUCCCAUAAAAUCAAUACCCCAUACAUCAAAUAACUCAACUUCCAAGAAUGUAGUCAGGGGCAUUUCAUUUUUUCGAGAUAUAUUUCCAGUUCUUUGGCAUGCAUCACAAUUUUUAACAUAUUCCCUAGCAUCUCGGUACAUAGUUGGCCAAUAAAAUCCUGAUUGCCAUACCUUUGCCACAGUCUUUGAAGUACUGAAAUGACCACCUGUUUCAAGGUUAUGACAAUGAUAUAAAACAUUAUGUACCUCAUCUUCAGGAAUACAUCUACGUGUCAUACCAUCGGCACAAUGUCUGUAUAGCAAUGGUUCCUCCCAAAAGUAACUUUUGACGUCAUGUAAGAAUUUCUUCUUUUGAUGAUAAUUGAACUCCUUUUGAAUCUCUCCACUGACCAAGUAGUUAGCAAAAUCUGCAUACCAUGGAGAAUUUCUAAGUGCUAGGACAAACUCAUCCGGAAAAUUCUCUUGAAUUGGAACCUGAUCUUUGAUUGGGAUAUAUUCCAAAAGUGAUAAAUGAUCUGCAACUAGAUUCUCCGAUCCCUUUUUGUCUUUUAUCUCCACAUCAAAUUCCUGCAAUAAAAGAAUCCACCGAAUUAGUCUAGGUUUUGCAUCCUUCUUAUGCAGCAAAUAUUUAAGAGCUGAAUGGUCCGUAUAUAUAAUAACUUUAGAUCCUACUAAAUAGGAUCUAAAUUUGUCCAAAGCAAAUAUCACUGCCAAUAGCUCUUUUUCUGUUGUUGCAUAAUUGAGUUGUGCCUCAUUUAGCAACUUGCUAGCAUAGUAAAUGACGUGCAAUCGUCCUUCCUUCUUUUGUCCCAAAACUGCUCCAACCGCAUAAUCACUUGCAUCACACAUCAAUUCAAAUGGUAGUGACCAAUCGGGUGAAGUUAUAAUUGGGGCCGAAAUCAAUUCCUUUUUCAACCUUUCAAAUGCAACCAAACAAUUGUCAUUAAAUUGAAAAGGAGUAUCUUUGCAUAAUAAAUCACAUAAUGGCUUUACUAUUUUAGAAAAAUCUUUAAUAAAACGUCUAUAAAAGCCAGCAUGUCCUAAAAAACUCCUUAUCCCCUUGACAUUGCUUGGGGGUGGCAAUUUUUCGAUAACUUCUAUUUUGGCUUUAUCCACCUCAAUUCCCUUGGAGGAAAUCUUGUGCCCUAAGACAAUUCCUUUUUUUACCAUAAAAUGGCAUUUCUCCCAAUUCAGUACAAGAUUUAUUUCCUCGCAUCUCUGCAAAAUCAAUUCCAAAUUAUGAAGACAAUGGUCAAAAGAUGAACCGUACACAGAAAAAUCAUCCAUAAAUAUCUCCAUAAUUUUCUCAAUAUAAUCAGAAAAAAUAGCCAUCAUGCAUCGUUGAAAAGUUGCAGGAGCAUUGCAUAAACCAAAUGGCAUCCUUCUAAAGGCAAAAGUGCCAUAAGGACAUGUAAAUGUGGUCUUCUCUUGAUCCUCUGGAGCUAUAGCUAUUUGAUUAUAUCCUGAAAAACCAUCAAGAAAACAGUAAAAUUCAUAUCCGGCUAUUCGCUCCAAUAAUUGAUCAAGAAAUGGCAGGAAAAAAUGAUCUUUUCUUGUUACCGUAUUCAACUUACGAUAAUCAAUACACACUCUCCACCCUACCACAAGUCUAGAUGGAAUUAAUUCAUCAUUUUUACCUAUGAUUGUAGUUAUUCCACCUUUCUUUGGUACCACAUGAAUUGGACUAAUCCAAACACUAUCUGAGAUAGGAAAGACUAUACCUGCAUCAAGCCACUUAAGAAUUUCAUUUCUUACCACCUCUUUCAUGUUUGGAUUGAGUUUUCUUUGUGUUUCUACCACUGGUUUGUAAUUGUCCUCCAAUAAAAUGCGAUGCAUGCAUAUUGAAGGACUUAUACCUUUAAUGUCAGCAAUUGUCCAUCCCAUUGCCUUCUUAUGCUUCCUUAAAACUCUUAGCAACUUUGUACACUGCUCAUCAUCAAGGUCAGCACUAACAAUUACACGUAAAGUACUAUUUUCUCCAAGAAAUUCAUACCUUAGAUGAGUUGGAAGUGGCUUAAGCUCUAACCUUGGAGGUUCAAUUUCUGAAGGUUGUGAAAACCCUUUUCCUUGGCCAAGAUUUUCAUACAAAUUACCCCUUUUAUAAGGUGCUUGAAAAUCCAAGUACUUGGCCAAUUCUUCAAUUUCUUCAAAAACAUUUUCUUGCUUACCUAAACUCAUUAAACAAUACUCAAGAGGAUCUAAAUCAAGGUUGACUUGACUCAUCUCUUGGGUUAGUUUAUCAAUUGUGCCAAUAGAAUAAGCAUGAUCAGUAAAAGAAGGGUAUUUUUCCAUUUCAUUCAAAUUAAAUUCUACUUCUUCUUCACCUACUUGAAACUUAAGCUUGCCAUUUUUUACAUCAAUAAUAGUACCUGCAGUAGCUAAAAAUGGUCUACCUAGAAUAAUUGGCAUAGAUAUAUCUUCUUCCAUAUCUAAUACCACAAAAUCCACUGGAAUGAUAAAUUUUUGAACUUUUAUCAAUACAUUCUCCAACACUCCCAAUGGAUAUCGAAUAGACCGAUCCGCUAGUUGCAAAGUAAUAUUUGUGCGUUUAAGUUCAUGCAAACCCAAUUGUCUAGCCACUGUUAAAGGUAUUAAUGAUACACUAGCACCAAAAUCACACAAUGCUUUAGAAAAAUCAACAUUACCUAUGGUGCAAGGUAUAGAAAAACUCCCUGGAUCCUUCAACUUUGGUGGUAGCUUAUUUUGAAUAAUUGCACUACAUUCCUCCGUUAGUGCUAUUGUUUCGCAGUCUUCCAACUUUCUUUUUCUAGUCAUGAUUUCCUUGAGAAAUUUCGCAUAAGACGGAAUCUGCAAAAUAGCAUCGGCAAAAGGAAUGUUAAUGUGCAAUUGUUUGAAAAGUUUAACAAAAUUUUCAAAAUCUUUAUCAAACUUAUUUUGCUUUAAUCUUUGUGGAAAUGGAACCGCAGGGGGUAUUGGAAUGGUAGCGGAAGAUGAUGGUCGAUUUUUUCUUGAUUCCUCCCGGCUACUUUCCUCCACUAUCGCCUCUUGGUUCCUAUGCUUUUCUUCUUGUUUUUCAUUCUCAUCUUUCUUAACUUCCACCACUGGAGGAUCUUUUAAUUGCUUACCACUACGAAGAGUAAUGGCUUUGACAUGCUUCUUAGGAUUUACCUCCGUUUUGCUAGGUAAUUCUCCUUGAUUACGAUUAUUCAAAGAACUAGCAAUUUGACCAAUUUGGACCUCUACAUUCCUGUACAUUGUAGUGAGUUGGUCCAAUCUUCCUUCUACUCGCUCAAAUCUGUCUGAAGUAACUUUUGCGAGCUUUUCCACUGCCAUCUCCCAACCAGGUUUAGUUUCAACUUGUUGUUGCCUUGAUUGAAAUCCCGGUGGAUUGGCUGGCCUUGGUUGAUUUCCUUGAUCCUUCCAUCCAAAGUUUGGAUGAUUUCUCCACCCCGGAUUGUAAGUAUUCGAGUAGGGGUUAUUUUGAGCAUUACGAUUGUAAUUAUUAACGAAUUGUACCUGCUCAGAAUCAACACACUCAUUAGUAUCAUGUUCACCUCCACAUAUAGAACAACAUGCUACAUGUGCAUUAGAUGAACUUGGACCAACUCCACUUUGUCUACUUAGCAACUUCAUCACAUUAUUCAUUUGAGUACUCAGCAUAUUGAGAGUGUCCAUUUCUAUCAUACCUGCGUGACGUCUUGUAUUACCUCUCUCAUUGGCCCAUUGGUAGUUGUUUGCAGCCAUUUCUUCUAUCAAAUUCUGAGCUUCUUGGGGUUAUUUACCCAUUAAAGCUCCACCUGCAGCUGCAUCGAUCAUAGUUUUAGUAGAAAAAACUAAACCAUUAUAGAAGGUUUGUAUGAUUAACCACUCCGGCAGUCCAUGAUGUGGACAUUUCCGAAGCAAAUCUCUAAACCUUUCCCAUGCCUCAUAUAAUGAUUCACUUUCUAAUUGGCAAAAACUAGUGAUAUCCAUUCUAAGUUUAGCAGUCUUACCUGGUGGAAAAUACUUAUUUAAGAAUACUCUUGAUAACUCAUCCCAUCCAGUGAAAGUAUUAGGAGCAUGAGAGUGUAACCAAAGUUUGGCCUUAUCUCUCAAUGAAAAUGGGAACAAUCUUAGCCUUAUAGCAUCAUCACUAACUCCAUUCAUUUUAAUUGUAUCACAAAUUUCCAAGAAUGUAGCUAAGUGUGUAUUAGGGUCUUCUACUGCAUUACCUCCAAAUUGAGAUUGUUGAACCAUUUGGAUAAGUGCUGGUUUAAUCUCAAAAUUGUUAGCAUUUACCGUAGGCCUUACUAUACUCGUUUGAGAUCCUUGUGUUCCCGGUAGAGCAAAAUCUCGUAGAACUCGCCUAUGUGCUUCGUUUUCUGCCAUGUCUUCUUCAAAUGGAAGCUCUAUUAAGAUAUCUUCUAUUGGCUGCCAAACCUCUUGUUUCUCUUGAUGUGAUGUACUCCUCCUUUGUCUGUGUAAUGUUCUUUCAAUUUCAGGAUCGAAAUGUGCAACUUCUCGAUUUGAUCGGUGCAUACACUACAGACAAAAACAAGAGAAAUUUUGCAGUUUAAAUUCAACAACUUGAAAUAAUAAAAAAAAAUGAAAAUAUCUAAAGUAAUAGAGAUGAUUAGGCCCUAAUAUUGCCGCUCCCCGGCAACGGCGCCAAAAACUUGACGGGAUAUUUGUAUCUAUACAAGUUUAAUUCCGAUUUUACACCCGUUGGACUGCAAGUAUACAGGUCGCAAUUGUAGUACAAGAUGUGUAUCGGGUCGAUCCCACGAGAAGCAAUUUAAACAAUUACUAAGCCCUUGUUCUCUCUAUUAUUUAGACUUACAAUUAAUUUGAGCAGAGAAAGUCUAAUGCUGUAAUCUACAAAUCUGAUAUACAAAUCUAGUUUAACAAAUACUGAGUACAAAUAGAGAAAUUUUACUUAAGGAAGAUUCUAGGGAUGUAGAUUCCACUUAUGGCAUAAACUACACAAAUGAAUGGAUUUACUCCUUGCUAUUAUUCUUGCUUAACCAGAGAUUUAUUUCCAAGAAUACCAAGUCUCAUUUUCAUGAUGAAAUGGCUUAGAGCAAUAUAGAUUUCCCUAUUUUCAUGGUGAAAUAUUCUACUACUCCGUUUUAUUUCAUGAAAUGCUCAAUAAUCCACCUAAGUGUAUCUCUAUUUUCAUGAACAUACAACUCAAGCUCUACUCAUGUAUUUCAAUUGUUAUUACCAAUUCUCAUUGAAUAAUAACACUAUAAAUAUGCUAUUGGUGAUCAAUCAACAACACGUAAUCACAGCUACACAAGUAGACAAGUUACUACAAGAUAUAACAAGUGUAAAUCACAUUCCAUUCAUAUUAUUUAACCAUAAGCUUCAUCUACUCCCUAGAUUAAGGGGUUUAGCUACUCAUGAAUGAUUUAAUAAUCAAACUCACAAGUUUAUUAAUGCCAAACAUCAUGAAGUACAAGUACAAGAAAGAUAAAAGAAAGCUUAGCCACUUGAAGGUGAAGCUCUCCAAUUCCUGCUAUGCUCUUGCACAAUAUGAUUACAAGUAAAAACUCCAAGUACUUCUCCAAGAACUCCUAUCUAGAGAGAAACUAGAUACCAGAAAGAAAACUAGUUACGUAUGGUAAUCCCUCUUCUCCCCAAUCUUUCUGCAUAAAAAUGUGGUAGAAAUUCCAUUCCUCUCACUUCAUAAUUUCUUCCACUCAGAUUUUGUAAAAAGAGGUCAAAGAUAUGAUGUCUCCUUUUGUCCACAUUCAUUUGGUCUUCUCUUUUGUUGCAGAAGCAUGUGCCACCGAUUUCUGUCCCUCAAAAUAGCUGGAAAGUUAUGAAAAAGGUAAAGAAAAACGGCUAUGGCACUUGCUGAGGAGAGAGACAGAUCCGAGCCUCGGAUCCGAGGAGUGAAAAUUGGAUCCGAGCUCGGAUAUUAGGAUCUGAGGGCUUCCAUGAUGGAUCCGAGGUCGGAUCGUCCUGACCUCGGAUACACUCCGCCAGAAGUACAGACUAGGGGUCGGAUCCCUCUUGUACACACAGAUCCGUGCUCGGAUCUGUGUUGAACAAUUUUCCAGUUUUUCACUUCUUCCCUUUUUCUACAUUUUUGCUCCCAAUUUCUUGUGUACUUUGUCUUCUGAAUGACCCUGACAUUUCUUUCAACUUGUGCAUGAAUUUCAUACAUCAAUUACCUUCACAAUUUCACAAAAUUAACGCAUUAAUCCACUCAUUUAUUAAUUUCUGAACUCUUAAACAAUAUUUAAGCAAUUAUCACCAAAAGAGUUCAAAUAUGGCUUUAAUCUUCUCAAAACAUACCAAAAAUUCAUGCCAAAUUCGUACAAAAUGUACGUUAAAUAUUCACUUAUCAAGGAACCUCUUUAGGAAUUUGAUUGGUAUUAGGAAACCAAUCAAUUAAGCAAUUUGGCAGGGAGAAUUCAGCAUAUAGCUCUUGCUUAGGAACAAAGCAUAGUUAUUCUUGUUUUCUUGACCGAUUGACAAGAAGACAAUUGGAAAGCUUCGAACAGAUUUUUGCAUGGCUUGUUCUCCAUUAAUGGAGAACUAAUUUCAUAUUUCUAGUCAAGGGGACAAUUGAAGAUUUGGUUCAACAAUAACUGUGAGAUCUAAAUUAUUUUAAUUGCUUCUUUCAUUCAUUGGUAUUUAUAUGUUUUUUGCUUUUAAUGGCUAUGACUACUGUGUAUGAUUGAAUAGUUGCGCAAUAUUUAAUUAUUCACGUAGUCUAUUUGCUAAUUGGGGGUAGUUGAAUCCGUAAUUGUUUGAUUACUCCAUCCCGGUAGCAACUAGCAUGAUUGGUUUCAUGUUAGGAAAACGUAUGAUAUAACUUAAAUGAACCCUCGUAGUGUGUUUGUUGGUUAGAGUUGGGCUUUUCCAAUUCUUAUUGCAAUCGAAAAAUGAAAUCCUAUGAUCGUAUUUAGGGUUAUUUCUUGUUUGGUGAAAUAGUUAAUGAUCAUACCUUAACUAUCGAAAAAGUAAGGAAAGGCUGGUUGUUUAUCGCAUGCAUGACAACUAUAACCAAUCUAUUAAUGAGUAAUUGAAUUAUCUUUGCAUCGAUGAUCAGUUGAAUGAACCGUGUCUGAAAAGUUGCACCUUUGAUUAGAAUCGUAUUGGUUAUUGAUUAAUUCAUGUUUAUUUCUGUUAGUUGUUUCAUUAGUUAGUUAAUUAGUUAUUUUAUAUUCUCCAAAAACCCCCCAUACUUCAGACCCUGGAAGAAACGAAUUAUCCCCAAUCCCUGUGGAUUCGACCCUACUUGCCCAAUAUACAAAUUAGAGAUUUUUCGUGAAUAAAUUCUGGUAUAUCGGAUUUAGCAAACUCUUCGGAACCAGGAUGAAUCUAGUAACCCAUUGCACAUCUAGAGUCCCUGCUCCAGUACCAGAAUUGACACGAAGUUGCUUCCGUUGGCAAUUAGGAUUAUUAAUAUUAUUAUUACACAGACUCGAUACCUGUCAAUACUCACCUAACAAACCUCCACCCGAGGAAAUUUUUUUUUAAAAAAAUCUACAUUAGGGUAUACAUUAGCAGAAAAUGAAAAAAAAAAAAAACUUUAGACUGCAAUCUAGUAACAUGUGUCCCAGGUGCACAAAGAAAUUGAAACAUAUAGAGCUUUGAUUGUCAAAAGUAGCACUAGUACUCCUCGGAGUUUAAUUCAAAUACAGAUGAUCAAAUAUGAGUGACGCCUUGCGCAUAGCGGCAAUAGAAAACUAUGAAAGGAUAUGCCACGGUGUGUCAGCCAACCGUCUUUAGAGUUGAAAUUCUUUCAGGAGCUUCUGUGAUUGUAUGGUUUUGUAAUCUAGCAGCAUCAGAUUUUGUGAGGCGAUGCGUUGAUGAAACUUGGGUAUUGGUAUUCAAUCCCAAGAUCUUUCAUGUAAAAUGACUCGGAUGCGGCAAAAGCCUUGGAUUCUCUGCUCCGGUCAACUUGAAAUUGGACUAGUCCCAGCACUUUAGGAAGUUGGUUAUUAGCACAUUUAAAUUUUUAUACUAAUUGUAGUAAGUAAUAUUUGGAGGGACCAUAAGUUCAGGUUGAAAAGAGGCAUGGUGAAAAUCUUUCCAAAUACAGACCCUACUACUUGUACAAAUAAAAGAGAGAACAAAAAUAUAUAACCCAUUAACACAUACUAAAAGUUUUUACAGCAAUUACAUGGUGAAUUCAUUAAAUUAGGCAUUUGGUUGACUUUGACAUGUGUGUCAAGUCAAAACAUUGUCAAAAAUUGCAACUUAUUGUAUACUGAUUUACUCGGCAAAAAUAAAUUUAGUUAAUUAUUUAUUGAUAGGAAAAAACUUUUAAAAUUUUGUUUUUCUUAAUAGAUACAUCGAAUGCCAUUGUUAAUCUCCACGUACUUUGAGGCACCAUUAUUGCCAACCUUGCGUCUAAGCAUUUAUCCAUACAAAAAUAGGUGAUUUUAAAAGCUAAAGACAUUUUUCAACCUUUAAAUGUAUUUUAAUAUGCAUAAACAACACGCUUAACCGCAUGUAUUUAUAAACUUUGCCACUGGAUAAUGCCUAAUUGGCCGUAACAAAUGAAGUUUCGGUACUUGAGGUGACGCACUAGUGAAACCAUGCAUUCCAGGGAUAAGAAUUAAACUUGGAAAUCUGAAAGAUAACUAAAGAAUAAAUAUUAGAAUCAAUAAUAUAAAAAAAAAAAGUUUCCAAAUCAAAUCAAAAUUAUUGAAAAUUGACCAAAGCUCAAAUCCAAAUCAAAUAAAUCCUUACACGUUAAACCCACGAGAAACCUGUUAUCAAGAGGUGCAAUUACCACUUGAUAAAACUCCAAUGUAGCUAUCACCUCGUGGAUCACACAUAUGUUGGGUCCUCUUAAUUAUUUUCAGUUGGUACGAAAUCAUUCAGAUAUGAUUUCCGUGACAAAUUCUGAGUGUAACGCAAUAUUCACCUCAACCAGUUGAGACAUUGUCUGAUAACCAUGAAAUUUGACUCUCCAAUUCUUGGGUUUUGCCUCUCUCUUUAUAAGGUGUAGAAUGUGGGUUUUCUUUCGAAUGAACCUGGUUCUAAAGAAUGCUAACUGGCUGACAAUUGCGGAAGUUUUUGUGCAUAUCUCUACCAUGAAGCCAAUCAAAAUGUGAAUGGACUAGACAUAAAGGGCAGUAGUUUAAAAUUUGUAGUGAAAUUAACUUAAUUACCUCAAUGGGAUUGAACUAAAAAAUGCAAUCUUCUAUUCAGACAAAAUUCAUAAGUUCUAAGUUCAUUAAGAAAGAUCAAUGCCUGUCAUAUUAAUGCAAAAUUAUUGAUAACAACAAGAAGGAUACUUUUAGAGGUGACAUAGUCUAGAGUCCAUGCAUCUAACCCACUCUCUUGACAUAGAUCGGAGUUCAGUGAGCGUUAAACUCAAGUCCAUUGGCCAAAAAAAAAGAAAAAAAAAAAAAAGACUCAAGUCUAUUCAAAAAACCAAACAUUGGACUCCAAACCAGUGAUGUCGAAUUGAUUAUCCAUGGACGCUAAAACCGCCAGAAACAAGUCAUCAAGAGGUGAAACUACCACAUACGACAAUACCCAAUUAUUUAGCAAAUCAAGGAUAAGGAUUAGGACUGUCAAUGGGGCUGAGCCAGCCCGAGCUCGGCUCGUUCGGCCCGACAGAAAACCCGAUGAGCCCUAUCAUUUAGUGAGUCGGUCUGAGCUUGAGCCUAAAAAUUAGGCCCGAAUUAAAUGUGAGCCGAGCUUGGGCCUUAUUAGGCUCAAACCCGAUAUAGGCCCGACCCUUUAAUUACCUAUAUAUAUAAUAUUUAUAUUUUGAUAUUAUGUAUAAUUAUAUAUCCAAAUAUAUUUUUACUAAAUACUAAAUAUAUAUAUAAAUUACAAAACACAAAAAUACAUCUAAAGACUCUUUCAUGAGCUUUCUUGAGAGCCAAUAUUAGUAAUGCAUAACUAAAUCUCUAAUUUUUCUUAUUGGUUGAGUAAAUUUUUGUAUUGGCAUAUUAUUGGUUGAUUUUUUUUUGGUCUACAAACACAAAAAUCAUCAAGCAUGUUCGGAUUUAAAUCACAAGAUUAUAAAAAAAAAGUUUCAACUUUUAAAGAUGCAUUGGCUUAUGAUCGCAUGUUUUAUUACUAUUUUUCAUGCAUUUUAAAAGGAUUAAAUAUAAAUAUUGUUGAAAAUUUUUUUGGUUUAUAUACUUUUUAAGAACUAUUAUUUGUUCAUGUUUAGUUUUAAUAUUAUAGUCUUGUAUAUGUUAAAUUAGUUUUACAACUUAAUAGUUAUAGUAAUUAUAUUAAGAAAAUUAAGGAGUAAUAAGUGAGCAUGGGCUAAACCCGAUUAAGGCUCACAACCCAAAUAUUAUAUGAGCUAAGUAUGAGUUUCACAUUUACGAACCCGAAACUCAUAGCCCGAAGCCCAAAAAUGUUUCAAAUUAAAUGAGUUAAACUUGAACUCAUCAAAGCCCGGCUCAUUAGGCCCGAUUGACAGGCCUAAUAAGGAUCAGACAAGUAUCAGGGUAUUAAUAGUCCUCUAUAUUAUUUAUUUGCAGCUGGUACGAAGUCAAUUAAUCAGAGAUACCCACCAAAUGACACAACUUAAGACUUGAAGGAAAAAUAUGAUUGCUGAAGAAUCGUUAUCAGAAUCAAAUCAUUGCACCUUAAAUACAACUUUUUUGGAUUCAGUUAGGUUUGCAUCGAGGUGGAGAAGAUCUCAAUUACAUACAAGCAAUUAACAGCAGAAGAAACAUAGCUUUAAUAUCUGAUUCUAGUAAUGGUUUCUGGCAAAGAAUACGUUGUCCUUCACGAGUAAUGUUUCUAGAAACAAUCUUUAUAUUUUUUGUGUUUAAAAUAACUUGAAGAAUACGGCAAAAGUAAACUUUGGUUUGUGGACUGAUGAGUAAACACUAUGAAAUGAUGAGUAAACAUCAACACUAUAUGUCUGGAAAGAGAGGAAUUACAUUAUUUUUAGCAACAAGGUUACUAAAAUUGGGGGUUAUUAUAACUUUAUCCCUUUAAACUAUAGUGCUAAUAUCAAUUUACCUUUUUAACAUUAUUUUGCAGGCAUUUGACCUCGCAGUUAUUCUCCUUUUUCAUUCUAAGAGGACCAAGAAAAAAUGUAAAAGGGUUCCCUUUUCUUUUUCAUUCUCAACUAUUAAGAAAAAAAAAAAGAAAUUGAAUAGAGGUUGACAGAAAACUCAAUUUCAGAAAAAAGGAAAAUAAAGAAGAAUCCAAUAUUAUAAUUAAUUUAAAAUAAGUUAGAGUGGGCGGUAGGGGUGAAGAGUAAGUAGUAAUUUUAAAAUAAUAAGCACAUUGGAUUCUGUAUUAUUUUUAUUUUCUUUUUUAAAAUUGAGUUAUCUCUCUAUUUUCUUAUUUUAAGUAUUGAUAAGUACACGAGGAAAAAAAGAAGAAGACAUUUUUUUGACUUUUUUCCCCUUGUUAUUAAAGAGGGUGGAAAAAAGGGAGAAGACACUUUUUUAUUUUUUUUCUUGGUAUUAAAAGGGUGAAAAAGGGGGAAAAAACCAUUCCAAUUUUUUUAAAAUUUUUAAUCAUACAGGAGAGGGAUGUAUUUCUUCUAAAAUAUUAGGUAAAUUAUAUAUAAUUUCCUGUGUUUUCAUCUAUUGCCACAUGAUUCCCAAAACAUUUUAGGGUUUUAUGCGGCUGAUGUAAGGGAAAAAAUUCAUAUUAAUACCUCAAAUUUCCCUUAAGGAGUUUUUAUAUUUAAAUCAAAUUAUUCAAUGAAUAUAUUUUUGUUUUUCUCCUAGUCUCAAAGAGUCUUGCCUCAGGCCUAAAUCAUUUCCGCUAUAUUCCUUUGGCCAAAUUUACAAUCGUAUAUUUGUGUUUGUAGCCGUUGAUUGAACUUUAGUCUUAGGAAAAAUGAUAACAAAUGGAAAGAGUGAGAUACAAGUCAAUUAAAAAACAUGAUUAACACUAGAAUUUGUGAGACAUGGAGACUUGGAUUAUAAAAAGGAUAAGAAAACUUGAAUAGGUGAAAAAAGGUGCAUUAAAACUAUACGAAAGAAGUAGCAUAACAGUGAUAUAGUAUUUGGUGAUGAGCAGAUUCUUGGUGAUAUGUUUUUUAAGUUUGAUAGGCAUUUUAUUACUUUUGGGAAGAUUAUUAUAAUCAUUUUGAGUCCUUAAGAAAAGCAUGGAAGUAUAAUAUUUGAAUAUAGAGGUGGGCAACGUGAGAUUAUCAGAAAUCUUAGAAGAAGUUUUUGAAAUUAUCCUUUGCUGUAAUACUAUUCUUUUUUUUUUCUACUUUGUGAUUAUUGAUUUCCACAUUCACACUCGAAAUGCUAAGGCAAAAAGCAAAAUUCAAGUAGUGGGUUGGUGGCUCAGCUCAUAUGAUUCUGAAAUACAACGAUUUAUUGGGCACAUUCUACCCAGUAUUGUCUGUUGGCAGAUUUGGAAAGCAAGGAAUAAAGCAAUGUUUGAGGAUAUUCAGAUGAGGCCGCUUGCCAUUUGUCGUGCCAUUUUCUCGGAAAUCCAGACCAUUGUGGGAAUUUAUUUCAAACAAGUGUUCAGAGUACAGUCAUUUCAUCAUUUGUAUGAUUGGUCGUAUUCUUCUCAUACUGAGGUUACAUACAAACUUGUUCGUUGGGAAGCAAAGGAAUCCGAUCGGUUCAUAUUAAAUACGGAUGGCUGUUCUAAGGGCAAUCCAGGGAGUGAGUGGAGGCGGUGGGGUUCUUCGGGAUUCAAAUGGCAUACCUUUGAUUGGCUUUUCGGCAUAUCUUGGGGAAACUACAAGUCUAUGUGCAGAGGUUCGGGCACUCCUUAUUGGGCUUCAAACUUGUGUACAUAGGGGUUUUCAAAAUCUCUAUGUUCAAUCGGAUUCUUUAUUAUUAGUUGGAAUUCUUCAGAAUCGCAUUCAAUGCCCCUGGAAGAUUCGACGAGAGAUUAGGCAGAUUUGGCAGUUGGUGAAAGAUCCUGAUCGUUUUUCGCAUUGCUAUAGGGAAGCUAACAAAGUUGCUGAUGCGCUGUCCAAUGUGGGCGUAUUUCAUCCAGAGCAUCAAGUCAAGCUUUACGAGGCCUUUAAUUCGUUCCCAACUAUGGCUCGUGGGGCCAUUCGACUUGAUAGAUUAGGAAUGCCUUCAAUUCGGAAAAGUAAGCGUAUGAAGGGCUGAGAACAAAGGACAACUGGAGCUAAUAUGCGGUUGCGGUUGCGGUUGAAUGAGACAUGGAGGUUUUGUGUGCUUUAUUACCUUUUCAGUCGAUUGCUGUACUUCGAAUUGGUCUUUCUCAAUGUGUAAAAUUUGCUCCUAUCAAUAAAAUAAACUAAUAUUUAAUUAAAAAAAAAAGCAAAAUUCAAGGAUGAAAAUGAAAAAAAAAAAAAAAGACAAGGUUAUAAACAUAGGGAAAGACUCUAUAUUUGAUUAAUGCUAAAAUAUUAUAAAAUGAUUAUAGAAUUUCUUUUUCAUUUUUUAUGAGUGACAUUUUUAUUAAGAAAAUUUAGUAGGGGAAUGAUGGGAUUUAAAAAGUGAAAAAAGAACAAAGAGAUCAAAAUUCAGGAUCUCUAAUUCUUGGGAGUAACAUGAUAAUAUUAUUUCUAAAAAUCCAAUAUCAAAUCCUAUUGGUGUAAUAUAAAGGAAUUUGGAUGAUUGAAGUGUUUAAAAUAUAAAAUACUUCUAAAUUAUAAUAUCUUAUUCAUUAGUCGAAUGUGGAAUCUUAUGUUUGUUGCCCCUUUCUUUUUUGCUUUGGAUUUGGGUUUUGAACUUUGAGUAUGAAUUGAGUAAGAUUAUAGCAUGAGAAGGUUCAUCAUGUUCAUUUAAUUAAGGUCUUCCUGCAUUUAAAAUGGGAGCUUACAUGACAAAAAAAAAAAGAUUAAAAUGGUAAUAAUUUACAAAAGAGCAUCAUAGUGGGAACAUUUUUCCUAAAAAAGGUCAUUUCAGAACUAAAUUCCGUGAAUCCAUGGUUUCAUGUGGGGUUUCUUUUCAUGGACGUGAUUAACAUCAUGUCUCUUAUCAUUUCGAUGAGGAUUAUUAACAUCCAAGUCCUAGAGCCUGAUUGCAUUAGUACUAUCCUUGGCCUUGGGUAUAAUAUCACAAGUUCCUCCCUGUAAAGGUUGCAAUGCGUUUUAAGAGAGUGAGAAUUAAGUAUAUCACGGGAAAAAAAAAAUUAAUGGCAAAGUAACUUACCAGAACAACCAACAGAUGGAGGAGGAUAAUCCAACAAGCAAGUCCUUUGGAAUCCAUCAAUUGGUAGGUUUUAUAUCCCUUGCAACUCCUCCUUUGAAGGAUUAGGCAACAGCAGAAGCAAAUGCCAAAUAUUACAUAUCGAUGAAAAGUGUGCUUGAUUAGAAGGUUCUUUUUCAAAUAGUCGAUUAAAAUAUGACCCCUUGACAGAUAGUGUUUCUUAUUGAGGUUGAAAAAUGAACCAAAUUAUUUGAUACUCAAAUCAAAUUUGGCUAAAGAAAAGUUUGUUUGAACUUAGUUUGCCAACUAAUCAAUUUAAAAUUUAAGAAGUAUUAUUAUGUGUUAGAUUAACUAUCAAAUUUGGCAUUAACUUGGCUUGAUUAACAUAAAAUUAGAAUUUACAAGUAAAAAAUUCAAGUUACUCAAGUUCGACUCAUGCUCGAUUCUAUAAAAAAACUCAUUUGAGUUUGGCUUAAUUAAUAAACAAGUCAAAUUUGAAGACCUUCCUCUUAAAAAAAUUUUUAAAAAAUCAAGUUUGAGUACAGUUUUAAGUUUAUUAAAUAAUCUAACAAGUUUGAAUACUAGAACAUUGAAUCUAGUAGACCUACACAAAAUCACUAAAUUUAUUUUAGACCAUAACUGUAGAUUGUUUAGAAAAAAAAGGACCAAAAUGUAGACCUACCCACGUGAUGCAAACCAACCAGCCACGUGAUCCAUGCUGUAACCUUGCUAGCUUCACUUAGCUAUCGCCUUGUAUAAAUAGCCGUAUAGCCCCCAAGAGUCUUUUCACCACCAAAGUUACAUUUUGAGGCUUGUCAUAGGCAAGGCAUGGCUUCAUCUAUCACUCUGAUCGCAGUCUUUUCAAUUGCCCUGGUAAGGUUUCUCAACCAUCAAUACUGUACUUGAAGUAGUAGUUCAUACGAGAUAAUUGCUAGACUGUAUAGGAAUACUGAUGAAACCCGUGAAUUAAAGCUACCUGAGAAAACACAUUCUUCUUCCUUUUUGCACAUUCAUCUGCAGCUCUAACCAUCGCCACUGAAGGAAUGGAAGCUCUUCAGAUGGCUCUGUAGUUCUAUUCUGAUAAAAUCUUGACUUCCAAACAUUACCAAUGCUGGUACCAUACUUAAACGUCAAUGUAACUUGAGUAAUGGCAUAUGACACUAUUUACCAUUUUUUAGUUGGAGGAUUCAUCCGGGAAAGCUUGAAGGUCAAAUCAAUACCUUAAAAUCAACAAAUGAAUAUUCCUGUUGCCAGUUGAGCUCGUAUUUGGACAUAACUAUCCUUCCCUACAAGGGGUCAUCUUUUACAGUGCUACCAUCAACGUACCUAUAUGGCUAUAUUGACGUUAGUUUCUUUUAUGGUGAUAUUUGCACUAAUGUGCAGUUUGGAUGCAUCACGGAAGCAAGGAAGAAUCCUACGGACUUUUUGCAAUCUGCUGUCAUUAAUGAGCAUACUGAGGACAAUCACCAUGCAGAGCCGUCCCCUUCCAAUCAGAAGAAGACAACUAAUGGUAACACAUUGAAA
This 124163-nucleotide long non-coding RNA is filed under the name Coffea arabica (coffee). Its description in RNAcentral is "long non-coding RNA (CARA_LNC004138)". The stretch from base 100787 to 100893 matches the Rfam family "Plant small nucleolar RNA R71". The record is from RNAcentral. Lineage: Eukaryota; Viridiplantae; Streptophyta; Magnoliopsida; Gentianales; Rubiaceae.